RNAcentral lists this long non-coding RNA (93403 nucleotides) under Ananas comosus (pineapple). RNAcentral's name for it is "long non-coding RNA (ACOM_LNC020813)". The record is from RNAcentral. Lineage: Eukaryota; Viridiplantae; Streptophyta; Magnoliopsida; Poales; Bromeliaceae.
GACUUUUGGGCGCCGUUGGGGUUGACGGUGGACCCGGUUCGCCGUUUUGGCGUCAGAUUGUGCCGAGGGCAUGUUACUUGUUGGUUGUUAGACCAGUUAGAGUCGAUUACUUGGACUUUGGCUUGACAGAGCCUAAUUGAGCUCGACAGAGAUACGCUGCAUACUCGAUUGAGUAGCGCCCACGAGUGCCACUCCGGAGACGGGCUUUGUACUUUCGCGUUGGUGUCGCUCAUGCCGGUUGAACUUGUUCUCCACCGACCAGUUAGUGUGGAGGUAGCUGGAUAGUCGCAACUGGGCAGAGACGGGUGUAUUCACAGUCCCCGGGACGAGUAUCUUUACAGUCCCGAUUGGAUUGGGUCAGUUUUGACAUUUCCUACAGUUGGUUAUCAUAGAGCAGGAUGGUGUACGGACUAGCAGCUGUAGAAUUCAUUCCAGCAUUUUACUUUUACUAUUGCUCCCUUUUGUAGACUUAGUGGGUGGACGGAUGUUGUUUUGGGCGGCACCCACUGAGGACUACUUGUUUUUAUAGUAGUUCUCACGCCCAGCUGUUACCCCUGUUUUGUAGAGCCACAGGUUUCGGCUGCUGCGCCUUCCGCGGAUCACGAUCGAGGCAAGGGCAUCGCGAGUUAGAGCCCUACCCAUCGAGCAGAGCUAGAGGCACCCUACUGCAGGUAGUUGUUUUAUUUCGAGCUUAUGUACAUAGUACUUAACUCGCCAGUGCGAGUAACUCUGUAUUUCGAUUUUUGAACUAUGUAUAUGAAGCUCAGUUUGUUUAGCUUUUGUUUACUCGAGCAGCUCUAUACUACUGUUUGUACUAUUGUAUGUUUACAGGUAUAGCUGUCGCUUCGUAUACAGGGAAAAUUUCUUUGUAUACGACGGAUUUGUUGGCGUGCCCGGGGAACGAGACAUCCGGGGCGUGACAAUACUCCUAUUUGUAUAGAUUUCUUUAUACUCAUAAGUUUUCGAUUGUUAGAUCUAUGCUUUUGACCAUUUUCAUCAGUAAAUCAUACUAUUCAACCAAUCACCCACUCAAUCCUAGAGGACCACUAUUAUCCUAAUUGCACAUCCAACGGCAAAAAAUUUAUUAGUAUAAAGGAGUCUAUACUCAUAAGAGUAUAGUACACCUAGCCUAUAUAUAUAUAUAUAGAAUUAGGUUACUAUAUUAUUAAUAGUACCAACCGCUAGCUAUUAGGUUUUCAGCCCUUAGAUGAAAGGAUGUGUUGUCAGGAUGAUAGUAGCCCCCUAGGGUUGAGGAGGUGGAUAGUUGAAGAGUAUGAUCUAACGGAUGAAAAUGACAAAAGGGGUAGAUCUAAUGGCAGAAAACUCGAUAGCACCAAAUGCUUGGUACUAUUAAUAGUAUAGUAGCCAGAUUCUAUAUAUAUAGGUAGAUCUAACGGUAGAAAACUCGAUAGCACAAAACGAUUGGAACGAUAGAUAGUAUAAUAGCCGGACUAGAAAUAUAUAUAUAUAUAUAUAUAUAUAUAUAUAUAUAUAUAUAUAUAUAUAUAUAUAUAGAGAGAGAGAGAGAGAGAGAGAGAGAGAGAGAGAGAGAGAGAGAGAGUCCGGCUACUAUAUUUUUGAUAGUACCAAGUACUUAGUGUUGUCGAAUUUUGUGCCGUUAGAUCUACCCCUUUGACUAGUUUCACCCGAUAGAUCAUACUAUUCAACUAACCACCCAUUCAACUCAAUGAAAUCACUAUCAUUCUAACCGCAUAUCCCUUCAUUCAAGGGCCGAAAACUUUAUUAUAAUUAAGUGGUUGGUACUAUUAAUAGUAUAGUAUUUAUUUAUUUAUUUUUUAUUUUUUUUGAGAGAUAGGUAGCAUGCUACUCGCUUCGUUUAUUUUAUUUAGAAAUAAACUUAGCUGAAAAUGUGAAUCAACUAGGAUUCGAACUUGGGUGUCAGGUACCAACUACCAAGCCCAUUGCCACUUGCUCUAGGGACGGUCGGUACUAUUAAUAGUAUAGUAGACUAAUUCUAUAUAUAUAUACAUAUAUAUUUCGAGCUUUUCGAGCCUAAUUCGAGCGAGCCCGGUAAUACUUAAGCUUGGCUUGAAAUUAAUUUCGAGUCUAAAUUUAGGCUCAAGCUCGACUUGAAAUUAAUUCGAGCCGAGCUCGAGCGAGCCGAAUAUUGAGCUGAACGCAAGUCAAAACGAGCCGGCUCACUUGUUUGCCAGCCCUACUUAUUGGGGUGUAUACAUAGCAUUGCUUGAUUGAUAAUGAGGCCUUUUUUUUUUUUUAUUUAGCUCUUUAAAUUUUAUUUUUAACAAAUGAUGCUAAUAUAUUUAUAUUUGUAUAAAUAAUUCUUUUCUUGUCACGCGAGGGCCUAAGUGGUAUUUUUAAGUUGAACAUGUUGAUUUAAUUAUCGUGUUUAAACACGGUGAUGAGAUCAAUGUGUUUCUUCUUAUAUUUGUUAUCGUUCCUAAGUUACAUAAAGGGACUAUAGUGUGAAUAUGAAUACGGUGAUCCAAUUAUCAUGUUUAACUUAAAAAUGCCUACAUGACGCUUGCGUGGCAAGAAAAGGACCAUAUAUAUAAAUAUAAAUUUGUUAAAAUUAUUUGUCAGAAAGAGCCAUUGAUAAUGACGAGGCCGGCGAAGAAUUCAAUUGAUCCUAAGGGUUCUUUGGUUCAACAUAAAAUUAUGAAAAUUAAUUUUUCAUAGGAAAAAUUUUUGGUAGAAAAUAUUUUUAUGUUUUGUAGUGUAUAGUUCAUAGAAAAGUAAAUUUUUAUUAAUAUUUAUUUAAUUGAAAGAAAACAAUUAAUAUUUAUUUUAUUUGGUGAAAAAAAUGAAUGAAAAAAAUUUUACGCAGCUUGAAUUUUCGUUAUCGUAAAAAAAACAGCAAAAAAUGAAAAUUUAGAAAAAAUAUUUUUUUCGUUGAAUCAAACAAGUAGAAAUUAAAAUAUUUUUCAUUCCGAAAAUAAUUUUUCUGUUCGUUUACGCUGAACCAAACCGCUCCCUAAAUAAAAUUCAAAUCCGAAUAACUAAUUUUAUAUUAUAUAAAAUCUAAAAAUUUUAAUAAUUUAUAUAUAUAUUUUAAAAGUUUAUAAUUGUUUUUAUUUUGAAAAUGUAGAUUUGCGCAUUACUUUGAAAUUUAGUAGAGAGAAAAGUUGAUGAGUAUUUUGUAUGUAUUUGACGAAUAUCAACAUCCAUACAGUAAACUUGAGCUUCAUUUGAUCACAAUUACUAUUUUCUAAAAAAAAAAAAGAAGAAACUUUACUUCCCCAAAUUUCAUGUACAAAUUAUCUAUAACUAUUACCUAUAUAUAUUAUCCUUUCUAAAUUUGUCAUAUUCUAACGUUUCCCGUUUCCUUCAUUAUGGGUACGGGUACUCCAUCCUGAACCGGUUCAUGUCCUCCACUUAUUUUUCUCUUUUUUUGUUUAAAUGAAAUCAAUUAUUAUUGAGUGUGGGCUUUCUCAAACCGGUUCAAUUUCUCUAUAUAUUUUUUUUCUUUUUUUACUCGAACCAAAACGGAUUUUUUUUUUUUUACUUGAACCGAACCGGUCACACCUCUACAUUGGGCUGAACUGUUCCUCUUCCACUUUCUUUUUCUGUUACCUUCCUUCAUAAGCAAAAUGCAUCUCACCCUUUAUCAUCGCGUCUUUCAUCAUUGUUUUCUCUAAUUAUCUAUUGGUCGCAUCAUAUGAAUUAUUAUGCUAGCUAAUAUUAACGAGAGAUUGCUCAGUAGCCGAAGACGUGUGAUGUUUGAUAACCAUUUCUAUAAACUAAACGCCAAAAUUAUCUUAAGAUAGAGAUGGAUAUAUUGGGGUGAUUUUAAAAGGAAAGAAAAAAAAAAUAGCACCAGAGUUAUCAAAAUAUUGGCGGCUACUCGUGUUUAAUUAGGAAGUAAUCAAACCCUAAUCACUCAUUCAUGCAGUUGAGCAUGAAUGGACAAUAUACCAAGAAGAAUAAACACCAAUCGCUCUCUCGUAAUUUGUCUCCUUCCUCCUCUCGCUCUAUCUUUGUCACUCCUACCUACUGUCUUAAAUGGACAAUUUUCAAACUUUUUUUAUUUACUCCGCGCUUAGAAGGUUUAUAUAAAAAAGGCAAUUGCUUAUACACUUCUGAAAAUUUUUCAAUUUUCUAAUUUAUACUUCUCUUAAAAGGCUAAUAUUAAAAUAACAUUUUUACACUUUAAGUUAGUUCAAAUAUAUUUCUAGAGUUAAAUUACCAAUCGUUGUUAUCUCUGCAAAAUUACUAUUUUGUCCUUUCAAACAUACUCUUCUACCAUCACUAGUUUUUUUUUAUUUGUCCUUAAAUUAGGGCAAAAGAAGUAUUUUGAUUUUUGAUCUUUUCAAAUAUACCUUUCUACCAUCACCAACUUUUUUUAUUUGCCCUAAAGUUAAGGAUAAAAGAAGUUUUUUUUUUUUUUUUUCUUUUUCUUUUUUUACCUUUGCUAGACAUUUAACUCACGUUUAACGCAAUAUAACUUGACGGCUAGCAACUGCGGUGGUAUUUUUGAAUAACGGAGGAACAUAAUAGGGAUAUAUUGGAAAUAAAAAAAAAAGAAAGGAUAAAUUAGAUAUUUUCGAAAUUUAGAAGGAUAUAUGGGCAAUUAUUCCUAUAUAAAAAUACUUUUUUAAUGUUCUAAGUUCUUUCUAAUAUAUCCGAGGAGUUAAAUUCUAUUAGUGAAACUCGUUAUCUCUGUGAAAUUACUAUUUCAUCCCUUCAAAUAUACCUUUCCACCGCAUAAACUUUUCUUAUUUACUCUUAAAUUAGAGGCAAAAGAAUUAGGUUAAAUUACAGAAAUCCCCCGUCAAAAUCCGAUUUUUCACUUUUUUCCUCUGUCAUUUAAAAACCUAUACUUUGCUAUUUUAUAAAAUGAAAAAUGUUCACCUCACCCCUUACCGUUAGUGAUCCGUUAAGGUUCCAUUAUAAAAUAUUUUUUAUGCCAAAAAUAUCCUCCGCCCUCUCUAUUAUUGCUGCGCCCUCGCCUACAUCUCCGUCCGCGCCCAUAAACACCCCCUCGCCCUCCUCCGCCGCCUUGCGUUCAUCCUCGUUGCCCUUGCCCACCUUUCCAUUCAUGCCCACCUCGAUUUCCUCCCUACUGUCGCCGAAAUGGAGGGGCGACGAGGGUGCAGGAGGACAAGGGGAGUAUGAAGAAAAUAGAGAGAAAUCGCGGCUGAUCGAGGCGCUAACCGUGGCCGAUCAAGGUGACGGAUGAGCAAGAUAAGAGCGGAGACGAAAAUGGUGAGAGGCAAAAUUAUCAUUUUGUCAUCAUAGUUCACACCGUACCCCCUGUGAAUAUUUUUUAUUUUGUAAGGGGGUAAAGUGUAGGGUUUUAAAUAACAUGAAGAGAAAGUGAAAAAUCGAAUUUUGACAGGGAGGUUUUAUGUAGUUAAGCCAAAAAAUUAUUUUGACUUUUUGCCAUUUCAAAUAUACCUUUUUUUAGAGUUAGUAUUUUUUUUUUUUUUUUUUUUGCUCGUAGGUUAGGGAGAAAAGAAGUAUUUUGAUUUUUUUUAAAUUUUGGUAGAAAUUUAAGUCAGGUUUAAUCCGAGAUAACUUAUCAGGUACUAACAGCAAAAUUAUUUUUGAAUAAUAACAAAAUCUAUAAGGGAUAUUUAAUAUAAAAAAGUAAAAAUAUAUAAAAUAUUUCAGAAGUUUUAAAAGGUAUAUAAGUAGUUAUUCCAAAUUCGAAUGGUGUCUGAGAAAGUUCUUGGACACCAUUAAGCGAGAUGAAACUCAGAGCAGCUGGAUUAUAUUAGCAGAGCUAAUUAAUUUCGAUAUUGAUAGAUAAAUUUAUUAAAUUUGAUAAUUACUUAGUAACUCAAUUUGAUCAGAUUUUAUAAAUAUAUUUUGCUGCGAUGGAAAAGAAAUAUGUUAGCAUUUCUUUCUUUUACAUAUUAAUGUUGUACUGAUUCACCGCCUCAUUAAUUGAGAUUUUAUUAAAAAAGUUAAAAAUAAAGAAAAUUUAUUUGAACUAUGAAUCAUUUUGAAUCAGCUAUUUAAUUUUUUUAAAUUUUUAUUUUACUAUUUAAUCUUUCAAUUUGUUUGAUUUUGAUCCAGUAAACAAUAUUUUUCAUUUCAAAAUUUAAACUAAUUAUUUAUUUUAAUAAAUUUAUAAUUGCUUAUAGAAUAGCAUAAAGUAUGUAAUUAAAUCUGUAAAAAAAUAAACAGUGUUUAACUUUUGAAGUCAAAUACCAUUGGCGGAUUGAAAUCAAACAAAUUGAAAAGUUGAGCACUAAAAUCAAAAUUAGUCGAUUCCGGUUCAGAUAAAUUCGGUACGUUUUUAUCAAAAAAAAAAAAAAAAUCAAAACAGUUUAGCUACUUAUUUGAUCCGAUAUAUAUGACAACUAUUAUAUUACAAAAUUUGGCCGCACCAUUCAUUUUAAUUGGGGCUGUAGUCACGUGAAUGAUGUUAGAUAUAUUACAAUUAAAUUUAUUAAAAUAGAUAAUAAAUUUAAAUUUUCUAAUAAAAAUGUUAUUAAAUGACUUAAAUUAAAUAAGUUGAAAUAUUAGAUAGCAAGAUUAGAAUUUUUAAAAUUAAUUUGAUUUCACAAAGUAAAUAAUAUAUAUAAUAAUAUAACUUUAAAAAAUUUUAUUUUUUUUUAGAGAGAAUGGUAGCAUGAUAUCCGCUUCAUUACUUUUAAAAAAAAAUUAUUUUAAAAUAUACAGUAACCUGAUAUCGAAGUAGGACCUUUCAUACGAACUAGUUGGAUACGGGAGAACUCUAUAAUUUCACUAAAAUUUAAUACUAGAUAUAGAUUUUUUUUUUUGAGAGAUAGGUAGCACGCUACCCGCUUCGUUUAUUUCAUUUAGAAAUAAAUUUAGCUGGAGAUAUGAAUCAAAUAUGAUUCGAAUCUGGGUCUCGGGUACCAAUCACCAAGCCUUUUGCCACUUGCUCCAGGGACGGUCGGUAUAUUGAUAUAGAUAUUGAUAUUGAUAUGUUUAGGGGAUUAUCAUGGCUAGCACGUGGUAGAUAAUGUCACGCCCCGGAUUACACGUUCCCCGGGCACGCCGAUAAAUCCGCCGUAUACAAAGAAAUUUUUCCUGUAUACGAAGCGACAGCUGUACCUGUAAGUCAAACACUACUACGAACAGUAGUAGAGAGCUGUUAGAGAAAACAGAAGCUAAACAAACAGAGUUUCAUAUACAUAGUUCAAAUCCAAAAUACAGAGCUACUCGCACUGGCGAGUUAAGUCAACUAUGUACAUAAACUCGAAACAAAACAUCUACCUGCAGUAGGGGCACCUCUAGCUCAGCACGUCGGGUAGGGCUCUAACUCGCGACGCCCUUGCCUCGAUCCUGGUCCAUGUCACUUUAUUCAGCUGCCGCGUGAUCCACAAUAACCUGAUGCGAACCAUCAUUGUCUUCUUUUACAAAUAACACUGGCACUCCCAGCGAGCACACUGGGCCUCACCGAACCCUCUAUCCAUCAAAUCCUGGAAGCUGUGCCAUUUAGCUCUCUUCAGCUUCUGAUACCGGCGCAUCCGAUAGGUAACUUUGCGAUUGGUCAGUUCCAGGAACUACAUACAAUCACAAACUCAAUCUCCUCUCCGGCAGGGCACGUCUCAAACUCAGGCGGGAAACACAUUUCGGAAACUCCGCGGACGACAGGAAAUUUAAUUCUCGAGUCCGGCGUCGACGCUGUAGGUACCUCACAGACUGGUCGCCUAAGAAAGCAAUUACACCCGUAGCUCCGCAUCUGUCGCGAGCCUCGCGAAGAUAUCAGGUGGCAAACAGCGUGCCUGCAGCCUUCGUGAAAGUAAACUCCUCCUGGCCGUGGCUGCGCGGAACGUCACCGUCCUCGCUCCACGUCGAUUAGUGCCUUGUACCGCGCCGCCAAUCAUACCGAGCCACAACGUCAAAGUCUGCAGCUGCCUAAGCACCAAACAGGAUCUCGGGCUUAUUGAUCCGACGACAUCCAACUGCACCGGACAUGGACGCAAUCAACACUCUGCAACCUGUAAAACAUGGUUCGGAAUCUGCACUCUCGGUGCCUUGUGACAAUGCCCCUAACUCUAGACAUGAACAAUGCAAAUGCUCUGUUAACAAAAGAAUGCCGAGGCUCCAUUAUCAAAAAAAAAGGUACGAGUACGAAUGCAGGAAUCNNNNNNNNNNNNNNNNNNNNNNNNNAAAGUGAUACUUGCCACCACUCGGUCGGCUGCUGUAGAGUCCUCCACCUGAGCUGCAUAGACUCUGCCACUCGGAGCCUGCUGUCGCCGCUCAUCCUGUCGCGGCGUGGACGACCUAUCCUUCUGGCGGUAACUUGGUGCUGCUCUUUAAGUCUGCUGGGGUGCUGGUGGAGCCGAAGCUGAUGAUGGUGCUGGAGAUGCUGCUCGGGGACAAGCUGCCCUCAUGUGUCCCGGCUGACCACAUCCGUAGCACCGGCCCUCCCUCUGCUCACACUGUCUGGGCCAGUGUGGUCCUCCGCAGAUCACACACUGCGGCGUCCUCUCUGGCUGUCCCCUCUGACGAGAAUCCCUAGAUCGCUGACGCCCCGAGAACCCACGACCCUGGGAACGCGAUCGUGGAGGCCUCGGUGGACGCUCUGCUACUCGACUGACCUCCGUCGUCUGGAGCUGGGCGCUUCCUGUCCUGACUCUGUCCCGGCCCCUGAGCCCUCUCCCGCAGCGACACCUCUCCUCUCUUCUCCCAUAAUGCCUGCUUAAUGGACGCAUCCAAAGUCCUCGACCUCUGCGCCCUAACAAACCUGAAAAGGUCGGGUCUCAAACCCUGCUCAAACAAGUAGACCCUAUGUGCCUCGUCUCUGGCCACGAACGGAACACAGUUCAGGAGCCUAGUAAACUCCCGAACAUAGUCCUGAACUGUCCGCUCACCCUGCUUUAUCCUCUUCAAGUCCUCCUCGAUCUUCUGUUUCAUGCUGUUGGGGAAAUACAUCCCAUACAGCAUUCUACAGAACUCAUCCGAACUCAGCUGCGUCGCCACCAGUCCCUGGUCUCGCCUCGCUCUCCGCCACCAAUCAUGUGCAUCACCCGACAGACAGUGUACUCCCAAAGGUACCUGCUCUCACUCUGGAACGAACAGAUCCUCGAAUAACUUCUCCAUCGCACUGACCCAUUCCUCAACAAUCCAGGCCUCAGUGCCUCUGCCAUCGAAGAUCGGUGGGUCAAAUCGACGAAAACGAGCUAAUCUCUCCUUCCACCGCUUCUGCUCGACCUCAGUCAACGGUACUGGCCCCCUAGCCGGCGCAACUGGCACUACUGGAACUGCUGCGACGGAGGAACUGCUGCAGCUGGUACGGUCACUGGAGUAGUCAGUGGUAGAACAGUUUGCUCUGGUACACUCGGUGCUGAACUCGGUGGCUGAGAUAUUCUCUCACACAACCUCUGCAACAACUUCCCCUGCUGCCUCGUCACCUCAGUCAGGGCAGCCAGCUGUGCACUCAGAUCCGAGGGUGCGCUAGCCUCAGGUCGCGCACUCGGCUCCACAACAGGGGGUGCACUCGCCUCCGGUCUGUCACCCUGCUCCUGUCGAGUACUCUGCUCCAUCUGCUCAAGUCUCUCAGGGGAUCCCGCACGAUCCCGCGCCAACUGGGCACGCUCUCGCAACGACGGUCGACCUCGGCGACGAUACAUAGCUGAAAGGAACAAAUCGGGGUCAGAUACAACACAACACUCUCGACCCAAUCAACGAAAGUCUGGAAGGCGGUCCCUGUUUUCUUCCAAAAUUAUGUCGUCUGCAGCCAACAUAAUUUCUCAGGCCAAAACAGGAACUCCUUCGGUCACUCGCCCACUCUAGGAGGAGUUAGAACAGCUAAUCAUUGACUUUCACAAUAAAUUACGCCUCUCGCGUCUUGCCUUCCUAAGGUUUGCCAGACUUAGGUUUCCUAGGUCCCAACGACCUAUAGCAAAGCUCUGAUACCAACUUAAUCUGUCACGCCCCGGAUUACACGUUCUUCGGGCACGCCGACAAAUCCGCCGUAUACAAAGAAAUUUUCCCUGUAUACGAAGCGAUAGCUGUACCUGUAAAUCAAACACUACUACGAACAGUAGUAGAGAGCUGCUAGAGAAAACAGAAGCUAAACAAACUGAGUUUCAUAUACAUAGUCCAAAUCCAAAAUACAAAGCUACUCGCACUGGCGAGUUAAGUCCACUAUGUACAUAAACUCGAAACAAAACAUCUACCUGCAGUAGGGGCACCUCUAGCUCAGCACGUCGGGUAGGGCUCUAACUCGCGACGCCCUUGCCUCGAUCCUGAUCCGCGGACGGUGCAGCAGCCGGAACCUGUGGCUCUGCAAAAACAUAGGUAACAACUGGGCGUGAGAACUACUGUAAAAACAAGUAGUCCUCAGUGGGUACCGCCCAAAACAACAUCGGUCACCCACUAAGUCUACAGAAGGGAGCAAGGAUAGAAGGAAAGCAGGAAGCAUACUCUACCGCUAUCAACCACUACACUAUCAUGCUCUACACUAACCAACUGUAGGAAAUGUCAAAUCUGACCCAAUCCAAUCGGGACUGUAAGCAUACCCGUCCCCGGGACUGUGAAUACACCCGUCCCUGCCCCGUUGUGACUAUCAGGCUCCAUCCACACUAACUGGUCCGUGGAGAGCAAGUCCAACUGGCAUUAGCGACACCAACGCGAAAGCACAAAGCCUGACUCCGGAGUGGCACUCGUGGGCGCUAUCCAACCGAGUAUGCAGCGUAUCUCUGUCGAGCUCAAACAGGCUCUGAAAAGCCAAAGUCAAGAAAUCGACUCUAACUAGUCUAACAACCAACAAGUAACGUGCCCUCGGCAUAAUCAGACGCCAAAAAGGCGAUACGGGUCCACCGUCAACCUCAACGGCACCCUACAGUCCGGAACAGCCUGAACGACCCUGUAAAAUCUCCUUGGCGAAAACAGCACGAGUGUAGAUAUACUCUAAACUACCUGGAGUACUCGUCUCGAAGAUACCGCGACAGUACAAUUUAAUAACGGCUCCUAGAGCUAAAUCAGGCAGUUUAAUCAAGUGACAGGUCUAAAUCGCAGGUUUUCUCCUAAUUCAAUUUCCAAGUCCAACAUGUAUAACCUAUUCAAUUUAUUACCACAUGCUCCAAAUUCAGAUAUGAAAUCUACCAUUUAAUCCAUAAAUUCGAGCUAGAAUAGAUUAUCCAAAAAUCGAAACUAUACAUGUCGACGAAUGUGAACUUAGGAGUAAAACCGAUGUAACCCACCUCCAAAAAACUAAUCCCUGGCAGCACGAAACCCCCUCGGCUGCGACACCACCUGCUGGGUUGACCAAAAACGCCCGAGUCUCGAAAUCGAGCGAACUCCAAACUAAAAACACCAAAAUUUCUCAAUUCAGUCUAAAAUCCACGACAGCAGAGAAGAGAGGAAUUUCGACCUAGCUAACCUUCACCAAAAUUCGCAAGUAAGGGCUUCGUGGAUUCCUCUCGCAGUCCUGAAUCCAACGAACCAAGUCUCGUCGAAAUCCGAUGCUCCUACGUCGAGAACGAGCUAAAAUACCAACAGUCGACGAUGAAAUUCAGCAAACAACAUCUCUCCGAGUUGAAGUAGUAAGAACUUGCCCAAAAAUCCAAGGAAAGGCUGAAUUACUCACCUCGACAGCGAUUAGCACCGGCGCGACGUCAAGAACGGCGAAGUCGCACGCUCGCCCGGUCUCCUCGCGAUGCCCCGGCGUCAAAUACGUGCUCGAACGAUCCCGCGGCGCGACGUGGGCGACAAAACACCAACUAAGCUCCUUCCUUGCCUUCAACCGGAUGGGAGAGUGAGAGGGGAAGGAGAAGCACAAGUAAACCCUCUCUCUCUCAGCUCACAGCAGCCUUUGUAGAGAGGGAGUUGGUGGGAGAUACAAACGAGGUGGAGAAAUUACCUAAUUACCCUGUCACCUACCCCCUUGUACCGGUACACGGGCUCCUGUACCGGUACAAGAGCCAACCCGAGAGCAGUUGAGCCAUUGCGCGAUGGUUGUACCGGUACAGCUACACUGGUUGUACCGGUACAGCAAGCAGAGAAUGCUGGUGUUUUGCAGAAUUCUUCGCGAUAAGCUGCCCUCGCGUCGCACGGAGUUCGUUUUACGUCUAUUUGACGUCAACGCGACUCGGACUUGUCCCGACACUCUCCAGAGCUGUCGACAAGCCUCCACAGUCAGACACCAGGGAUCUCACAGAUAAGGACAUAAAUCAUAUAAUGCUUUUGUGUAAUUAGUCCAAACGUUGAAUCAAGUCGUGAGUUCUUAGAAUUUAUUUUUGAGCAAUGUUAUCUGUAUAUCAAAAAGUAAAGUGUAUAUUUUACUUUCAUUUUAUUCAAGUGUCAUUAGUUUUUUUCUUGCAUCAACUUUUUUUUUUUUUUUUACUAAAAAUUAUUUAAAUUUUUAUAAUUUUUAAAACUAGGGGUGUAGAACCUACACCUUUUUCUGCAUGUGCAAGUAAAAUUUCUCUUUAUCUUUUUUAGAUGAAUUAGAUAUUACUGCGAGCUGAAUCUUUCAACCGCUGACCCAGUCGAAGUUCUCCCUCGAGAAGUGUGUAAGGAUGCAGAACGGCUACAAACGAUGACAUUCGAAGUUUGCGCCCUUCGACGGAUCAAGUGAUUGGGCUGAUGAGGGAUCAGAUCAGCCGAGUUCGUGUGAGAUCCCUGCGGUUCUGUGGUGGAGGCUUGUCGGCAGCUCUGGAGAGUGCCGGGACAAGUCUGAGUCGCGUUGGCGUCAAAUAGACGCAAAACGGACUCCGUGCGACGCGAGGGCAGCUUACCGCGAGGAAUUCUGCAAAACAACAGAAUUUUCUAUUUGCUGUACCGGUACAACCAGUGUGGCUGUACCGGUACAACCAGCGCGCACUGGUUUAGCUGCUCUCGGGUUGGCUCUUGUACCGGUACAAGAGCCCGUGUACCGGUACAAGGGGGUAGGUAGAGGGGCUUUUUGGUAAUUCCAAGCCUCGUUUGUAUCACACCACUCCACCUACUUCUAUAUACAGGCGUAGAGAGCUUGAGAGGGAGUGUUCUUGCUGGUCCUUCUUCCUCUCUCCCUCUCUAGCUUGGUUCGACCGUGGAGGAGUUCGGUUCGAGCUCGGAUUCGACACCGACGUCGCGCCGCGAAGCCGUUCGGGGAUACGGUUGGGAUCGUAGCGCUGCGAGGAAGCUAGGCGAGGGUGCGUUUUCGCCGUUCUCGACGCCGUGUCGCUGUCCGAUUAGCCUUUGAGGUGAGUGUUCCGUUGCAUUGCUUCAAGUAUUGACAUUUCGAGCUAGGUGCUGUUUGCUGAUUCCCAUCGUCGACCGUUAGUAUUUCAGCUCGUACUUGGCGUAGGAGCAUCGGAUUUCGACGGGAGUUGGUUUGUUGGAUUCGGGACUUCGAGAGGAAUCCACGAAGCCCUUACUUGCUAGUUUUGGUGAAGGUUAGCUUGGUCGAAGCCCUGUUCUUCUCUGCUGCUGUGAAUUUUGGACUGAAUUGAGAAUUGUCGAUUGUAGAGCUUGGAGUUAGCCCGAGCAUUGGACUUGGAGGAUUCCGGUUGAUCCAGCAAGGAUCAUUUUUGGUUCGAGGCUUCGUUUGCUGCCAGGAUCUAGCAUUUUGAGGUGGGUUACAUCGGUUUUGAAUCCUAAGUUCUAAUCGUCAAUAUGUAUAAACUUCAAGUUUUAGUAUAGUCUUUUCUAGCUCGAAUUCAUGGAUUAUAUUAUAGAUUGCAAAUCUGAAUUUGGAGCAUGUGGAAAUAAAUUGAGUAGGUUAUACAUGUUGGACUUGAAAUUUGAACUAGGAGAAAACCUGCGAUUUGGACCUGUCACUUGUUUAAACUGCCUGAUUUAGCUCUAGGAGCCGUCAUAAAAUUUGUACUGUCACGUUGACGGUGGAUCCGUAUCGCCUUUUUGGCGUCAGAUUGUGCCGAGGACACUUUACUUGUUGGUUGUUAGAGCAGGUUGAGUUAGUUACUGGACUUUGGCUUUCGAGAGCCUGAUUGAGCUCGACAGAGAUACGCUGCAUACUCGGUUGGGUAGCGCCCACGAGUGCCACUCCGGAGACGGGCUUUGUGCUUUCGCGUUGGUGUCGCUCAUGCCGGUUGGACUUGCUCUCUACGGACCUGUUAGUGUGGAGGUAGCUGGAUAGUCGCAACUGGGCAGGGACGGGUGUAUUCACAGUCCCAGGGACGGGUAUGUUUACAGUCCCGAUUGGAUUGGGUCAGAGUUGACAUUUCCUACAGUUGGUUAGUGUAGAGCAUGAUAGUGUAGUGAUUGUAGCGGUUGAGUGUACUUCCUACUUUUUCGGCUAUCCUUACUCCCUUCUGUAGACUUAGUGGGUGGACCGAUGUUGUUUUGGGCGGUACCCACUGAGGACUACUUGUUUUUACAGUAGUUCUCACGCCCAGUUGUUACCCCUGUUUUGCAGAGCCACAGGUUUCGGCUGCUGCGCCUUCCGCGGAUCAGGAUCGAGGCAAGGGCGUCGCGAGUUAGAGCCCUACCCGACGUGCUGAGCUAGAGGUGCCCCUACUGCAGGUAGAUGUUUUGUUUUGAGUUUAUGUACAUAGUAGACUUAACUCGCCAGUGCGAGUAGCUCUGUAUUUUGGAUUUGAACUAUAUAUAUGAAACUCAGUUUGUUUAGUUUCUGUUUUCUCUAGCAGCUCUCUACUACUGUUCGUAGUAGUGUUUGAUUUACAGGUAUAGCUGUCGCUUCGUAUACAGAAAAAAUUUCUUAUAUACGGCGGAUUUGUCGGCGUGCCCGGAGAACGAGACAUCCGGGGCGUGACAGUUCGUACCUUUUACUACUAAAUCGGUUUGGCUGUAUGAGCCGAGUCAAGAAUUGCACAGUAUUUUUGGGUCGACUGAAGAGCUGAAUGCUUAUAAAUAUUACUUAAAAGUUGAAAAUUCGUUCAAAAGAGGGUAUGCCAGUGCGGCGUACAGACUCAAGAAAUCUAACUUAAAGACUGCUCUCACGAAAAACAGUAAAUGUUAGGAAGAAAGAAAGGUUAAAAGUAAACUGCUCCUAGAAAAUAAGGAAAAUGCGUAGAAUUGAAGUGGUCUUCUGUUCGCAAGGAAACAAGAUAUCUCUUUCAGGCGUUAUCUGUUUAUUUAUACCCCGCCUGUUCUUAUUCGGUUAUCUACAUGAUCAGCUAUUUCCCUACUUUCGUGGGCCACUACAGGCCGAUCCCAACUCAUGAAACUGUCUGCAGUUUGUUGUGAUUUGUUCUUUGUUUCUGGUGCACCAAACAUCCGAUAUCCUUAGCUUUGCACCAAACACACAAACUGAAAAAUUCAGUUUGCGUUCGGCUCGUUUACUAAAUGAGCGAUUCGAUCUUGAGCUCAUUUCAAGCAAAACAUGAGCCGACUCACAAAUAACCCCUAUGCCCAACACAGCCUACGCAAUAGGAAGGGAAGAAAAGAUAAGGGUGAAAGAGAAACUGUCAUGUGGCAAAUUUUAUGAAAAAUAAUGUAAAGAUAAAGAUAUAGAUAUAGAUGUAGAUAUUGAGCUCUUAUUCUGAUAGCAUGUUAAAUUAUGUGAAACAGCGAUUACUCUUCGGAAAGUUAAACUUUAACGAUAUUUAUAUAUGUUAUAUUUAAUAAUACUGUUAUAUAUGGCCUAGAAUAUUUGAAGCAUCUAAAAAUUAAAUUUUGUUAUUUUUUAACUUGUAAUAAAGUUUAUCAAACGAGUAAAAUCAAAAUCAAACGACCUCUUAAAAAUAAAAGAUCAGACUUUUUUUAGUUCAAGUUAGAGUUAUGAUAAAGUCCGUGAAGGCCGGUACGUUAGACAUAGAUUUUAUGGAGUUUUUAUUUCUAAUUCUAUUUUUAUUUUUUUUGGAUGUAACAUCCCAAAAGGUGGCACGGUCUGAUUGUGUUGCUCUGCAUCUUACGGUCAACUGAAAAAGACAAGAAUUCUCUGGAAAUCUACGGGGUGAGUGUGAUUUAUAUGAAGGACCACCAGUAAGAAGGAAAUGAUUCUGAAGGCGACAUAUAAUAAUACUAGCAAUGUACCAGCACUUUGUAGUGAGUAUAAUUUUUAAGUUCAGAAUUAUUAUAUUGUACAUUAUGUAAAGUUACUUAAUAGAGUCAAAUAAAAAUACUGAUUUUUAUAUAUAUCUCCUAUUUGGAGAGAGAGAAGAGAAUAUUAAAUAAAAAUUAAAGCCAGAGAGAGAGAGUGUGCACUUUCAAACUUUCGGAUAUAGUAUAUUUUACUCAUAAUAUGAAAAAAUAAAAAAUAAAAAUUUUUAAAAAUAUAUAAUUAUUAAAUUCAAGUUUAAAAUUAUUUUAAAUAUUAAUAUUUUUGAGAGAGAAAAGUGGCAUGCAUAUUUUUCGGUAAGAGAAAAAAAAAGAGAAAAGGUAUAAAUAUUAAAUUAAAUAAAAAUUAAGUAAGAGAGAAAGUACAAUAGGGAUUUAAAAUUUUAAUUUUUAAAGUUAAAAAUUUGGGAAUAAAUAUUAUAAAUUUUAAAAUUGUAAAAUUUUAAAGUUGGAAUUUGAAAAUUAAAAUUUAAAAUUUCGAUAUCCAAAAUUUAAAAUUUUAUAAUAUAAAAUUUUAAAACCAUAUAUAUAUAGUAUUUGAUCAAAGAGCUAUUAGUAAUCAAGGAGUAUAUCCGAGGGCUUGAAACCUAGAAGUAAAAAGGGGUGAUACUUCUAAAAAUAUUCUAGCUCAAUUAUAUAUAUAGAUAUAGAGCUAGGCUGGUAUACUAUCGGUAGUACGGAAGCCUUUGUGGUACCAAGUUAUUUUCAAUGAUGCGGAUUCCAAAUCGAUAAUCGGUUCCGUUAGACUUGAUCUACAGUAUUGAAAGUAUUUGAAAACUAAUAAUUUUUCGGCAUUAUUUAUCUAUCAAACGAGAAGUCUAAAAAUAAAUAGCUGAAAAUAAAAAUCUCAUAAAAAGUGAUGAAAAAAAAUAUGAAUUUAAGAUCAGAGGUACUGGUCUUAUUCUAAAUAGUGAAAAGAAUUUUUAUAAAAAUUUCAUCAGAUUUGAAUUAUUUUAUACCGUUAAAUUGAUAAACGCAUCAAAUCUACCAUUAAAACUGUCAAUUUUGAGACCUUUUGAUCACUAGCCAAAUUAAGUCGAAAAAUUAUGAAAUUUAGUUUCUAAAUAACUUUAAUAGUGUAGAUCAAGUCUAAUAGAGCCAAUCGUCGAUUUGGAAGCUGCGUCAUUGAAAACAACUUGGUAGUACGGAGGUUUUCAUAUCAGAUAGCAUACGCUCUCUUCAUUCUCAUCAUCUCUCUCUUCUCUCUUCUAUUACUGUCUCUAUAUAUAUAAUUAUCUAUAUAUUUAUAUUUAGAAGAUCUUAAUAUAUAAUAUAUAUAUCUAUCUGGCUGGGAUACUAUCGAUAACAUGAAAUAUUUGGUGCUAUCAAGUUUUCUGCCGUUAGAUUUGCUUCUUUUAUUAUUUUCAUCCAUUCGAUUAUUCUAUUCAACUAACCACCCACUCAACCCUAGGCCGUUUUCGCUAUUAGGAGCACGAAGGCUUCCGUGCUCCUAAGCCGUUUUUGUUAAUGGAGUUUUCUAAUCGACGAUCGACUAUAUCACCAAUUUUUGUAGGAUUUUUAUUUUCAGCAGUUGAUUUUGGACUCUUACGAUUGCUAGGUAAAUAAUAUCCAAAAAUCACAAAAUUUAUUUUCUAAAUACUUUAAAUAUACUAAAUCAAGUCUAACGUAACUAAUCGUUGUUUCAGAAACUUCAUCAUCGAAAACGGCUGAGGAGCACGAAGGCCUCCGUGCUCCUAAUAGCACACGAGACCUACUCUCUCUCUCUCUCUAUAUAUAUAUAGGGAGAGAGAGAGGAGGGAAGCAUGGUUUAUGAUACACUAGGUGCAUCGAAAAUAGCCCGGGGACACGUGACAAUACAACAACAUUAGUAUAUGGACUUUAGUAUAUAUAUAUAUAUAUAUAUAUAUAUAUAUAUAUAUAUAUAUAUAUAUAUAUAUCUUGAGUUUUGCUGUGGCCUACGUGGCUGCUUCUCAGCGCCCCCCUCUCUACCGUCCUCAUUGGCGCCUGGCCUGCAUAACGUGGGUUCUCGGAAGGGCUACGUGUCGCCCUACCCGCGUCUCUCAAACCGUCUCUCGAAUCCCUCUCUCCCGAUCCCUCUCUUGCGAAGCCUAACCCUUGCAGAUCCUGCAGGAUGCGGGGUGUUGUCGCUCCCCCCGUACGUGCGGGCGCACAGCGUGCCGGAGACCUGGCUUCGCCGGUGUGCGCCGUGCCCCAACUCCUCUCUCUACGAUGGGCAAGGCGCCUGGCGCGGGUCAUGUGCACAUGGCAGAACGGGCGGGCGCGGGUGCGGGUGCGGGCGCCAGGUGUGGGUCGCACGCCGUUCACAUGGCAGGGCCUCCCUGGCUCUCUCUCUCUCUCUCUCGCGUGCGCGCGAGGGGUGCGGGUCGCCCGCACAUAGCGGGCCGCCCCCCCGGCUCUCUCUCUCUCUCUCUCUCUCUCUCUCUCGCGGGCGUCGCGGGUCGCCGGCUGUCUCCCCCCCUCUAUCUCCCCCACUUUUUCUCUCCCUCUCCCCACCCCCUGGGCUCCCUCUCUCUCUCUCGCCGGGCUGGCGCCUCCCGAAUGGGCGCAGCAGUAGGGCGCCGGCGCGUAGUGACCAGGCGCAAGCGGGUGGGCGGGUUGGUGCGGGGAGCUCGAGUCGGCCCGGACUACCGGCGUGGGGGUGGCGGGCGAGGCGAGGGAGGAGCGUGGGCUCGUGCGAGUUGAGAGUCCAAGGGCAUGGGGAGAGGGGAAUAGUGUAUUUUUUCAACUCUUCAAAUUUUCCUUUUUUUUUUAAAAAUCUAUUCAAUUUUUUCUUUUUUCAAUAUUAAAUUUUAAAAUAUAUAAAUAAUUUUUAACAUAUAUUAUUAUUUGAUCAUUAAAUAUAAAUUUUAAUUUUAUAAUUAGAUAUCAGAUUCCUGCUGGCCGGCUCCGGCUGUGGCGGCCUAUCGUCGGUGGCCGGGCUCGCGCCGCUGGGUGUGAGGUGGCAUACUCGACGGUGCCGGGCGGGGAGUACGGCGAAACUAGCGGCGGGAGGGGUGGGCUGGCGGGGAUUGGAGCGCGCGGGGAUGUCGCGCAGCGCGGCACGUCCGGAGGCCGCGAGCGAUCUACUGGGUGCGAGAGGGUGGAGAGGAUGCGCAAUCCAUUUGGGAGUGGGAGAGAUCGGGAGUUCCCUAAUUUUACAAUUUUACAAUUUGUAAAAAUAUAAAAUUUUAGGUUUCAAAUAUUAGAUUUUAAAUUUUAUACCCUCCCCUCUCUCUCACUCUCUCUCUCUAUAUCUAAAUUUAAAAUUAAAUAUUUAAAAUUUAAACUUUUUUACUAUUUGAGAUUUAAAUUUAAAUUUAAAAUAUAAAAUAGGAAAAAUUAAAAUUUAAAUUUUAACAGUUGGAAUUGAAAUUGCAACAUUUGAAAUUUAAUAUUUGAUUUUUUUAAUUUCAAUUUAUAAUUUAAUAUUUAAAAUUUUGAAUUUUAAAAUUUAAAACUUAAUAUUUAAAAUUUUAUAUUUUACCUUAAUUGCUAAAACUAAAUGUUACGUCCCGGAUUCCUCGUUUCCUCGGGCACGCUAAUAGACCUACCGUAUAUAUAGAAAUUUUUUCUGUAUACAAAACGAAACUGUACAAGAACCUGAAACCAAACAUACUAUAACCAGUAGUACAGAGCUGAUAGAAAGGAAAAAAACAUAUAUAAACACAGUGGUGCAAUACAUACAUAGCAUCCAGGUACAAACAUACUUACUUCAGUAAGGUAUAACAUCCGAAUGUAAAGAACCAAAAACUACAACUACCUGUAGCUAGUACUCCCCUAACUCUGCGACUCGUCUGGAAGGGCUCUAAUUCGCAACGCCCUUUCCACGAUUAGUCUCGGUAGUAGCAGCAGCCGGAACAGAAGGCUCUGCAAAAGAGGGGUAAUAAAUGGGCGUGAGAACUACUGCAAAAACAAGUAGUCCUCAGUGGGUAUCGCCCUCAACUCAUAGGCUCACCUACUAAGUCUACAGAUGUCUGCUCAAAAGAUAAUAAGAGAACUAAAAACAAUCUACAGCUACAUGCUACUAUACUAUCAUGAUCCAACACUACUAUCUGUAGAAUAAGACAAGCUCUGACCCAAUCUCUUUAGGGACUGUAAACAUACCUGUCUCAGAGAUUGUGAGCACACCCGUCCCUAGGACUGUGAGCACACCCGUCCCGCCUGUCAAGGCUAUACAGCUACCUCCACACUAAGCAGUCCGUGGAGAGCAAGUCCAGCCAGGACAUAACGACACCAACGCAAACGCACAAAACCCAACUCCGAAGUGGCACUCGUGGGCGCUACUCAACCGAGUAUGGAAGCGUAUCUCUGUUGAGCUCAAUCAGACUCUCACAAGCUAAGAUCCAAGUAAACAGGGUUCAACUGGUCUAACAACUAAACUCACGUGCUCUCGGUACAAUCUGAUGCAAAAACAGCAAUCUGGGUCCACCGUCAACCUCAACGGCACCCGACAGUCCGGAACAGCCUAAACACUGCUGUAAAAAUAAGCUCGGCAUCUUAGCAUGAGCGUAAAUACAUUCUAUACUAUUCUGGGUAUCCACCGCCGAUAAACUGCAGUGAUACAAAUAAACUAUAGUUCAUAGAGCUGAAUCUGGUAGUUUUAACAUAUGACAGUGUAGAAGCGCUAGUUUUCUCCUAAGUCAAAUUCAAAUCCAACAUGUAUAAUUUAUUAACUUACUACAGCAUGCUGCAAAUUCAGAUUUCAAUUAACAUACUAAUCGAUGAAUUCGAGCUAAAAACAGGAUAUACAACUGCUAAAUAUAUAUAUGUUGACUACGCGUACACUUAGGAGGAAAAUCCGAUGAUUAACCCACCUUAAGCGCUAAAUCCAUGGCAGCGAGGAGUCACCGGAAUCCCUGUCAAUCUCUGCCACAACCAGCAACCAAACAAAUCCAAGGUCUACACAAAAAUCCACCAAAAAUCCAUCAAUACUUCAAAAAUUCAGCACUUAAGCUAAUAUCAUCCAAUUCCAAUGUGAACUUUACCUUCCAAAGCUCAAAUCAGAUGAAGGAAGGCCCCAAAACCAGUGGGCUGUGCUGGAGUAUCAAGCUCUGGUUCACAAUCCAGCUCCUUCAAAGAAUUGCUCCAAGAAAAUCACAACAAAGUCAAUUUCAGCUCAAACCACCAGCAGUAGAGAAGAAUACGAAAAUGACUGAGCUAGGCUUAACCAAAUUCUGUCAAUUUGGACUCCACGAAUUUCUCUUGAAGUCUAGAAUCCAGCAAACCAAGUUUCGUGGCAAACGGAGUUUUUUACGUUGCACACGAAUCGAAACACCAAAAGUCGCCGCUGGAAAACUGCUAGAACUGCAGCCUUCUAGUUGAAAGUGCACAAAUUGGAGGAAUUGAAGCAAUUUGAGGUGCUAGAUGCAAUUCUAAGCCUUUAUUGUGAAGAAAGGAUGAAAAGGGUUCACUGAGGGCGUACAUAGCCUAUUUAUAGGGAGGUGAAAAGAUAAGGUAAACCCAAAGAACUCCAAACACAAAUCUGCUGCCCCUACAGAAAUCCCCACUUUCGGGCGUCCAAAACAUACAUCUGGGCGUCUGAAAUCUCCAGGCUAUACAAAAGCUUACCAUUGGUUCCUCCACUGCGGUGUGCUGCGCCCAUAACCGGCUCCGGCGGACCUCACCUACCACUAGCCACGCGUCAACUCAAAUAAUAUUCACGAGGUGAACUUUCGGACCCACAACCGGGUGCCCGAAACUAAGAUCCGAAUUGGCUUCCAGUUCAGUUCAAACCAGCACUUAAAUUCUGGGCGACCCAAAUUUGGUUAUGGGCGUCCGAAUCUGGCAAAACUCUAGUUUUGCUUAUUUGAGUGCGCCGAAUCCAUUUAUGCAUCCAUUUUGUACAGAAACGAUUCUGACUUAGUCUGACACUCUCCAGAUGUGUCAACUAGUCACUAGUACUGUAGCCAAUCCUAUCCAAACCUCUGAAACACUAUACUAAAUUUUGAAAGUUUAUUGCUUUAAAUUUUAAAUUUUAGUUUCUAAAUUUUAGACUUUAAAUUUUAUAUUCAAAUUAUGAAUUUUAAAGUUUAAAAAAGUAUCUCUCUUAAUUUGUGCGAGGAAACAAAUUAUAGAUGAGUUCUCAGUGUAACCGUAAACCAUAUUCCUACUCAAAAACAAUCAUCAUGAAUUACAUAAAGCAAACACGGACUCAUACCUAUCCGCCCUGAUGAAAAGAACCACACUUUGAAGGAAAUACAGAAAAUAGAAUGACACAAAAUCCAGCAACAUUUGUCACAAAUGUCCACAGAAACCGAAUUUAUUAUCAACAGAAUAGAGUUCAUCAUUGCCAAAUAAAUGGAAUCUUUAUAAAUUAAGCUUUCUUGACAAACCCAAUUCACUUCCCACAUCACAUCUUCCGUGCAACUCAACAAAGAACCCGUGGAUAAUCAGUGAAUCUCCCAAAAAUCUGAUUUUCAUAUUAGAAAGAAUAGAUUUUUUUUAAAAUUCUCUCGGGCAAUUCCUGCGUAACCCCUUACCCUCAACAACGCAGCUGAAUCAUCUCAAGAUAUUUGAUACAUACAAAAAGGUUCAAAUUAGCUGAACUCUGAAUUUUCUACCUGAAUUCUGAAUUGGGAAUUCAGAAAAGUCUAUAUAAAAUUAAAUAUUUUAAAUAUAGAAACUGAAUUACGAUAAAAUGUAUUUUUUAAAAUUUAAAUUGUUAAAUUCUAAAUUUCAAAUUGCUACAUUAAAAAAAAAGGGAUUUUAAUUUCGUAUGUACAAAAUUAAAUUUUUAGAUAAUUAGAUAUUUUAAAUUUUAAAUAAAUUACAUAAAUUUUUUGCCGCGAAGCGCGGGCCUUCACUAGUAGUAAUAAAUUUCUCAGUAAUACCCGGCCACAUUGUGCUUCCAGCUGCAUGAAAUAUCUGUUAUAGAAAUAAAAAAAAAUCUAAAAUAUUUUUGGUGAGAAAUCCAAUAUAUUCAUUUUUUAAUUUUUAGAAGUUUAUCCAGUAGCUGGAAUUGCCGUGCAGUUCUAAACACUCCAGGCCAGAUAAAGUCUGAAAACAUUCACCAUUCUCGGAUUGAAAAAGUAGGCCGCGUCUUCUUUGGCGAGAGGUCACGAAACUUCGUGACAUAAUCCAAAAAAUUAUGUUGUUGUCAUCUUGUGGACUAAAAUGCAUAUAAUAAUUGGUGGAAGAUGUGGAACUGCAUAUUUUAUUAGUUUGAAAACUUAAUUUUAUAUAUAUAUAUAUAUAUAUAUAUAUACAUGUUUAGUGGCUACAUACUACUUCCUUUAAUAAGUUAUAAUAAUUCUAAACAUCGUUUUCAAUGGUCAAUUCUCCACCCCGCCAAAUUAAGUAUAUGAAAUGGCUUGCAAGGGCUCAAUUUAUUAAAAUAUAAGAUAAGUUUGUGCAAAUCCCUCAAUUUUAGGAUCUCAACUUCAUAAUUAAUGGCGUAUAUAAAUAUUGCUUUAUGGUGCACUAAUGCUUCUAAAUCUUUUAGUGCUUAUGUUGCUGAAUCUUUUAGCAACAUAUUAAGAAACUAUUACGGAUGUUGAGUAAUUAGUAACACUUAAUAGAUGUCGUAAUAUAUAUUAAAAAAAUCUAAUAAGACAUUUCCUACACGGUGGUGUAUAUAAUUUAGGAAGAACUUCAAAUACCACCUAUGUGGUUUCACACUUUUUUACUUUAGUACUCUAUAGUUUAAAGUGUAUCAAUUUAGUUCGCUGUUAUUUUAUUUUUAUCUUUUUUAUUAUUGAUUCCACUAAUUUUUUUCGUUAAAUCAGUGAUAAAGUUACAAUUAAAGGAUACUAAAGUAAAUAUUCGAUAAACCUAGGUGAGUUAUCUGAAGUUUUUUUGUACAUAAUUUAACGAAAUAUUAACGAAAAAAUUGACGAAAAAAUAAAAAUAAAACCACAGGAUACUAACUUGAUACGUUUUAAACCACAUGGUACUAAAGCAAAAAAGUGUAAAAUCAUAGGAGUGGUAUUUGAAGUUUAUCCUAUAAUAUAAUUAAUUCUUGCAUAGAUAAAUUGUACUAAUUAUUUCUGAAUAAAUUUUUUAUUAAUAGCUUUUAAAAUUAAUUAUUUUUUGACCAAUCACUCCAAUUACAGUUGAUACAAAUGAUUCGUACUAAAUAAUAAAUUAUAAUUUCAAUAAUAUAAUUUAGCAAACAUCAAAUUAAUAUAUACUAUUGACUUAAAGAGACUAGUCUCCUGCAUUGUGGCAGGAGGCCAGGCUAGGCCAAGUCACGUUCGAAACAACGGGAGGACGGGUUAGGCCAAGUCAUGUUUCAAGUGGCGUGAGGCUGGGUGGGCGGCGUCACAAUCAAGACUCAUGGACGCUAUGUUUAUACGCUUUAAGUGAAUUGAUUACGUAUUUCUAACAGUUUGAGUUUUUUAAAUAAAUGGUUAGAGCCAACGACUCGACAAGUGGUGCAUCUUGCCAUGUAGCAGGAGAUCUGGUUGGGCCGAGUUGUGUUUGAAGUGGCGUGGGGCUAGUUGGACCGAGUCACAAAUGAGACCCGUGUACACUGUGUCUGUAUACUUUAAAUGAAUUGAUUUGCGUAAUUUAAAUUAUUAUAUACAUUAGAUAUUUAAAAACUUUCAGCAAAUUUGAGUUUUAUAAUCACAUCACAAACAAUUAAUACCAAAAAAAUCUUAUCAAAUGAUAUUAGCAUCUCACCAACAACUAUACGAUACAAAAGAGAUAUCAUCAAAGCAACUAUNUUUUUUUAAAUUUAAAUAUGAUCUUAAAUUUAAAGUUUGAAAUUUAAAAUUUAAAAUUUUGAAUUUAAAAUUUGAGAUUUUAAAUUUCAAAGUUAAAAUUUUAAAUUUAGAAAUAUAAAUUUAAAAAUUUUAAAAUUCAAAUUCAAAUAUAAUAAGUGGAUAAUAUCAUUAUUUUUUAUUUACAAAACCCAUUAUCUUUCUUAUUCUAUCUUACCUAACCAAACGCUAUUUUUUUUUAUUCCAGGAAUAACCCAAUUUUCAUCCAAACGCAAAAUUGAUCUAAUCCUCGCUUAUACCUCAAUUUAUACCUAUCCCUGGAAUAGCCACUUUUUUCUUAUCCCCGAACCAAACGAUACCUAAGUGAAUUGAUUAUGUAUUUCUAACAGUUUGAGUUUUUUGAAUUAAUGGUUAGAGCCAACGACUCGACAAGUGGUGCAUCUUGCUAUGUAGCAGGAGAUCUGGUUGGGCCGAGUUGUGUUUGAAGUGGCGUGGGGCUGGUUGGACCGAGUCACAAAUGAGAUCCGUGUGCAUUGUGUCUGUAUACUUUAAAUGAAUUGAUUUGCGUAAUUUAAAUUAUUACAUACAUCAGAUAUUUAAAAACUUUCAGCAAAUUUGAGUUUUAUAAUCACAUCACAAACAAUUAAUACCAAAAAAGAUCUUAUCAAAUGAUAUACAAAAGAGAUAUCAUCAAAUCAACUAUAUGAUACAAAAGAGGUAUCAUCAAAUAAUAUUUGUAGGCAUAGCCUUAAGUGUUGCUAAGAAAAUGUUGAUAAAUUUUGACUUUGUUGUAGUGUUCAUUGAUACUUUUGUAACUUCAAUUUUUUUAAAAAAAUUAACUUUUAAAAGUAUAUUAUGUUAAAAUCUUUUAUUAAAUUGCGAGACUCAAUUAGACAUUUUCAGAUAAUUAAUUAAUUUUACAAAUUUAAAUUUAUUUGGUCAAAAUUACUUAAUUAAUAAAAAAAUCAAAAGUUGAGGGGAUCUUAAUAAAAAGAACAAUACUAUCUAUAUAUCCCCAAAAGGGUGUAAAUCUUACAUUCCACUCAGUGAAAUUUCUUUCUCACUCUUAUUGAUAUAACGGGCGGAAAAUUCUAACCCAUAGGAUGGUGGGAUGUAAGAUAUCACACUCCAAAGUGAAUUGCACAAGUAAUAUUUUUCAAAAUAUAAACAUAUAAUUUUCUAAUAGCAUAAAUUUUCAAAGAGAUAAACGAUUGUUUUCAUAUAGUAUUAGAGUUAUAGGUCAUAAAUUUUAGUGUUUAGUUCAGAUAAAAAAAUAUUUUACUCAAUAUUAAGGUAAGAGGUUGUAAGUUUAAAUCUCUCGUUCGGACUUGCAAAUAUGUAUAAAGCAUAUUAUGUAUUUAAAGCUUUUCUUUGACUCCUAUAUCUUAAGGUAGAUGUGUGUGAGAAACGUUUGGGAAAACUUCAAAAUAAUAAAUUACGAGAAAUAUGGAAAGAAAUGUGUUUAAUUUUAUGUAAUUUAAACUUUAGUAUAUAUAUCUCUAUGAUUUAUGGUGCUAUAUUAAUUACACUAUUAAAUCACGUAGUAAUUAUAAUUGGUAAAUUGUAAUGACCUAAAUACGUCGGAGAGAAGAGGCAUGACGAAUAGUGAGAGGCGGUGAAGGAGCGCCUUGUUUAUUUCGUUUUAGAAAUAAACUUAGCUAGAAAUGUGAAUUAAUUAGGCUUUGAAUCUCGAAUCUCGGAUAUCAACUACUAAGCUUUUUGCCACUCGCGCUAGGGACGGUCGGUUAGAUACCCGAGGGUUAAUUAAAAGAAUCAGAAGCAAAGGCAUAAGCAGACCAGCGCAAUAUUAGAAUUGUGGCACGUAGUGGGCCAGGCUCACUUUGUCCUGGACUAUGUUUUUAUAAUUUUCUUUUUUUCUUACUAUUCCAGCAUUACAUAAGGUGUAAGAACUGUAAUUUGGGAUAUGAAAAUUAUUGGCAACUGAAUCUUUCCACUCUUCUCUUCUCAAUCUCCUUCUCAUAUUCUUCUUUAUUCUCUCAAUUCCUCUUCCUUUUCCUUCCAAAUUCUCUUCGAGAUUACUUUUCCCUCACAAUCCCAUCAUUCCUUGCCACCAGCUUCAGCAAGAAUCAUCAUUGAUUAUUGCAAGGGCAGGGUCAUUAUAUAAAUUAAAAAUUCAAUCUAACCGUGAAAAAAGCAAGUUAUAUAUAUAUAUAUAUAUAUAUAUAUAUAUAUAUAUAUAUAUAUAUAUAUAUAUAUAUAUAUAUAUAUAUAGUCGGCACAUUCUAUGAUAGUUUUACCAGCCUUUGGCUACUAUAAGAGUUUUCUACGUUAGAUCGUAUCCUGUGAUCAUUUCCACGCGUUAGGUUAUACUAUUAAAUCAACACCCACUCAACCCUAGGGACCACUAUAUUCCUAACAUCACAUCCUUUCAUCCAACGCCAAAACUCAUUGUAUCAAGGGCUUAGUACUAUGAUAGUAUUAGGAUGCAUAAUUCAAUAUAUAUAAUAAUAUAUAUAUAUAUAUAUAUAUAUAUAUAUGCAACGAUCCGACCCACUAGCAAUAAUAACUCAUUGGGCCCAAACCACCGGCCAAAAUGCUUAAGUCCAUUAUUAUUACUAGGCGUGUAGGCCUCAUAUAAACUGAUCACUUAUUGGGAGUGUUACAAAAUUCCCCCUGUUUAGACCUGACGUCUUCGUCGGGUCCAAACCAGUCACAGACAGAACAGACCAGGACCAUUACCAGGCGAUGUGAGAUUUUAGAGGUGACUCUACGGGUUCAAAGAGGUGGCUCCCACCAAACCGUUAGUGAGCAUUUCGUCCCGCAUAAACUUAGUUUUUCACACUUCCGCCCGUUGGUAUGCGGCUCUGAUAACAUUGCAACGACCCGACCCACUAGCAACAAUAACUCAUUGGGCCCAAACCACCGGCCCAAAAUGCUUAAGCCAGUUUUUAUUACUAGCGUGUAGGCCUCAAUAUAAAUUGAUCACUAUGGGGGCGUUACAUAUAUAUAUAUAUAGAGCUAGCUGGUUAUUAUCGGUAGCACGGGAACCUCGUGCUGCCAAGUUGUUUCAAUGAUCCCAAUCCAAAUCACAUUCCCUCCAUUAGACUUGAUCUACACUAUUAAAAAUAUUUAAAAAACUAAAUUUCAUAAUUUUUCGACAUCAUUUGCUAGUGAUCAAAGGUCUCAAAAUUGAUAAUUUUAAUAGUUAGAUGUUGAUGCAUUUUGUCAAUUUUAAAGGUGCAAAAAAUCAAUUCAGAUGAAUUUUUAUAGAAUUUUUUUUUACUAUUAGAGUAAAGAUCAGUACUCUUAUAUUAAAUUCAAGUCUUCUAUCAUCAUUUUAUGAAUUUUAUUUUCAGCGUUCAAAAUCAACCGCUGAAAAUAAAAUCAUACAAAAUAUGAUGAUAUACAUUAAAAUUUUAGAUCAAAAGUUAUUGAUCUUGUUUUAUACGGUAUAAAGAAUUUUUAUCAAAAUUUUAUGUGAUUUGGAUAUUUCUACACGUUAAACUUGCAAACGGCUCACCACGGCUGUUAAAAAUUAUUGAUUUUGAGCCCCUUCGAUCACUAGCAAAUGAUAUCGAAAAAUCACAAAAUUUAUUUUCUAGUACAUCAAAUACUCUAGAUCAACUCUAACGAGCUGAUCGUCGAUUCGAAAGUCCGAACAUUCGAAAACAACUUGGAAGCACGGAGGGCUCUGUGCCUUCCAAAGCCAUCACCAGCUCACUCCAUAUAUAUAUAUAUAUAUAUAUAUAUAUAUAUAUAGGCUGGGGCUACUAUACUUUUAUGAGUAUAGACCCCCUGGUACUCAUAAAUUUUUAACCGUUGAUUGAUAAGAUGUGUGGUUAAGAUGAUGGUGGUUCCCACUUAGAAUGAUAGUGGUCCCCUAGGGUUGAGUAGGUAGUUGGUUAAAUAGUAUGAUCUAACGGGUGGAAAUGAUCAAUGGAAUAAAUCUAAGAGCCGAAAACUUAUGAGUAUAAGGGAGUCAAUACUCAUAAAAGUAUAGUAGCUGGACUCAUAUAUAUAUAUAUAUAUAUAUAUAUAUAUAUAUAUAUAUAUAGUAGGUCUUGUGUGCUAUUAGGAGCACGGAAGCCUCCGUGCACCUAAGCCGUUUUCAAUUAUAGAGUUUCCGAUUCGACGAUCGGCUCCAUUAGACUUGAUCUAGCGAAUUUGAAGUAUCUAGAAAAUAAAUUUUGUAAUUUUUCGAUAUCAUUUACCUAGCGAUUAAAAGGGUCAAAAUCAACAAUUUUUAAUGGCUGAUAUAUAACGUUUCCAAGUUUAACGGUGUAAAAAUAUUCAAAUCAGAUAAAAUUUUGAUAGAAAAUUUUUUAUACUAUUUACAGUAAAAUUAAUAUCUUUGAUCGAAAGUUUUAGUGCUAUAUCACCACUUUUUAUGAGAUUUUUAUUUUCAGCUGUUGAUUUUGAACACUUUUGAUCGUUGGGUAAAUGAUAUCGAAAAAUCGCAAAAUUUAUUUUCUAGUUACUUCAAAUACUCUAGAUCAAGUCUAACGGAGCCGAUCGUCGAUUCGAAAAUUCUAUCAUCGAAAACGGCUUAGGAGCACGGAAGCCUCCGUGCUCCUAUAUAUAUAUAUAUAUAUAUAUAUAUAUAUAUAUAUAUAGUUCGGCUACUAUACUCUUAUGAGUAUAGAGCCCUUUGUACUCAUAAAUUUUCUGCCGUUAAGAUCAACCCUUUUGAUGAUUUUCGUCCGAUAGAUCAUACUAUUCAACCAAUCACCCACUCAACCCUAAGGAACCACUAUCAUUCUAACUGGGGACCACCAUCAUCAUAACUGUACAUUUUUUCAUCCAACGGCAGAAAACUUAUAAGUACAAAAGUCUCUAUACUAUAUAUGCUCUAUACUAUAUAUAUAUAGGCUAGGGUUACUAUACUCUUAUGAGUAUAGAUCCCCUUAUACUCAUAAAGUUUUAACCGUUGAUUGAUGGGAUGUGCGGUUAGGAUUAUGGUGGUCCCCACUUAAAAUGAUAGUGGUUCCCUAGGGUUGAGUAGGUAGUUGGUUGAAUAGUAUGAUUUAACGGGUGGAAAUGAUUAAUGAAAUAAAUCUAAGGGCCAAAAACUUAUGAGUAUAAGAAAGCCAAUACUCAUAAAAGUAUAGUAGCCGGACUCAUAUAUAUAUAUAUAUAUACAUACAUAUAUAUAUAUAUAUAUACAUAUAUAUAUAUAUAUACAUAUAUAUAUAUAUAUAUAUAGAAUCAGUUCGGCUACUAUACUCUUAUGAGUAUAGAGCCUUUGUACUCAUAAAUUUUCUGCCGUUAAGAUCAACCCUUUUUGAUGAUUUUCGAUCCGAUAGAUCAUACUAUUCAACCAAUCACCACUCAACCCUAAGGAACCACUAUCAUUCUAACUGGGGACCAAUCAUCAUAACUGUACAUUUUUUCAUCCAACGGCAGAAACUUAUAAGUACAAAAGUCUCUAUACUAUAUAUGCUCUAUACUAUAUAUAUAUAGGCUAGGGUUACUAUACUCUUAUGAGUAUAGAUCCCCUUAUACUCAUAAAGUUUUAACGUUGAUUGAUGGGAUGUGCGGUUAGGAUUAUGUGGGUCCCCACUUAAAAUGAUAGUGGUUCCCUAGGGUUGAGUGGUAGUUGGUUGAAUAGUAUGAUUUAACGGGUGAAAUGAUUAAUGAAAUAAAUCUAAGGCCAAAAACUUAUGAGCAUAAAGAAAGCCAAUACUCAUAAAAGUAUAGUAGCCGGACUCAUAUAUAUAUUAUAUAUAUAAUACAUAUAUAUUAUAUAUAUAUACAUAUAUAUAUAUAUAUACUAUAAUAAUACAUAUAUAUACAUAUAAUAUUAUAUAUACUAUUAUAGGAUUGGAGCCAUUGUCCUAUCAAGUCGUUUCGAUUGAUCGGAACUUCAAAUUGAUAAUCAGCACCGUUGAAAGUGAUCUACACAAUUAGAAAUGUUUAGAAACCAAAUUUUGUAAUAUUUAAAAUCAUUAUCAAGUUCAUCUUAAGAGUUAAAAAAAUGAACGGCAUAAAUGAAUAACCUUCUUAAAAUAGAGGUUAGACUUUCUCAAUUCAUAAUCAGAGUUAUCAAACAUUAUUUAAAUAUUAUAAAGAAUUUUCUAUCAAAAAUUCAAGCAAUUGGAUUGCUCUACACCGUUAAACAAGCAAAGGCUCAUAUAGGCCGUCAAAAUUGUCGAUUUUACGACACUUUGAUCACCAUAUAAAUAAUUUUUAAAAUUUUAAAAUUUAGUUUCUAGAUAUUUUCAAUACUCUAGAUCAAUUUCAACGGCUGCUGAUCAUCGAUUCGGAAUCUCGAUCAUCAAGAACAAUUUGAUAGGACAAGUGCUCCUAUCCUAUUAAUAGAAUAGUAGCUCUAGCCUAUAUAUAUAUAUAGAGUUGUGCUGGUAUGCUUAUGGAAGCACGGAGGCCUCCGUGCUUCCAAGUCGUUUUCGAUGUUCGGACUUUCGAAUCGACGAUCGGCUCCAUUAGAGUUGAUCUAGAGUAUUUGAAGUACCUAAAAUAAAUUUUGCGAUUUUUUGAUAUCAUUUGCCUAGUGAUCGAAGGGGCUCAAAAUCAAUAAUUUUAACGGCCGUGGUAGCGCGUUGCAAGUUUAACGGUUAGAAAUAUCCAAAUCACAUCAAAUUUUGAUAGAAAAUUCUUUACACCAUAUAAAACAAGAUCUAACUUUGUUCUAAAAUUUUAUGUCAUAUCAUCAUAUUUUGUAAGAUUUUUAUUUUCAGCCUUUGAUUUUGAGCCACUUCGAUCACUAGGCAAACGAUAUCGAAAAAUUGCAAAAUUUAUUUUCUAGAUACUUCAAAUAUCUAGAUCAAGUCUAACGGAGGCCGGUCGUCGAUUCGAAAGUCCGAACAUCGAAAACAAAGUGGAAGCACGGAGCCCUUCGUGUUCAUAAGCAUCCUAGCGCACUUAUAUAUAUAUAAGCAUCCUAGCCGCACUAUAUAUAUAUAUAUAUAUAUUAUAUAUAUAUAUAUAGAGUGAGGCUACUAUGCUAUCGGAAGACGGAGCCUUCCGUGCUUCCAGCUCGUUUUCAAUGUUGCGACUUUCGAAUCGUCGAUGGCUCCGUUAAACUUGAUCUAGAGUAUUUGAGUACCUAGAAAAUAAAUUUUAUUAUUUUUCGAUAUCAUUUGCCUGGUGAUCGAAUGGGCUCAAAAUCAAUAAAUUUCAAUGGCCGUAGUGUGCCGUUUGCAAGUUUAACGGUGUAUAAAUAUCCAAAUCACGUGAAAUUUUGAUAGAAAUUUCUUAUACUAUAUAAAACAAGAUCAAUAUCUUUGAUUUAAAAUUUUAAUGUCAUAUUAUUACAUUUUGUAGAUUUUUAUUUUCAGCGUUGAUUUUAGCCCAUUCGUNNNNNNNNNNNNNNNNNNNNNNNNNGUUAUACUAUUAAUAGGAUUGGAGCCAUUGUCCUAUCAAUCGUUUCGAUUGAUCGGAACUUCAAAUUGAUAAUCAGCACCGUUGAAAGUGAUCUACACAAUUAGAAAUGUUUAGAAACCAAAUUUUGUAAUAUUUAAGAUCAUUAUCAAGUUCAUCUUAAGAGUUAAAAAAAUGAACGGUCAUAAAUGAAUAACCUUCUUAAAAUAGAGGUUAGACUUUCUCAAUUCAUAAUCAGAGUUAUCAAACAUUAUUUAAAUAUUUAUAAGAAUUUUCUAUCAAAAAUUCAAGCAAUUUGGAUUGCUACACCGUUAAACAAGCAACGCUCAUAUAGGCCGUCAAAAUUGUCGAUUUUACGACACUUUGAUCACAUAUAAAUAAUUUUUAAAAUUUUAAAUUUAGUUUCUAGAUAUUUUCAAUACUCUAGAUCAAUUUCAAGGCUCUGAUCAUCGAUUCGGAUCUCGAUCAUCAAGAACAAUUUGAUAGGACAAGUGCUCCUAUCCUAUUAAUAGAAUAGUAGCUCUAGCCUAUAUAUAUAUAUAGAGUUGUGCUGGUAUGCUUAUGGAAGCACGGAGGCCUCCGUGCUUCCAAGUCGUUUUCGAUGUUCGGACUUUCGAAUCGACGAUCGGCUCCAUUAGAGUUGAUCUAGAGUAUUUGAAGUACCUAAAAAUAAAUUUGCGAUUUUUGAUAUCAUUUGCUCAGUGAUCGAAGGGCUCAAAAUCAAUAAUUUUAACGGCCGUGGUGAGCGCCGUUGCAAGUUUAACGGUGUAGAAAUAUCCAAAUCACAUCAAAUUUUGAUAGAAAAUUCUUUACACCAUAUAAAACAAAUCAAUAACUUUGUUCUAAAAUUUAGUGUCAUAUCAUCAUAUUUUUGAAGAUUUUUAUUUUCAGCCUUGAUUUUGAGCCACUUCGAUCACUAGGCAAACGAUAUCGAAAAAUUGCAAAAUUUAUUUUCUAGAUACUUCAAAUACUCUAGAUCAAGUCUAACGGAGCCGGUCGUCGAUUCGAAAGUCCGAACAUCGAAAACAAAGUGGAAGCACGGAGCCCUUCGUGCUCCAUAAGCAUCCUAGCCGCACUCUAUAUAUAUAUAAGCAUCCUAGCCGCACUCUAUAUAUAUAUAUAUAUAUAUAUAUAUAUAUAUAUAUAUAUAGAGUGAGGCUACUAUGCUAUCGGAAGCACGGAGCCUUCCGUGCUUCCAGCUCGUUUUCAAUGUUGCGGACUUUCGAAUCGUCGAUGGCUCCGUUAAACUUGAUCUAGAGUAUUUGGAGUACCUAGAAAAUAUAAUUUUAUUAUUUUCGAUAUCAUUUGCCUGGUGAUCGAAUGGGCUCAAAAUCAAAAUUUCAAUGGCCGUAGUGUGCCGUUUGCAAGUUUAACGGUGUUAUAAUAUCCAAAUCACGUGAAAUUUUGAUAGAAAAUUCUUUAUACUAUAUAAAACAAGAUCAAUAUCUUUGAUUUAAAAUUUUAAUGUCAUAUUAUUACAUUUUGUAAGAUUUUUAUUUUCAGCGUUGAUUUUGAGCCCUUCGUUUACUAGGCAAAUGAUAUCGUAAAAUCAUAAAAUUUAUUUUCUAGGUACUUCAAAUACUCUAGAUCAAGUUUAACGGAGUCGAUCGACGAUUCGAAAGUCGCACAUCGAAAACGAGCUGGAAGCACGGAAGGCCCCGUGCUUCCGAUAGCAUAGUAGCCUCACUCACUCUCUAUUAUUUAUGUAUAUAUAUAUAUAAUUGAGCUCCUUAUUUUCAAAAGUACCAAGUUAUUGGUGCUUGUAGAUUUUUAGUCAUUGGAUUAGAGAUAUGCGGUUAGGAUGAUAAUGGCCCUCUAGGGUUAAGUGGGUGGUUGGUUGAAUAGUAUAAUCUAAUUGUUGAAAAUGAUCCGAGAGUAGAUCUAACGGUAAAAAACUUACAAGCACCAAGUACUUGGUGCUUUACAAGCACCAUAGCUGGACUAUAUAUAUAUUGAGCUAGAAUACUCUCAAAAUCACCAAGGGGGUGGUCGUUUGAGUUCUAACCAUUGGAUGAGAGAUGUAGGGUUGAGAUGAUGGUAGUAGGUGGGAUAGGUGGUGGUAGUUGGAAUAGUUUUUGAUUCAAGGGGUAUUAGUAAUUAAGGAGUAGAUCCAAGGGCUAGAAACUUAGAAACACCAAGGGGUUGUACUUAUAAAGGUAUUCUAGCUCAAUUAUAGAGUGCGUCUGGUAUGCUUCUGGAAGCACGGAGCGCUCCAUGCUUUCAAGUUGUUUUCGAUGUUCGGACUUUCGAAUCGACGAUCGGCUCCGUUAGAUUGAUCUAAAGUAUUUGAAAUAUCUAGAAAAUAAAUUUUGCGAUUUUUCGAUAUCAUUUGCUAGUGAUCGAAGUGGCUCAAAAUAAAUAACUGAAAAUAAAAUCUUACAAAAUAUGAUGAUAUGACAUUAAAAUUUUAGAUCAAAGUUUUGAUCUUGUUUUAUAUGGUAUAAAGAAUUUUCUAUCAAAAUUUCAUAUGAUUUGAAUAUUUCUACACCAUUAAACUUGCAAAUAGCUCACUACAGCUAUAAAAUUAUCGAUUUUGAACCCAUUCGAUCACUGGCAAAUGAUAUCGAAAAAUCACAAAAUUUAUUUUCUAGGUACUUCAAAUAUUCGAGAUUAACUCUAACGGAACCGAUCGUCAAUUCGAAAGUCACAACAUCGAAAACAACUUGGAAGCACAGAAGGCUCCGUGCUUCCAGAAGCAUACCAGCCCACUCCUCAUUAUAUACUAUAUAUAUAUAUAUAUUUGAAGUACCUAGAAAAUAAAUUUUUGUGAUUUUCGAUACCAUUUGCCUAGUGAUCGAAGGGGCUCAAAAUCAAUAAUUUUAAUGGCGUGGUGAGCCGUUUGCAAGUUUAACGGUGUAGAAAUAUCCAAAUCAAGUAAAAUUUUGAUAGAAAAUUCUUUAUACCAUAUAAAACAAGAUCAAUAACUUUGAUCUAAAAUUUUAAUGUCAUAUCAUCAUAUUUUAUAAGAUUUUUAUUUUCAGCCGUUGAUUUGGAGCCACUCCGAUCACUAGGCAAAUGAUAUCGAAAAAUCGAAAAUUUAUUUCUAAAUACUUCAAAUACUCUAAAUCAAGUCUAACAGAGCCGAUCGUCGAUUCAAAAGUCCCAAUAUCGAAACGACUUGGAAGCAUGGAGUGCUCCGUGCUUCCAAAGCACACCAGGCGCACUAAUAUAUAUAUUAUAGGCUGGGCUACUAUACUCUUAUGAGUAUAGACCUCCUUCUACUCAUAAAUUUUUAACCGUUGAUUGAUGGGAUGUGUGGUUAGGAUGACGGUGGUCCUACCUAAAAUAACAGUUGUUCCUAGGGUUGAGUCGUAGUUGGUUGAAUAGUUAUGAUCUAACGGGUGAAAAUGAUAAAUGAAAUAAAUCUAACGGCCGAAAACUUAUGAGUAUAAGGGAGCCAAUACUCAUAAAAGUAUAAUAGCCGGACUCUCUCUCUCUCUCUCUCUCUCUCUCUCUCUCUCUCUCUCUCUCUAUAAUAUUAUAUAUAUAUAUAUAUAUUAUAAUAUAUAUAUAUAUGAGUAGGUCUCCUGUGCUUCGAAAGUACGGAGGCUUUCUGUGCUUGUAAGUUGUUUUCGAUUAUAGGACAUCCGAUCGACGAUCGCUCCAUUAGGCAUAAUCUAUGUUAUUAGAACUAUCUAGAAACCAAAUUUCAUAAUUUUUCGACAUCAUUUACUAAGCGAUCAAAGGAUCUCAAAAAUAACUAUUUUAACGGCCGAUGUGGCACGUUUUUAUGUUCAACGGUGUAGAAGCAUCCAAAUAUUAUGAAACUUUAAUAAGAAAAUUCUACUUAACAUCAAGAGCAAGAAUAAUACUUCCGAUUUGAAAUUUGAGUCUUUAUUACUGUUUUUUAUAAAGAUUUUUAUUUUCAGCCGUUCAUUUUGAGACUACUCGUUCACUAGGCAAACAGGAGAAAAAAUUAUAAAAUUUGUUUCCAGAUAGUUCCAAUACAUAGAUCAUGUCUAACGGAAACGAUCGCCGAAUCGAUGUUCCAUCAUCGAAACAACAUUACAAGUACGGAGGCAUCCGUACUUUCGAAAGCAUAGGAGCCUAUAGCGCUCUCUCUCUCUCUCUCUCUCUCUCUCUCUCUAUAUAUAUAAUAUAUAUAUAUAAGAAGGAGGGAGAGAGAGAGAGAGAGAGAUUUGUGCUGGAAUGCUUAUGGAAGCACGGAGGCCUCCGUGCUUCCAAGCCGUUUUCGAUGUUCGGACUUUCGAAUCGACGAUCGGCUCUAUUAGACUUGUCUAGAGUAUUUAGUACCUAGGAAAUAAAUUUUACGAUUUUUCGAUAUCAUUUGCCCGUGAUCGAAGGGCUCAAAAUCAAUAAUUUUAACGGCCGUGGUGAGCCGUUUGCAAGUUUAGCGUGUAGAAAUAUCCAAAUCACGUGAAAUUUUGAAUAGAAAAUUCUUUAUACUAUAUAAAAUAAGAUCAAUAUCUUUGAUCUAAAUUUUAAUGUCAUAUCAUCACAUUUUGUAGUUCAGAUUUUGAGCCCUUCGAUCGCUAGGCAAAUGAUAUCGAAAAUCGCAAAAUUAUUUUUCUACAUAUUUCAAAUACUCUAGAUCAAGUCUAACGGAGCGAUCGUCGAUUCGAAAAUCCCAACAUCAAAAACAACUUGGAAGCACGGAGGUCUCCGUGCUUCCAUAAGCAUACCAGCACAACUCUCUCUCUCUCUCUCACUAUAUAUAUAUAGAGCUAGGCUCCUAUGCUUUCGAAAGUACGGAUGCCUCUAUUUAUAACAUCCAGUGGAAUACUAUUAAGGUUCUUAUUAAUAGUUUAUAUAUAUAUAUAUAUAUAUAUAUAAAAUACAAAACGACGCAUUUUACUAUUUACAAUGUUUUUUUUGCUAUCAAGUUUUUAACCCUUGGAUGAAAAUUGUAAGGUCAGGAUGAUAUUAUCGGUUAGAGUUGAGUGGUCCCCUAGUGUUGAGUGGUUCCCACUGGAUUUAUAGUAUUUAAUCCCAAUAGUUAGAAAUAAUGAAAAGAGUGAUCCAAAGGCCUAAAAAACUGAUAGUAAUAAUAGAAUUUUGCUACUAUAAGUAGCCAGUCCAACUCUCUCUUCUCUUUCUCUCUCUCUCUCUCUCUCUCUUCUCUAUAUAUAUAAUAUAUAUAUAGUGAGGCUAUUAUGCUAUCGGAAGCACGGAACCUUUCGUGCUUCCAGCUCGUUUUCGAUUGUUGCGACUUCGAAUCGUCGAUCGGCUCCAUUAAACUUGAUCUAGAGUAUUUGAAGUACCUAGAAAAUAAAUUUUAUGAUUUUUCGAUAUCAUUUGCCUAAUGAACGAAGGGGCUCAAAAUUAACGGCUGAAAAUAAAAAUCUUAUAAAAUGUAAUAAUAUGACAUUAAAAUUUUAAAUCAAAAUAUUGAUUCUUCGAUCUCUCUUCUUGGUUUCGUUCACUAGGCAAAUGAUAUCGUAAAAUCAUAAAAUUUAUUUUCUAGGUACUUCAAAUACUCUAGAUCAAGUUUAACGGAGUCGAUCGACGAUUCGAAAGUCGCAACAUCGAAAACGAGCUGGAAGCACGGAAGGCUCCGUGCUUCCGAUAGCAUAGUAGCCUCACUCACUCUCUCUCUCUCUAUAUAUAUAUAUAUAAUUGAGCUCCUAUACUUUCAAAAGUACCAAGUUAUUGGUGCUUGUAGAUUUUUAGUCAUUGGAUUAAGAGAUGUGCGGUUAGGAUGAUAUGGGCCCUCUAGGGUUAAGUGGGUGGUUGGUUGAAUAGUAUAAUCUAAUUGUUGAAAAUGAUCCGAGGAGUAGAUCUAACGGUAAAAAACUUACAAGCACCAAGUACUUGGUGCUUUUACAAGCACCAUAGCUGGACUAUAUAUAUAGUUGAGCUAGAAUACUCUCAAAAUCACCAAGGGGGUGGUGCGUUUGAGUUUCUAACCAUUGGAUGGAGAGAUGUAGGGUUGAGAUGAUGGUAGUAGGUGGUGAUAGGUGGUGGUAGUUGGAAUAGUUUUUGAUUCAAGGGGUAUUAGUAAUUAAGGAGUAGAUCCAAGGGCUAGAAACUUAGAAACACCAAGGGGUUGGUACUUAUAAAGGUAUUCUAGCUCAAUUAUAGAGUGCGUCUGGUAUGCUUCUGGAAGCACGGAGCGCUCCAUGCUUUCAAGUUGUUUUCGAUGUUCGGACUUUCGAAUCGACGAUCGGCUCCGUUAGAUUUGAUCUAAAGUAUUUGAAAUAUCUAGAAAAUAAAUUUUGCGAUUUUUCGAUAUCAUUUGCCUAGUGAUCGAAGUGGCUCAAAAUAAAUAACUGAAAAUAAAAAUCUUACAAAAUAUGAUGAUAUGACAUUAAAAUUUUAGAUCAAAGUUAUUGAUCUUGUUUUAUAUGGUAUAAAGAAUUUUCUAUCAAAAUUUCAUAUGAUUUGAAUAUUUCUACACCAUUAAACUUGCAAAUAGCUCACUACGGCUAUUAAAAUUAUCGAUUUUGAACCCAUUCGAUCACUGGUCAAAUGAUAUCGAAAAAUCACAAAAUUUAUUUUCUAGGUACUUCAAAUAUUCGAGAUUAACUCUAACGGAACCGAUCGUCAAUUCGAAAGUCACAACAUCGAAAACAACUUGGAAGCACAGAAGGCUCCGUGCUUCCAGAAGCAUACCAGCCCACUCCUCAAUUUAUAUACAUAUAUAUAUAUAUUUGAAGUACCUAGAAAAUAAAUUUUGUGAUUUUUCGAUACCAUUUGCCUAGUGAUCGAAGGGGCUCAAAAUCAAUAAUUUUAAUCGGCGGUGCGUGAGCGUUUGAGUUUAACGUAUCGUUAGUGAAAUUAUCCAAUGCAAGUUAAAAUUUUGAUAGAAAAUUCUUUAUACCAUUAUAAAACAAGAUCAAUAACUUUUGAUUCUAAAAAUUUUAUAUGUAUUUAUCAUCAUAUUUUAUAAGAGGUUUUUAUAUUUCAGCCGUGACUUUGGAGCCACUCCGAUCAUAGGCAAAUGAUAUCGAAAAUAUGCCUAAAUUUAUUUCUAAAUACUUCAAAUACUCUAAAUCAAGGUUCUUAACAGAGCCGAUCGUCGAUUCAAAAUGUCCAUAUUCGAAAAACGGACUUGGACAUGAGUGCUCCGUGGCUUCCAGAAAUGCAGCACCAGCUGCGACAUAUAUAUUAUUAUAUAUAGGCUGGCUACUAUACCUCUUAUGAGUAUAGACCUCCUUCUACUCAUAAAUUUUUAACGUGAUUUGAUGGAUGUGUGGUUUAGAGAUGACGGUGGGUCCCCACUAAAAUAACAGUUGAUUCCCUAGGCGUGAGUCGAGUAGCUGUGUUGAAUAGUAGUUGAUCUAACGGGUGAAAAUGGAUAUAUGAAAUAAAUCUAACGGCCCGAAAACUUAUGAGUAUAGGGAGCCAAUACUCAUAAAAGUAUAAUAGCCGGACAUCUCUCUCUCUCUCUCUCUCUCUCUCUUCUCUCUCUCUCUUAUAUAUAUAUAUAUAUAUAAUAUUAUAUUAUUGAUAUAUAUAUAUAUAUGAGUAGGUCUCCGUUGCUUCGAAAGUCGGAGGCUUCGUGCGUCUUGAUAAGUUGCUUUUCGAUUAUAGGACAUCCGAUUCGACGAUCGCCUCCAUAGGCCAUAAUCUAGUUAUUAGAAACUAUCUAGAAACCAAAUUCAUUUAAUUUUUCGACGAUCAUUUUACUAAGCGAUCAAAGGAUCUCAAAAUAACUAUUUUAACGGCCGAUUGUGGCACUUUUUAUGUUCAACGGUUGUCAGUAGAAGCAUCCAAAUUACAUUAUGAACUUUAUAGAAAAUUCUACUUAACAUCAUAGAGCAAGAAUAAUACUCGAUUUGAAUUUGAUCUUUUAUUACUGUUUUUUAUAAGAUUUUUAUUUUCAGCCGUAUCAUUUUGAGACAUACUGUUCACUAGGCAAAACGAACAGUUAAAAAUUUAAAAUUUGGUUUCCAGAAUAGUUCCAUAACAUAAUCAUGUCUAACUGGAACCGAUCGCGAAUCGAUGUUCCAGUCAUCGAAACAACUUAUAACUACGGAGGCCAUACCUUCUUCGAAGCAUAGGAGCCUAAGCCGUCCUCUGCUCCUCUCUUUCUCUCUUCUUCUCUAUAUAUAUAUAAUAUAUAUAGAUGAUAGAGGAAGACGAGAGUAGAGAGAAGUUGUGCUGGAAUAUAGCUUAUGGAAGCCCGGAGGCUCCGUGCUUCAAGCCAGUUUUCGCAUGUUCGGAUUUCGAUAUCGACGAAUCGGCUCUAUUAGACUUGAUUCUGAGUAUUUGAGAAGUACCUAGGAUAAUACAUUUUACGAUUUUUCGAUAUCAUUUGCGCCAGUGAUCGAAGGGCUCAAAAUCAAUUAAUUUUAACGGCCGUGAGUGAGCAGUUUGCAAGUUUAGGCGGUUUUGUAGAAAUAUCAAAUCCUGUGAAAUUUUGUAGAAAAUUCUUUCAUAUCGUAUAUAAAAUAAGAUCAAUGUCUUUGAUCUAAAUUUUUAAAUGUACAUAUCAUCACAUUUUGUGAGAUUUUUUUUUCAGCGAUUGUUUUGAGCCCUUCGAUCGCUAGGCAAAUGAUACGAAAAUCGCAAAAAUUUAUUUUCUACAUAUUUCAAAUACUCUAGAUCAAGUCUAACGGAGCGAUCGCGAUUCGAAAAUCCCAACAUCAAAACAAUUGGAAGCACGGAGGGUCUCCGUGCUUCCUAAGCAUACAGCACAACUCUCUAUUCUCUCCUCUCUCAUAUAUAUAGUAUAGAAGCUUAGGCUCCUAUGCCUUUCGAAUAGUACGGAUUGCCUCUUAUUUAUAACAUUCCAGUGGAAAUACUAUUAAGCGUUUUACGAUUAAUAGGUUAUAUAGAUAUAUUAUAUAUAUAUAAAAAUAAGCCAAACGAGCAUUUUAACGUAUUUACAUGUUUUUUUUGCCUAUCAAGUUUUUUAACCCUUGGAUGAAAAUUUGGUAGGUCAGGAUAGAUAUUAGUCGGUUAGCAGUUGAGUGGUCCCCUAGUGUUGAGUGGUUCCCACUGGAUUAUAGUAAAUGAUUUAAUCCACAUAGUUAGAAAUAAUGAAAAGAGUUGAUCCAAAGAGCCGUAAAAAAGACUGAAGUAAUAUUGAAUUUUGCUACUAAUAGUAGUCCCAGUCAACUCCUUCUCUCUCUUCUCUCUUCUUCUCUCUACUCUUCUCUCUCUCUCUCUAAUUUUAAUAUAUAUUAUAUAUAUAUAUAGUGAGGCUACUUAUGCUAUGCGAACACGGAACCUUUCGUGCUUCCAGCUCGUUUCGAUUGUUGCGACUUUCGAAUCGUCGAUCGCGCUCCAUUAAACUUGAUCUAGAGUAUUUGAAGUACCUAGAAAAUAAAUUUUAUGAUUUUUCGAUAUCAUUGCCUAAUGACGAAGGGGCUCAAAAUUAACGGCUGAAAAUAAAAUCUGUAUAAAAUGUAAUAUAUGACAUUAAAAUUUUAAAUCAAAUAUUAUCUCGUUUUAUUAUAUAGAAUAAAGAAUUUUAUCCAAAAUUUCACGUGAUUUGAAUAUUUCUUCACCGUUAAACUUGCAAACGGCUCACUACGCCAUUGAAAUUUAUUGAUUUUGAGCCCUUCGAUCACUAGGCAAAUGAUAUCGAAAAAUAAUAAAAUUUAUUUUUCUAGGUACUCAAAUACUCUAGAUCAAGUUUAACGCGAGCGAUUGACGAUUUGAAAAUCGCACAUCGAAAACGAGGUGGAAGACGGAAGUCUUGUGCUUCCGAUAGCCUAGUAGCCUCACUGCUAAAAUAUAAUAUAUUAUAAUAGUAUAAUUAUUAUAUUUAAUAUAUAUAUAUAUAUAUAUAGAAUUAGGCUGGAAUACUAUUAAUAGUAAAACACUCUUUUUGCUAUUAAGUUUUUAAUCCUUGGAUGAAAAAUUGUAAGAUCAGGAUGAUAUCAGUCGGUUAAAGUUGAGUGGUCCCCCUAGGGUUGAGUGGUCCCCACUGGAUUAUAGUAUUUAAUCCAAUGGUUAGAAAUAAUGAAAAGAGUUGAUCCAAAGGCUAAAAAGCUGAUAGCAACAAUAGGAUUUUGUUACUAAUAAUAGCCUAGUCCAACUCUCUCUCUCUCUCUAUAUAUAUAUAUAUCUAUCUCAUUAAAGGGUGAACCCUUAACCUCUUUGCGGCAUUCUUCGUGAUUUCGGGUCUCUCCCUUAACCCCUUUCCUGCGUUCUCCGUGAUUUCGGACCUCCCGCACCCUACUCUCUCUUACCCUCUCUCCUUUUCUCUCUGAGAUGUGGGGCUUAUUCUUCUCCACACCCUACUCUCUCUUACCCUCUCUCCUUCUCAACGAACCCUAACUCUCUCUCUCUUUCUUUUCUAGCCGCCUCUGCAGAUUUUUCGGGAUUUCUCUGUCCCUCUCAACAAACCCUAGGUUCGCCUAGGCUCUCUCCACCGACCUCCCCUGUAGGGGUCGUACCUUACACCGCUCAACCGCAGCUUCACCAAACCGAAUUUUCGGAUCGUGGGUCCCAUCGAGCGCUAUUUUUUUUUUUUUACCCUGUAGACCUCUACCAUUCGCCUCCCCUCUCUCUCUCUCUCUCUCUCUCUCCGUACGCCUCCGCCGCCUACGCGCCGCCUCCGCCUCUGCCUUAUACUACUUUCCCCCACCCCAACUGAGGAAGGGAAUCGAGCUCGCUCUCUCGAGCUCGCGCUCGCGGAGUAAACCCUAGAUUUUUUAUCCGUUGAGAUCGCGGAGAGCAUGGCCGGGAUCCGCGUCUCCAUGGACGUCGGAGGCGACGGGUUCGCCGUGAUCGCUAUCUCCAACACCCCCGUGAACGCGCUGCAUCCCGCGAGUAAUCACGAUCUACCCCUGUUUUUUUUUUUUUUUUUUGGGUGUUCUUAUUUGAUGUAUGUGGCUUAAUUUGAGUUGAGAACCCGUGAUUUGUGAUCUGUAGGUUUUUUUUCCUAUUUUUUUAAAAAUUAUUUAUUUAUUUUUUCUGAUUUUUUUUUUCAUGGGAAAUGAGCUCGAGAGCCUACUGAAUUAUAAUUUUUAUCUAAGUAAUCAAUUUAUUGCAAAAUUUCUCAUCUAAGUAAUCAACCUGAGCUCUUUUCCCAUGAACCUCUCUCUCUCUCUCUCUCUCUCUCUCUCUCUCUCUCUUUUUAUUUUGGUGUCCAUAUUUGAUGUUUGUAGCAAAUUGGAGCGGAGAAUCUGUGUAUGAUGAUCCGUAGUUUUUUUUUCACAAUUUUUUUUUUCUAAUUUUGUUCAUGGGAAAAGAGCCCGUGAGCCUACUGGAGUAUAAAAAUCUUUAAAAUUUUCAACUAAUUAAUCAAUCGAUUGUAAAAUUACUCAACUCGACCUUUUCUGUUGUUGCAGUCAAACGCGUUAUUCUCAGGUGACAGAAAACUUAGAAAUUUUUUUUUAAAAAAAUUCUAAGUUUAUUAAGGAUUUGUAAUAUGGCUCGGUUGAGGUGAUCUAUUAAUCUGGCAGAAGUUUCAGGUGGUGAUUUGAUAUAUUUUCACUCUAAGUUGACAGUUUGCUGACACUGUUUAGAGCUCUUGACAAAGUUCAUAAUAGGUGGUUGGUUCAUUGAUUGUUGUUUGGUGGUACAUUUAAAUGUUUAAAACGUAGGAUUGUAAUCGGCCCAGAGUUGCCUUUGUAAGCAUCCGCCAUACAAUGUCAAGAAGCUGCUCUCUCUUUGUCACUGCCUACUUUCUUUAUUCUCUUUUGGUAGUAAAUAGGUUGGACUAGAUUCAAUUGUGUGCUUUUAUCACUACUUAGCUGCAACAGAGAUCUAAGUUGUAAAGAAAACAAGAUUUUUCUAUGCAAGUAAAACCGAUUUAAAAUGUUCGGGUAGAGACACCCAAUUUGCCCACAGCUUCAAAAUGUCCACACCGACUAUUUUACUUAAACGAAAAACAUAAAGCUGAUUUCAAACACAGGCCCAUUUUGCCUAAUUUGUCCGAAACUUUGAGAUUUCCUCACCCCAGACUAUUUUACUUAAAAAUAAAAAAAAAAAUCGAUGGAGAUGAACUCCUUUCCUUCCACCAAAGCUGCUCCACUGCUAUUUUACUUAAAUAAAAAUAUAAAAUUAAUUUAUAAUAAAACAGUAAUAAUAGUAAUGAACCCUAAUAAUAUAAUAAAACUAUUUCGGAUGCAUCUUUUUGAAUCUUUUAAUAGGAUGCACUUUAUCGAUACAAUGCCAUUAACAUAUGGACAACUAUUUCUAAUUAGCAUAUGAACAAUUUUUAGUAUUAUACAUAUUUAUGAAAGUAUUAUACUUUUGUUCUUUAAUAUUUACAAAUUUAUAUUUAUUGUAGAUUUUUUUGCCCGCCGCGAAGCGCGGGUUCUUAACUAGUAUAUAUAUAUAUAUAUAUAUAUAUGCAACUUGGAAACUGUUAUUUUAGUUUCCGUUCAAAGAUUAAAAUGAUGGUAAAAUCAAUUAGCACUGUUGAGAUAGAAAAAAUAUCACAUUUACCAGAAACAGAAUGUUCCUCUUACAAAUUAUCAUAUAUCAAAAGAGAACAUGAAAAGUAGACAGAAUAUAUUAGAAAAGGUGCCGNGCAAUCAUGAGGUUAGGGUUUCGGGCUUUGUUGAGAAUCAAUCCUUAGUUCCCUUACUUGCGUGUGAUGUGACGUGUUUUUGUUUGGACCAGUUUGCUUAAGCUUUUGGGUCGGAACUGCGAUUUUGAAGUUUGUUUCAAUCUGGAUAUUAAACUUCAAAUUUUGGUUUCGAUUGAUUCACUCUGCUACGCUUCAUUUGAUUUUUAAUUUUUCACUUUUUCUUUUUUAAUAAAGAGAUGAUGAUGUGAUGGCUGAUGCUGCUGUUGAGAGUGAUUCGGCUAUUACAUCAUCUCAAGACUAUAACUAUUCAAUUUUUUGUAUCAUCUUAGAGAGGUAAUUUGACAAUUCUCAUCAGCAACCGCAUCAUCUUCGAGAGAUGAAUUAGUACGCCUCUUCUCUCCUACAGAGUUUAUCAGAGUGAUUUGAUUGAAACUGACAUUAAAACAGGCCAAAGAUUCGAGAAAAAUUGAAACUUUGCCGUAGGUUGGUGGUGACAUUUACACCGCAACCACCCCGCCACUUUAUUUUUUAUUUUAUUUUAUUUUAUUUUUUUGUGUUUGUUUGAGCGCCACUAUUAGAUGAUAAUAACAGGAUCCUUUUGGUACCCAGGAUUGGAUUGGACAAAGAUAAGAUGAGAGGCCGAUAUUGUGGAAGAGUGAGGUUUAGCGACUCGUAGGUGUCGGGGGUUUUGAUGGGUAGGGACUAGGGAUAUGUUAGGACAAUAUUUAAAUCCAAUCUGAUUCAAUCCCCAUCUCUUCAGUGGUGGGAUUUGUAGUCCCACCCGAAUGAGAUUACUGGACCGACUAUUGUAUGAUGUUCCCUUCUCUUACAACUCUAGGUGCCGCUUAUCCUUAGGCUGAUCCUAUCCAAUCCAAUAUUGGGUACUGGUGGUCCACAAAUGAUUUUAUUUAUAUAGCAAGCUGUAUGUUAUGACCUAAUUUUCGAUAAUAAACUUAUUCAUCUAAAGUGGUUUGCACCUGUCCAACUAGCAAAUAAGUCCUUCCUGAUUCAUCUUUGCUGUAGUUUUGAUUAUUUUUAGUUAAACAUACGCAGAAAACUACUUAAUAGUUAAAACGUGUUGGUAACAGUAUUGCGGACUGUUUUAUCGAUCUAUUUGGGUAGAAUGGCGAUGAAUUGAUGAGAUUUUACUUGGCAGUUUAUCUAAAUAUCAAUUAUGAAAGGUGAAAAUCUAGAAAAUAGUUUGAGCUAAUUAAACAUGUUAAGAACCAAGAGUUUAGCUGAAAUGUCAAAAGGGAAUGAAUAAGUUCAAUAAUAACAAAUUUUCUCUAUUCAUUUCCCAUGCUCCAUGUUUACUAGUCGCAUCUCCUGCUUCAUCUCAUAAAUGUUUUUGCUUAUUUCUGGACAAAUCUACGAAGCUGCAUGUGAAAUUCGUUAUUUGUGCCUUGCUGUAGUCUGAAAUAGUAUUGUAAAAGCUUUUCCUUGCUAAGCCUUCCCUAACUAACUGUUUUUCAAGGAAAUUUAAGAUUAUAAGUUGUUGAAAUGGUAAUAGAGAUGUCCUGAAUAUUGUUUUUAACUAGAUGAAGAAAAGCUUUGGCCAUGACUUUAGUUAAACACCGAGUUAAACCCUGAACAUGGUUAUGUGUUGCACUUACUGUGUCUCUCUGAAUAUUUCUUUUCCUACUUUUCAUAUUUCUGAAUUAAUAUGUAUAUCAUGCUACUUUGAGUUUGAGUGCUAUUAAGAACUUACAUCAACCUCUUAAUUUGCUUUUCUCAAUUUUAUAUGGAACCAAACAACAACGCGCAGUUUUUCUCCAAUCCUGCCCCAUGGAGUAACGCGCGCACUCCUACAAGUCUCCUCGAAAGUGUUCCGCAUCGAAACCACCGGCAUAGUAAAAACCGUAUAAAGGCCUCUUCUUUGGGCUUCUUCUAGGGUUUCGCACCCUGGAGGUCGGGGGUAAUGGAGAGGGGAGUGAGGAGAUGGUUGGUGAACAUCUCUACGUGGGAUCCCUCCGAGCGGCGCUUUGCCUCUCUCGCUUCUCUUCUCCCUCCGCAUGAGCGCCCUGCAAUCAUGAGGUUAGGGUUUCGGGCUUUGUUGAGAAUCAAUCCUUAGUUCCCUUACUUGCGUGUGAUGUGACGUGUUUUUGUUUGGACCAGUUUGCUUAAGCUUUUGGGUCGGAACUGCGAUUUUGAAGUUUGUUUCAAUCUGGAUAUUAAACUUCAAAUUUUGGUUUCGAUUGAUUCACUCUGCUACGCUUCAUUUGAUUUUUAAUUUUUCACUUUUUCUUUUUUAAUAAAGAGAUGAUGAUGUGAUGGCUGAUGCUGCUGUUGAGAGUGAUUCGGCUAUUACAUCAUCUCAAGACUAUAACUAUUCAAUUUUUUGUAUCAUCUUAGAGAGGUAAUUUGACAAUUCUCAUCAGCAACCGCAUCAUCUUCGAGAGAUGAAUUAGUACGCCUCUUCUCUCCUACAGAGUUUAUCAGAGUGAUUUGAUUGAAACUGACAUUAAAACAGGCCAAAGAUUCGAGAAAAAUUGAAACUUUGCCGUAGGUUGGUGGUGACAUUUACACCGCAACCACCCCGCCACUUUAUUUUUUAUUUUAUUUUAUUUUAUUUUUUUGUGUUUGUUUGAGCGCCACUAUUAGAUGAUAAUAACAGGAUCCUUUUGGUACCCAGGAUUGGAUUGGACAAAGAUAAGAUGAGAGGCCGAUAUUGUGGAAGAGUGAGGUUUAGCGACUCGUAGGUGUCGGGGGUUUUGAUGGGUAGGGACUAGGGAUAUGUUAGGACAAUAUUUAAAUCCAAUCUGAUUCAAUCCCCAUCUCUUCAGUGGUGGGAUUUGUAGUCCCACCCGAAUGAGAUUACUGGACCGACUAUUGUAUGAUGUUCCCUUCUCUUACAACUCUAGGUGCCGCUUAUCCUUAGGCUGAUCCUAUCCAAUCCAAUAUUGGGUACUGGUGGUCCACAAAUGAUUUUAUUUAUAUAGCAAGCUGUAUGUUAUGACCUAAUUUUCGAUAAUAAACUUAUUCAUCUAAAGUGGUUUGCACCUGUCCAACUAGCAAAUAAGUCCUUCCUGAUUCAUCUUUGCUGUAGUUUUGAUUAUUUUUAGUUAAACAUACGCAGAAAACUACUUAAUAGUUAAAACGUGUUGGUAACAGUAUUGCGGACUGUUUUAUCGAUCUAUUUGGGUAGAAUGGCGAUGAAUUGAUGAGAUUUUACUUGGCAGUUUAUCUAAAUAUCAAUUAUGAAAGGUGAAAAUCUAGAAAAUAGUUUGAGCUAAUUAAACAUGUUAAGAACCAAGAGUUUAGCUGAAAUGUCAAAAGGGAAUGAAUAAGUUCAAUAAUAACAAAUUUUCUCUAUUCAUUUCCCAUGCUCCAUGUUUACUAGUCGCAUCUCCUGCUUCAUCUCAUAAAUGUUUUUGCUUAUUUCUGGACAAAUCUACGAAGCUGCAUGUGAAAUUCGUUAUUUGUGCCUUGCUGUAGUCUGAAAUAGUAUUGUAAAAGCUUUUCCUUGCUAAGCCUUCCCUAACUAACUGUUUUUCAAGGAAAUUUAAGAUUAUAAGUUGUUGAAAUGGUAAUAGAGAUGUCCUGAAUAUUGUUUUUAACUAGAUGAAGAAAAGCUUUGGCCAUGACUUUAGUUAAACACCGAGUUAAACCCUGAACAUGGUUAUGUGUUGCACUUACUGUGUCUCUCUGAAUAUUUCUUUUCCUACUUUUCAUAUUUCUGAAUUAAUAUGUAUAUCAUGCUACUUUGAGUUUGAGUGCUAUUAAGAACUUACAUCAACCUCUUACGUAAAUAGGUUUGUAAAGGUUGAUGACAGGAAACGAGCACUUGUCAGUCGAUUGCUUCAGUAUGUGCUCGUGCGUGAAGUUCUUGGUAUUCCAUUUGACAAAAUAACCUUGAGCCGUACAAUUGAGGGAAAACCCUAUUUGGUAUGAUUUGCUUAAGUUGUUAUAAUUAUGAACCUGGGGUUGAAAUCUGCUUUUAUGGGAUGAAACACAGCUUAUCAUUAUCUCAUUGUAUAUUACUGUUGAAUUAUGAUAAACUAUUUAUUUUCUUUGGAAAAUAAACAAGAGACCAUUAAUUAGAAAGGUCUGUUUACCCCUUUCCAUUUCUACAUCGUACAGCUGCAUAUAUCUACUUUGCUUACCCUUGGGAAUGCAGUAUAUUUCUAUGCCGUGUAGCCUUCUUUGACCCUUUUCACUCUGUGCAUCCACAAGUUAUUUACCAGCAAAAUGUAUUCUGUUGGCUGAUUUGGUUCAUAUGGCAAUUAAGGGUUUCCGUUAGCAGAAUAAUGAAGAUAAUGUGGUAUUUCCAAACUUCAAUUUCAAUGCAUCACAUCAUGGGGAUUAUGUUGGCAUAGCAUCUGAGCCACGCUGUCUUGUUGGCUUGGAUAUUGUUAGUGUUUCCAAGCCUCAGAAAGAAGAAGUUUUAGAGUUCAUUGAUAGCUUCUCAUCGUACUUCACAGUUUUAGAAUGGAAGAACAUCCUUCAAUCAAGCUCUUCUGAUGAAAUCUUGAUCGAGUUCUACAGGUAGUUAUGUAUCUUUUGUUGUAAAGGCAUAAGCAUUCUUGAUAUCCUUAUUUAUUAACAAGGGGAUAUAUUUAUAUUUCUUCAUGUCCAUAUUGCAACAAGUAAUAAGUAAACUGUAUAUUAACAGUAUAGAAGAAAAGAAUUUCUUUUCAUCCUUCAAACAUGCGUCUGUUUCAACACAUUAAUAUGUUUGUAAAUAAUUGUAUGUUAUCAUUUUGUGAUAUUAGAUUGUUAUUGCUCAUGCUGUAGAUACUGGUGUCUCAAAGAGGCGUUUGUAAAAGCAGUAGGUGCUGGAUUGGGCUUUGGAUUGCACAGAUUGGAAUUCCAUCACGCAAGGUGGACAAAUAUAUCUGUCUGUAUAGAUGGAGCAGAAUCUAAAGAUUGGAGAUUUUGGCUUUUUGAACUCGAUGAGAGGCAUUUGGUCAGUAUAAUGAAUGGCCAUAAAAUAUUGAGACCUAAAGUUUAGCUGUUUUCCAAAUAGGCACCUGAGCUUUCAGUUUUGGUAGCCAGGCCCCUUAAACUUUAUCAAAUAGUUUGAUUGGCUCCUCUCCUCAAUUGAAGUUACUAAUCAUACAACCAUUUGGAUUGCCUGCCUUUUACAUAAUUUCUAAGACUUCAAAAUAUAAAAAGAAAAACCUAAUUUUCUCUUUCAAAUUUGAUAAUUAAGCGUGAAGAUUGAAGAAUAGCGUGGAACUUCCUUUGAUUUUUGCUUGUAUAUAUAUAUAAAAAUAUAAAAAAUAAAUUUUGAAUAUUCUGAAACUUUAUAAGAUUAUAUGCAAGAAUAUGACCAGAACGGUUACGGUUGUAUUAUUAGUAACUUCAAGUGAAGAGAGAGGCUUAUUGAACUAUUUGAUAAAGUUUAGGGGGUCUCUUUGUCAAAAUUGAAAGUUUAGGCUACUAAUCAUAAAAAGAGCUAAAGUUCAAGGGGUUUCUCUACACUAUUCCCUAAACUAUUUCUGUAUCCUCCGUGCUCUUCUACAUUGAUCUUAUAUGCAAAGAUGUUGUUUAUCAAAAUACUAGUUAAUCUGAAAACGUCCUCUCUUGAAAAGGUCCUCUCUACAUUGAUCUUGAGAAGGUCCUCUCUACCUUGAUCUUAUAUGCAAAGAUGUUGUUUAUCAAAAUACUAGUUAAUAUGAACGGGGAGGGGCCCACUUGUAAAAUGCUUGCAACAAGAAUAUUGAAGAAAAAAGCUAUUGAACUUAAAAUGUGAUUGGUCACAGGCAUCUAUAGCAAAAGGACAUCCAAGGGAAGCCGUUGAGACAUAUCGACAAACAUUGACGAAGGUGGACUUUGAGGAGGGGGAGUUCCAGUGCGCUCUUCAGCUUCCAGAACAUGGUUUCACUUCAUUUACAGUUGAUCAACUAGACCCAAAGGAAAAUUAAUGAUGUACAUCUCUUCAACCAAUAGUUUGCAACUGUACAUUCAUUUGAGUCCUUGUAGUUUGGUAGGGAUGUGAGAAAGUAUCCAGUUCAUUGGAUUUUAAAAUUUAGGAGUCAUCACAGGCCAAUCAAAUUCACUGCGUGAGAUUUAUAAAGUGACAAUAUUUGGAUGACUUAUCAUAGUUCCUACAUGGUAUCUUAGACGAUCCGAGGAUCAGUGAUUUUUAAUUUCUCGAUUUUCUGUCAAAUUUACAAUUAGUUCAUGAAUUUGGUUCUUGGAAUAUUUCUUCAAAUAUGAAUCUGAAUCCUAGAGACCUGGUUCUUGGAAUAUUUCUUCAAAUAUUUCUUUGAUCUCUCCCACUUGGUCUCUCUUAACUACUUUUGCUCUAUUCUGGUUUCUACUGCUCCUAAUAACUUUUAAGCUCUCCAAGGAUGGGUUUUGAGCUGAGUAAGGAGCAGAGCUCUUGGAGGAACCUCACUUGUGUUCUAUCAAGUUAGAGCAUAGUAGAGGUAAGAUUUGAUCUUUUGGAGAUAUGUAUUAAAAGGGUUUUUAGGAUGAUUUCCUUAGUGCUAAUGGUAUUAAGAGAGUUUUAGAGGCGGUUAUGUUAGGGUUGAAUCUUGACUGAGAAUUUAUAUAUGAAACCCCCUUGUUUAGGGUUGGUUUGAGAAUAAGAGAGCUUAGAUUGGGACUACUACGAGUUUCAACAUUAUUUGGUGCGUACCGGUAUGCCAAAAGUGGUGAAUUAACUUUUUGUCUUCUUACGCAUGUUUCUAGCUAUCUUUUGAUAUUCCAUUGGCAUGAAUAUUUAUGUUUCUAUGUUGCUCAUUCAUUUCUUGAUAUAUGAACGUAUAGAAAAACAUCUUAGUAUUUGAGUUAUGGUUCAUGUUGACAUUUCAGAAACCUAAUUACUAGUAUAUUUCAUAUGCUACUUUCUUUGAGGUGAUCACUAUGUCAUGAAUUAUGUGGACUAAUCGUGUUAAAAAGAGAAUGAGAUCAUGUGAAGGUACCAAGCAAAACGAAGAAUUAUGAGAUCUUGUUGAUCAUGACAUGUGACUAUAGCCUGCAAGAGUUAAAUUAUGCUCAACUACUUAUUUCCUCGUCUUAGGGUCGUGCCCCCACAAGCUGGCCCUCCGGAGGUGUAGCCAUGCGGCUAUGCUAUUGUUCGAGCUGUCUAUAGUUGAGAUCCUUUAUGGGUUCAUGUGCGAUUAUUUGAUGUCCUACUAGGCAUUGCACGGGAUUGUUUGAUGUCCUACUAGGCAUUGCGCGGGUUUGGCCGAACUAUGGGAGCGUCGUUGGGAUUGGGUAGUAUGAUGUUUGUUAUCUAUUACCAUACUUGAUGCACGAUAGAAUAUGUAACCUCAUUCUUAGUAUUUAGGCAUAAUAGAAGUAUAGUAGUGAUGGUUUAUUAUACUUGUCAUUUUGUUAUUCUUUCUAUAGCUUACAGUAUUGAUACCCGAAGUAGGCCUAGUGGCAUAGGUUGCCGUUAUUGGCUACUGUACUCACCGAAAAAUAUUUUUCAGUAGUUCUCACAUCCCUGUUGUUGUUUUUCUUUCACAGCCAUCGUCGUCGGCAGGUGAUCGUGGCAAAGGUAUUGCAAGCUAGGUAGCACCCCGUCCUGGACGAGCUCUAGUGGAGUGACUGUUAUGUUGGUGGGACUUGCUAGUUGUCUAUAGAAAGUGGGUGUAAAUAUUAUUUUCUAGGUUGCAGCUAGCGCUGUAAUGUGGGCCGUGCCGGGCCGAUACGGUCCACACGGUCCACAUUUAGCUGGGUCGAAACCUGCNGGACCCCCGGCCCAGCACGGCCCCCCGGUCUGGAUGGCACGGGCCUUGCCAAGCCGGCCCUUUUUUAUUUAUUAAUUUUAUUUAAAAAAUAUUAAAAUUUUAAAAAAUAAAUGUAAAAUUAUUAUUUUUUAAAAAAUAAUAUAUGAGUGAAAAAUUUUCAAAUUUUAAAAUACAUUUAUAAAAAUAUUAAAAUUUUAAAAUUAUUUAAAAAUUUUAAAUAUUUUUUGGACCAAAAUGCCCUUCCCAAUAGUCAAAUUAGUUACAAUCUUAAUUUUUCCCAAUAUAAUGUUAAGUAAAAUGACAGAAAUGCUCUUAAAUGGGCUAGUUUGAAUAUGAAGAGAGAAAAACAACUUUUCUCCUCUCCUCUUCUUUACAUUUACUCCUUCCAAUAUCCUAUUUUUUCUCUCUUUUAUUUAGCAAUGAGAAGAAGGAUUUUCCUUCAAAUUGAAGGGAUUUUGGAGGAUACUUUUGGAAAAGGAAAUCCAUUUUCAAGUUGAGACCCUAGCUAGAGAACAAAGUAAGUAGAUCUUUAGUUUUGUACUUUGUGAAUAUCAAAGGAUAAAUAUUUUGGGUUGCAUACACGUUUUUCUAUUUUCUUUGAAGGUCCCAAGCUAUUCUUUAUGGAUUGGAUAUAGUUUUGGAAAAUUUUGUAGCAUUAUAUUCACUUAUUGAAGCUCCAAAUAGAGGAUUUUUGCCUUAUUACGGGAUUUGAUUGUAAUCUUAGGGUAUGGACCCUAAGAGGCCGAAAUGAGGAUUUUGAUCAAUAAUUUUUAGUUCUUUCUAUUUGAAUUUGGGGGCCAAUGCAUGAUUAUAUGAAUUGCCUUUAUUUUUGAGAGGUUUUGAUGAGUUACUUGCAUGUUAUGAGGCUCCAAAAUUGGGAUUUUAAUCAACUACGAGAUUAAACUUUUGUAGUUGAUUUUAAGAGUUUAGAAUCCUUAAAUUAAGAUGUCAAUCAUGUUCAAAUAUAUUGGGCAUGACUGUAUGAUUGAGCUAAGUUGUUUGAUUAAAUUUAAACCUAGUUUGUCAAUAUUUCGACCAAUUAUAUAAGGUUUGAAUGAGUUAUUUUAAGGUUUUUAUCUAUUUUGGAAGAGUUGUGGGCUCCCGAAAUAGGGACUUUUGUUCUAAUCCGUGGAUAGAGCAUAAUAGCUGAAGUGAUGGACUUGAAUAAAUCUAAAUCAUUUGUGAUUAAGAUAAAAAUAAAAGAUUAAUGGAGAUACUCAUUAUUUGUAUGUUAGGUACUUCGAACGCGCACGUCGGAGCUCCUACGGCUGAACCUUCUACGUCUUAGAUCGGUUUUUUCUUAUUUUGGGGUGGAAUCCUUAUCUAUAGAUGAUGAAUCUUAGUGAUCCUCUUAUCGUGCAUGCAUAUAUAUAUAUAUUGCUAUUGAAUGUUUGUAAUUCUUGUUGCAUGCUUAAUUAUUGCUCUAAGAACUUAUGCUUUCGUUGUUUAUUCUUUGGUUCAUGAUGCAAUGGAAUUUGAUCUUAUGCUCUAACAUGUGUUUUGUUAUCACAUUGUACUAGUAGAGGAUAUGCAUUUGUAUUGGAAGAUAGUAUAAUCUUAGUUAUUUGUUGAUUUCAAAAUAUAACAUCAUUGUUGAGACAUUGACCCUAUUUGGAUUCGCCUCUGUGUUUAUGAUGCUCCCCGGGCCAUCUUUGAUGGCUCCUUAUGAUGAGGGAGUUUGAGUCUGAGAAGGUGUGAGUGGGUUACCAGUGGUAGUCACUUCCCACGCGGUAAGCCCUUUGCUCCUCGGGUUAAGAUUUGUUUUGCACCCGAGGCCAGAGUGCCGCGCUUACGCAUUUACUUGAUUGUAGGUCGAGUUGGAUUUUUGUUGGGCCUUUCUAGUUGAUUAUACUUAUCAUGUGAUGUCAUCAUUUAUUUGUUGAGUAUAGUUGCAAUUGUUGAUUGUAAUGGUAGAUUCAUAUGUAUGUUUAAAAAUUAUUCAUAACUCAUUGUUUAUUUUUUCAUUAAUCACAUACUAUUAAGUCCAGUGGGGCUUGUUGUCGCUAGACAAGCUUUUAUUGGGAACUAUUGUUAAUAGUUCUUAUUAUGUGGAUAUUACUAAUUUUACAGGUAUGACCUUUGAGAUGGGAUCGGGCGAGGUGACGACUAUAGUCGCCCCGAUAGCGAAAGCAUCACGGAGGUGUAACAGCUGCAGACCCGCCACAUAAUUUAAGAUUGAAAGCUUAAGUAUGUUCUGCAUUAAUAUCAACAUCUUUAUAAUGUUAUAAAUUUUUACAACAAUUCACAAUUUCAAGCAUUCCAAAUUUAUUAAUAUAAAUUGGUUACCAUAACACUAUUUAAUUUUAAGCACAAAUAAAACUUCUAAAUGGGUUAUGCCCUCAACUUAACAAGUAGCAAGUUUGUACAAUUUAUAGUUCCAAUACAAAAGCGUACCCUCUACUAGUACAAUGUGAUAAAAAGAAAUAUGCUAGAGCAUCAGAUCAAAUUCUAUUGCAUUAUGAACUAAAGAAUAAACAACGAGGGCAUAAGUUCUUAGAGCAAUAAUUAAGCAUGCAAAAAGAAUUACAAACAUUCAAUAGCAAUAUAUAAAUACGCACAUAUAAUACUAAGAGGACCACUAAGAUUCAUCAUCUAUAGAUAAGAAUUUUAUCUCAAAAUAAGAAAAGACUGAUCUAAGACAGCAAUAGGAGUUCUGAUGUCCGCAUCCGAAAUAUCUAAUAUAUAAAUAAUAAGUAUCUCCAUUAAUUUUUUAUUUUUUUUUCUUAAUCUUAAAAGAUUUAGAUUAUUCAAGUCCAUCACUUCAACUAUUAUACUCUAUCAUCAUAUUAGAACAAAAGUUUCUAUAUCGGGGAGCCCAUUAACUCUCCCAAAGUAGAUAAAAAUUUUAAAAUAACUCAUUCAAGUCCUAUAUAACUUAUAUAAGGGUUUGGGAUGCUUAAUUUUAACAAACGACCACCUAGCGAAAUGUUAUACCCUCUAAAAUCUAGCCGGAAUAUUCCAACCCGAGAAUAGAAUAAAUUGGUCGAAAUAUUGACAAACUAGGUUUAAAUUUGAUCAAACAACUUAGCUCAAUCACACAUUCAUGCCCAAUAUAUUUGAAUAUGAUUGACAUUUCAGUUUGAAGAUUCUAAACUCUUAAAAUCAACUACAGAAGCAUAAUCUCGUAGUUGAUCAAAAUUCUAAUUUUGGAGCCUCAUAACUUCCAAGUAACUCAUCAAAACCUUUUAAAAAUAAAGGUAAUUCAUAUAGCUUCAAUAAAUGAAUGUAAUGCUAUAAAAUUUUUCAAAACCAUAGCCAAUCCAUAAAGGAUAGCUGGGGACCUUCAAAGAGAAUAGAAAAAUAUGCAUGCAAUCCAAAAUAUUCAUCUUUUGAUAUUCACUAAAGUACAAAACUGAAAAUUUACAUUGUUCUCUAUCUAGGGUCUCAACUUCAAAAUGGAUUUCCUUCUCUAGCCGCCGCCUCCUAAAUUCCUUCAAUUUGAAGGAAAAAUUCUUCUUCUCAUCUCCUUCUCUUCUUUCCAUUUACCUCUUCUCCCAAUAUCCUAUUUCUCUUUUAUUCUCAUUGGGGAGGGUGUUUUGGUCCAAAGGGGAUCAAUGCCCAUCUCCCAAGGGUGUGGCAGACUCUUGGGAGGGCCGCAAUGCUGCUAAACCCAACUCCCAAAGCAUUGGGAGUUGGGGACGCAGGGGGCCUUGGGAGUUGGGUACAACCCGUGCACUCCCUGCCCGGUCCCGGCUCCGGCUCGGUAGACAUGGCCCACACAGGCCGGGCCGUGCCGGGCCGGAGCCUCCCCUCAAGCCCCGGCACGGCCUAGACCUGUGUCAGGCCAGGCCGCGCCCGGCCACUGAGCCACGAGUGCUAUAGUACUCGUCCCAUGCCUCCGCCCAGCCCAAUCUCGUGCCGCCCGACCCGUUUUACACCUCGAGUUGCAGCCGUAUAGUUGUGACACUUAUUAUGCUAGUAUAGUUAUAUUUUGAUUCUAAUAAAUCAACUCAUACAUUUUCUUAUACAUGUUAUUGUGUAUAUGAGAUGAUUGUGUUGGCCGGGUUACGCUUCAUGUUUCUGUGCAUAAGGUGGGUCUAUUUGCGUCCUCGGAGAAAUUGCGCUGUAAUACGAGGCAUGACAAGAAAAUUGGAAUGAUUGUAUAAGAAUUUGAUAGUUUGUUUUAUAUAUUAUAUUUUAUUUCUUGAACGUCAGCCAAAUAUUUUCCGAAGUCUACAAAUUUUUUUCAAACUCUAAAAACUUUUCUACUUUCAGAAUUUAAUUUUUAAUUUAAAAUUGGUGACUAUAUGUGGCGCAUUGAUAACCAAUCCAAAGAGAAUGACAAAAUUGAGUGGCUCACUGUGUGGUGAGAAGGAAUUUUUGUCGCAACUAUCCUCUUUGAAUUCUAAUAUAUAGCAGCACCAUGAAAGGGGGAAGUGACAAAAUUGACUGGUCUUUUUUUCUUUUUUCAUUUCAAUUUUCUUAGCUCUGGGUGGUGCAUCAGUUUCAUUAUUGCCCAUUGGAUCAUUUUUAUCUGGUCGUGUCUGAAACUGCCAGUCUACAAACUUCCUGCAAUGAAAAGACAUUUCAGAUCUAAAGAUUAUAGAUAGGCUAUAGACACAAGCUCUCCAAUUGCAGAUAUUUGUCAGGUGCACAUUUGCUGUUUUGGUUCUAGGGCAAUUUAGAAUCUAAAUGGUGAGAGCUUUCAUUUAAAACUUAACACUUACGUGAUGGUAACAAGUGCUGUAAUUCAUGAAGCUUUUUCUUUUUAGACUCGGAAAAUAGACAGAGCUAAGCAAAAUAGUGCUUCUACAUACAGUUUUAUUCAAACGACACUUUCUGAUAAAAUACAGCUAGGCCUCAAGGAAAACCUGAUACCUAAAUUGUACCACACGAAUGAUGAAGCUGCUGCUCCACAACAAUCUCCUGAUUCCUGCUUCCGCAGUCCACUCUAAGAUUACUAACUUCCAAGUACUGCUUAUUGAAGUAUAUGAAUGAUAUCAUACAAUAGUUGCAUGAAAGAGGACAGAUCUAAAAGACUAAUGUAUUCCACACAACAACAUUUACAUUGGGAGCUGCUCCAACAAUCUUCGACUAUUAAGCACUGCGUUUAACUUACCUGCGCACUAGUAACAUCAACUAAUCCUUUCCCCAGCUGUUCGCUGCUGCCGCCUUCCCCUUUGAACUCUAUUGCUUCACCCAACACAAAAUCACCAACACUUGAUUCGAAUAUUUCAUGUUCCAAUUGUCGAAUGAAAUCGGGCUUCAACUCUGGGUUGGUAUUUUCGAGAGUAGGUUCCGCUGGGGGAUUGGAUAUUCUUGGUUUCUUGCUGGGGAAAGGGGUGUGUCCCAGGCAAUCCUCUAAGUUCGACGAGGAUGCGGAUGCGUUCUUGUUGCCCUCGUUGCCCUCAGAGGAUUUAACGGCGCCGUCGAGCUUCUGCUGCUCCUCGAUGAUCUUCUGUAGGUACCGGCCCUGUGCUUCGAUUCUCAGCUGCAACUGUUUCUGUACCUGAGAACAUAAAAAUCAAAAUGUGUACUUCAGGUAACAAUAAGCCGAUGAGGUUCUCCUUCGUUUUUGUCAUCUUUCUUUCUAUUACCUUGCCACCUGCCUACUGAUGACAAAUGCAAUCCUUCAUUUCUUCUAAGCAUGUCACAUUGACUAAACCACAUAAUGGGUGGCGAAACACUUUUCUUUUGUCUUGUAGAAUCUUCCAGAUAUUUUAAAACUUGACCUACUAAUUCACUAGGCAGUUCACCUAUAUGUGAAAAAGGUGCCAAAGCAUUUUAAGGGCCCCUCAGGAUCGUCUUUGCGACUCAACAAUAAUUUCCAAGUGACAAGGGAAACAACCUUAUAGCAGCGAAGCCUGAACCACAGAUAUAAAGCUGAAAUCAUGCUAUAGCGCAUGCAUUUUAUAUAAACUUUCCUCAUAAAGACCACAAACGAAUAAGAACAGCAAAGAGCAUUUUUCCCACAAAAAAUUCACCAGAGAUGACAGAAGAAAAGAAGUAGCCUAGCUUAAUGUUUAAACCCUCACAUGUAGUGAAUAACAUAAGAGAAAAACUAGCUAGCUAAUCCACAAACCUCAAGCUGUUCGUUCAGCCGCUUCUGAACCUCCAUUUGCAUCUUCAGAGCUUCAUUUAUUUGUAUUUCUCUGGAAAACAGAGAACCUUAAAAUGUUGGAAACAUAAUGUGCUGCAUUCAACAUCUUAUGAAGUAUGAAACUUUAGAAGCUGUACAAUAUUAAAAUAACAAAUCAUUCAUAUAAAUACUAACGAAACCAACUAGUAACAAGUAUAAUAAUCUUACACAAGACGCAUAGAAUUGUAUUCUUUCAGCUAAAAAAUAUUGGCCACAAUGCCGAUGAGCAAACUAAACGAUGGAAACCACCAGUAACAUAAAACUCUUUGAACAAGUUUACAAGUAAAUGCAACACAAAAGCUUGCUUCUAAUUAAGAAAAAGCUCCAUUUCUGUCUCAUAUCUAUCCUGAGAUAUGGAAAAGCAGUAAAAUAAUUUGAUUAAUCCAUCAUCAAUGAGAGAUGUUACUUACGGUGCAGAGUCAUUGCCAGAAAGAGUAUCACCAGAAUCUUUCGUCUCAUCCUUUGAGCCUACAACGAAAAUCAUCUAAAAAUCUGAGGAAGAAUUGAGAAAUCAAAAGAGCCCACUAGAAGCAUAUAUUGAGUGAAAUAUAAUAGGCUUUACCAUCAGCUGGAGAUUCGGGUAGGAACUUUGCAAGGCGAUACUUCUACAUGAGUACAAGUAAUUAUCAGCUAUCAUUCGGUAUUUUAGACAUCAAAGUCUAAAACCAGUGGUCAUUACCUGUAAAUGGCUUUUUACAUGAUAGAUGGUGAUGCCUGGUACACCCAUUAUUCUCAAAACCCCUUUAGGUGUAGCUCCUGAAGCAACAUCCACAAAAAUAUAAUAGUAAAUGUUUUCAUUGUGAAAAAUGAACACACUUUCUUGAAAUUUCACCAACCCCUUAAAAGAACAAGAUUAGAAACUUUCCAGACAACAAAUGAUAUUUCAUGCAUUAGAGACACUCCAAUAUCAGUCCAAAAAUUGCUGCAAUUCCAUGCCUAUUUUAGAAAUUUAGAGUUCGGAUACCACACUUGAGUUUGGUGAACUUCAAUACCCAUUUCAAUCGCGUCACACCAACAGACUUUCUAAAUUUCCCUUGAGGAUAACAUGGCAACUAAUACAACAGGAAUGUCAUCUUCAACUAUAUGCCACAUCAUCCUUACAUUUGCUGAUUCAUGAUGAUCAUGAAAUGACAUGGUACCUGAUUUAGUUACCAUGGCAUUGUCACAUCAUUUUUUGAAGAGGACGUAACAGCUAAAUUAGCUGCCUCAACAAGUCUCCAACUCUCCAAUAUGGAAACUACAUGGAGUUUGACAAAGUGUCAUGGUGAAAACAGAUUUAACAUCCAUUCCAUCGAUUGAAACAAACAGAAGUUAGGCAACCUACUAAAAUUUCACAUAAGUUCAGCGAGCAAUUGUGUAAUGUAACAAAUUAUCUUUGGUUACAACUCUCCACCGUGGAAACUAAAUGGAGUUUGAAUAAGUGACAUGAUAAAAACAGAUUAAACAUUCAUUCCAUCAAUUGAAACAAACUGAAGCUCAGCAGCGUAUUAAAAUUCCACCAUUAGUCAGCAACCAAAUGUGUAAUUUAACAAAUUAUCUUUGACAUAGGUCCUUCCGUAAAAAUAAACAGAGUGAAGGUUGCCUGAUGAAAAGCACUCAAAACGGAAUCACAUAUACACCUUUUUUUGUUUCUGUUUCUUUAUUUGGAUUUCAAAAACAUUGAAUCCACCAUAGAACAUUCAUGUUAGCCUGUUGUUCAAUAAGUAGUUUUAACUAAUUGACUACCGAUUCCAGAUAAUUGGAAUCAGCCUGAACAAAACGCAAACCCCCCAGUCAUGGUGUUUCCCUUUCACAGGUAAAGUUAUAGAUGCACUUUACCCUUCUUUCUUUCCCCAACAAGAACCAGACACCAAACACAUACUAAAUGUAUUUACUAACAAAGUGAAAUGAAACUGAAAGAGAGCAGAGAAUACUUUAAGAAUAAAAGCCUCUGAUUCUAGAGGAUCCAGAUUCUCAUACAUCACAGCUCAAAUUCAUAAUGGUCUGUAAGCACCACCAAUUACCAUGAAAUUUCACAUCUAACGCAACAGAGCAGAUCACUAUAUGAUAACGUACUGUUAAUAAUUUGUACUAUCAUGUUGAUCAUUCAGUCAUGAAUAUGACAUUGAUGAAUAGACCAUUUCGAACUUUAACAUCUACAAAAAAAAUAUUUAUACUCUUACUAGAUAUGGGACUUAUGGAAUAAUUAUGAUGUCAGUGGAUUGAUCUACCAUAAAGAAUGUGAUUUUUUCAACAACUAUUUCAGUGCUUACACACAUUUAGGACUCUUUUGCCUCCACUAAAUCUUUAGCAGAAGUGCUUCAUGAGUAGAGCUAAUGGACGACUUAUUAAAUUCCUAUAUCAUAUUUUCUAAAUACUGUGGCAGCCGAAAAUGGAAGUUUCAAACCAGCAUUUGCUCGAGGCUCAGAAGCUUGUUUUGGCUUCCCUCUAUGCUUAGAAGUUCUAAAACAUUCUUUCACUAUACACCUGCUUUCUUCUUAAGUAUAGAAGCACUUUUAAAAGCCAGGCAAAGUUAAAAGUUAACAUUCUUCAGAUCUCAAUUUCUUUUAGGCAUUCAUGACAUCUGCUGACGCAAUUGUAUCCUCUCAUCCAACAUAUUUUGGAGUUCCAGCUGAAAUUCAGGACCGGAAACCAAAACAUUUUGAUCUUGACAGGUGGCAAUUCAAAGCACAGGUUCAGCUUGCAGAAAACCAUGGAAAAUGUAAAUGUAUCACUUUCACAAGCUAUAUGUUCCGGAUAAUUAAUGCUGCUACUUAAACCACGAAUUUUUAGACAAUGCUCUACUAAUAUUUAUCAAGAAUCCAAAUGAAUAUCUAUGUAAUUUUGAUAUCCACUUCACUGUAAGGCAGUUCAGUGUUUGACAAUGGAGUUUCAGGACAAUGGCAUUUAAGUUAUUUUUUCUUAUUCAGGUGUGGAUAUUUUGAGGUUAAAUCUUUGCCAAUUAUUAUCAAUGCUACUAGCUAAAGUUGCUUUUUCCAAUUUUAAACAAUAUGAUAUAAUAAAAUUUGGACUACAAUAAGCAAAAAUUUCUCAUAAGGAUAUAACCAGCAACAUGUGUAAAGGAUGUAAUGCACUUGAACAGUUGAACUUUAAACUUAAUGCAUAAAAGAAGGAUGUCCAGAUGCUAAAAAACUUGGGUCCUACAAUCAAUUUGUUGUACAAUACCAACGAUAUUACUUGCUUGCAAGAAUCAUUAUGCACUCGACUAAUGAAAUUGGUUCCAAAGCUAACCAGCAGAUAAAGCAUUAAACAUCAUACAACUCAAUCUAUCAGGAUAAACUCUCCAACGCGGACAACUCUACAUAUCCAAAUUUUAUACAAUUUUAGGGAACUAUCAUAGAGACUUUAUGAAAUAUUAUUAUUAAAUUCAAGCAUUAAACAAUUACUACUGGAAAUACCCACUAUCUGGUCCACCAAGUUGGGUGAUUGCAUUAACAAAACGGUCGUGAAGAUCUGAAGUCCAACGCAGCCGUUGCUUGCCACCCCCCCCUGAAUUAGUUGAAUUGUUCAAACUGGAGCCAUCCAUAACUGAAACAUUUCCAGUUUGCUCACUGCCUUGGGAUUUGUGGGGAGCCAUGUGUAAAGUAGAAAAUUUCUUGGGAUGGUACAUGGCAAAUACCCUGUAAACCAAUCCAUGUUUCAGAUUAAACAGAAUUUCAAUAAAAUAAAACAAAAGGUGAAAUACCUGAGGGACUUUAGUACAGCAAGAUCUUCCAUUGCUUUAGUAAUAAACCAAUUAACAUGCUAAAUACAGUUUCAGGAAAUAAACCAUAUUAAUCUUGUCACACCAUUCAUAAUUAAGUCGCUUCACUACAUGAAAGAGCAUACAAUUAGCAACACAUGAUUAUAACUUUCCCUCGAUGAAUUAGCAUGCUGGGAUAUGUUAGAAAAGAGAGAAGAAAUGAAGAGCAACACAACAAAAAGAAAAUUAGAUAAAUGCUCUGAGGAUUUGCAAAACAACACCAGAACCGAAACGUAGCACAGCAAAAGAUAUUGCUCAUAGAAACAAACAAGUCAAAACCUUAAGUGCACAUACUUCUAGUAGGAAACAAAAAAAAUGGUCCUAAAAUUGAGAAACUAAAACAUUAUCCAAUCGAAAUGAGUGAUGUUAUUAGCGAAUCUAAGUUUGACAUUGACAACUAGUUUCCUUCGAUCAGGUGAUUAUUUACUGACGGAAUUUGACAGAUUCAAUAAAUUUGAUCUCCCCGUAGUAAAAUUGAAGCUGUUAAUAUAUAAACUAUGAAUAAUUCCUCAAUUAUCGAACAUAAUUCACCUCAAAUCCAUCAAAAAAUAUAACAAAAAACAACAAUUUUUCACAAGAACCAACCUCUCAAAAAGCGAUCCACAAUCCCCCCACUCUCUCUCCUUCACGACCUCCCAAUUUUCUCACUCUCCAAGCCCCAUCCAACCACCCAACACCAAAACCACCUCCCAAUCUCCAUCGCCCACACACCGAGUCCCCCACAAACCCCGCCCAAAUUCGACGUUUCGCAAUCACAAAAAAAGCAACCAGUUCCCCUUCUAAGAACCCAAAUCGGAAGAACCCAAACCGAGAAUUAAUGCCGCGGGGGCCAGGGUUUCCAAACCGAGGCAAAGAGCAGGCCCCUGAAAGGGGAAGGAGCAGGUGAGAAGAUCGCGAGGGGAUUAGGGUUAGGGUUUGGUCGCGCACGGUAUCGGUGCGGAGAAAUCGAGGAGAAUCGGGGGAUGAGAGAGAGAGAGAGAGAGAGAGAGAGAGAGAGAGAGAUUUAGGGCUUCAUGGUCGUGUACUCGUCGCUCGUGCCCCUGGAUUUGGGGAGGUGAUCAAAAUCGCGUUCGGGAGGAUCCCAUUGUGGUCCAUGGUAUCGUGUUCCGUGUCCCGCGAGAAUAUUCCCUGAACCAGGUGCAUCCGUACAAAUCAUGGACCGCUCUUUGCUUAUUAAUAUCUCAAAUUAAAAAAAAAAAUAUGAAGUUCCAGUUAUAGAUCGAAUACUUGGUAGUAAUAACAUUGUUUACUUCGAUGGAAUAUUCGAAUAGAUUAUUAAUACUGUUAAACAUGAUUUAUAUUUUUAUUAGGAUGAUAUAUAUUGAAGGGCAUUAUGUGAUUUAAAAAAAAAAAAAAAACAGAACUUGCAAUCGAGUUUCUGCCUUAUAAAACUGAGUAAUUAUGAAACUAUUCGUGGAAGUUUAGAUCUAAAAAGUAUAGAUUACAAAUUUGAAUGAUAUGAGACUGAGUAACGCAGGAACUAUUCUUGAAAGUUUAGACCUAAUGGUACCAUUUGGUUCAGGUAUAAGCAAGAACUAGCUAUUACAGGGAUAGGUACAAGUAUGGGGAUAAGAAAAAUAGCGUUUGGAUGAAAAUUGUGUUGUUCCCGAGGAUAAGAAAAAUAUUAGAAAAUUUUAUAUAGAAAAUGGAUGUGUUGGUGGGGAUAACCGAGAACUACUAUUCUCGGGUAAAAAAUUAGCGUUUGGGUAUAAAAGGAGGGAUAAGGGCCUAUCCCUAUCCCUAUUCCCAAACCAAACGGUAAGUAUAGAUUAUAGAUUUGAUAGAUUUGAUGAAGAUUUAUUUGUAGACGCACGGUAAAAAUGUAUAUACGGAGACUCCAACACCAGACAAUUUUGGAAUAUGUUUAUAGAGUGAUAUAUUCACACUCUCUUAAUUUUCAUUUAUUUUGAUAUAAGUUAUUUCAGUUUGCUUGAAUUCACAGCGGCUCCAUUAGCUACUUAUCAAGCAACAUAUUUGAGGUGGUGUCAACAAAAAAGAAGUGAAAUUCCCAAAUAGCCUCUAAAGUUUCGGGGGUUUAUUUUUAUCUUCAUAGCAUUUUGGUAAAGCUGUUCAAAAUAUCCGAUAUUCCCUACCCAAUUCAGACCCUACCCGGAUCAUACCGAGACCCGAACUAGACCUAAUAAAAAAUGAAUAGUAUACGAGUAAAAAAAAUUAUCUAUUAAGGUUUUGGGUAUGGGUCUAGAUAGUUUAUACCCAUCCCCGAUUUUGACAGACCCGAACCCGACCUUUUAAUGGGUAGCGUCCGAAAGAGUUUCCAAACUUGGACCCGCACACGGAUCCUAUGAAAUACUUGAUAGUAAACAAAAAAAAUUGAAGUUAAGGGAUUAAUUUUACUAGGAUUUAUAGAUGAUGGGUAACUAUUUAUUUUCAUCCUUGUGAAAAUCCUAGAUGCUUUAUUUACUCCUUUUUUUAUUUUACUUAUUUUUUUAAUUCUAGUUGUUUACUGUUUUAAUCUUUCUUUCGAACGAAUUUUUGUUGGAUUGGGUGCAACUAAUUAGAAUGCAAGUUUUCUAUAGUAAAAGGUUUAUGGUUUGUCCAUAAAUCGUUUAAUAAAGUCUAUAAAAAAUAUAUGUAUACAGGCAUUCGUACCUGAUAUAGACCCGACCAGUAUUCAGUCUUAAGCAGAUAGUAUACGGAUAGUCACUAACGAGACCCGCUCAAAUAGAUCCAAUGAAUAUAUUAUUAACUUAAGUAUCCAAGUCCAAACCCGAUACUAAACUAAAUGGGUAGGGUAUAUAUAUAUAUAUAUAUAUAUAUAUAGUAGAGCUACUAUGUUAUCGGAAGCAUAUAGGAUCUGGUGCUUCCGAUUUUUUGGCCCUUAGAUCAACCCUUUUGAUCAUUUCUAACAUUUGGAUUAAUAUUAUUACUUUGUGGGGACCUCUCAACCCUAGGGGUUCUACUCAAUCCUAGGGGGACCACAAUCAUCCCAACCGUAUAAUUUUUCAUCCAAUGAUUAAAAAGUUGGAAGUAUCAGAUCCUCUAUACUUCCGAUAGCGUAGUAGCUCUACACUAUAUAUAUAUAGAGAGAGAGAGAGAGAGUUGAGCUAGAAUACUAUCGAUAGCAAACAGGCUCUAUUGCCACCCAUUUAUUUUGAUGAUGGAGCCUCCAAAUCAACGAUCGGCACUAUUGAACAUGAUCUAUACCACUUGAAGUGUUUAGAAAUCAAAUUUCAUAAAUUUUCGAUAUUGUUCUCUUAUUCAUCGAGUUGACACAAAAAUAAACGGCUGAAAAUGAAUAUUAUUUAAAAAAUGAUGAUAGGAGUCUUGUAAUCAAGAUCAAGAGUAUAGAUUUUGUUUUAAAUAGUUUAAAGAAUUUUCUAACAAAAAUUCAAUUGAUUUGAAUAUCUUUACGCCGUUAAACGAGAAAACACCUCAUAUCGACCAUUAAAAUUACAAAUUUUGAAAUCCUUUGAUCAUUAGGCAAAUGAUGUCGAAAAGAUUUGAAAUUUAAUUUCUAAACACUUCAAGUGGUAUAGAUCAUGUUCAAUGGUACCAAUCGUCGAUUUGGAGGCUCUAUCAUCGAAAACAAAUGGGUGAUAACGGAGCCUGUUUGCUAUCGAUAGUAUUCUAGCUCAACUCUCUCUCUCUCUCUAUAUAUAUAUUUAUUUCAUUUUAGGAUACGAAUAUAGUAUAUCAACUAUCCAAAUCCGACUCGGUCUACGGACACCUUUAAAUUUUGGAUGACCUACGAGCUUUGGUGAAGGGCUUGAUGUGUACUUGGCUGAUAGUAGCUCAGUUGCCUUGUAGGGCAUGCAUCUUUUACUAGAAUUGAUUCUUAGUCAUUAAUUGAGCGCAUUAGAAUCAAAUUUGGGUAAAUUUCACCACUGGUCCCCCAACUUUUGGUUUUGUGAUUCACAGAAAUAUGGAUAAUCCAGGCGCGCUUUGGGCUUUGGGGUGUUUGGUAAAUUUGAACUAGAGCCCAUUGCACUCAUGACUUCUCGGAACUCGGCACUCGACAUCACCCGUUGUUCUCACAAAAUUACGACUCCAUAUUGUAUCGUAUCAUACUGUGAUAUACUGGACCUGUGACACUUCGUAUGUGUAGUUAAGCUGUAUUCUUGUGUAUGUAGCGGGCCUGUUGACGUCGUAACCCAAUCUUCUGCUAUAAUCCAGGACGUCACACGUACAGUGCAAUAUGGAAGUUGAGAUAAUUCUUUAAGUUCGAGUCUUGAAUGUUCAACUUAGGAAGUUCGAGGCAAAAAUGAAAGUUUGAGUAAGAUUCCAGGGACUACAAACCAGUGCAAUUUAUGAAUCAAACUAAAAUAUAAAUGAAGUUAGGGGAUGAAAUGUCCUACAAACUAACUAAUUAGGGUAAAUUAUAUUGCACGAUUAGUCCCAGAACUUCUGGUUAAUUUUUGUUCUGGUCGUCGAGCUUUUAAGUUUGACAUUUGAGAUCUUUAAUGUUUAGGGCCAAAAGUUUAGGGACAAGUAUAAUUAAUAUAUCCAAAUUAAAUUGUUCAACUAUCUAACCUGACAGAGAUGUAUAAUUAUGUAUGAAAUCGCUUACAUGACAGAAUUUUACUAGUGCGAAAAUUAAGGAUAUUUUGAACCUUCUAUAUAUGAUGCAGAAAUUUUGAGCAUUAAACAUUUGGGUCGCCGCAAAAUCAUUAAAUUAAUUCACAGCGAACUCGGCAGUAGCUAAAUCAGUAGCAGCUGUAGGAGCAGCAGUGCAAUAUAUUGCUUAAUCAGCAAUUAGCUGUUGGAGGAGAUGAAGAAGUUUAGUUCCGGCAGCAACAGCUGCUAUUUUGUGCCAAAAUUUCAAACUUGCACACAUUAGGUUAAUUAGAUGGGAUGAUCCAAACGGAAUUAUUUCCGUCGCACGUACUAUCUCAAACUUGACCUAAUUUGAUAAGUAAAUGUCCUUCGUAAUUCGACUGCAGGAAUGUAGUAUUAGGACGAAAUGCCGUCUGAGAACCGAUCGAAAAAAGCCAUGCUAUAGAUAAUGCUGAUCUAGUAUUCUAAAUUUCUCCUCCCUUUUAUUCUGUUGUAAUUGCCAAGCCACAUACCAAUGUAAUUUCCCAGUGUAGAGCUUGCUUGUCUAUUAAAUGAUAGAGUGAAGAUGAGGUUUUAGAAAGUCUUGCAGUUAAGAAGUACCACAACCUACUUCCAAAAUUGUACAAAGAUCAGCAAACUAGUGGGUGUGUACUGCAUGCUGAAGCAUACUUUGGGUUGCCUAUUAAAAAUGCUUACACUCUUCUCAAUAAUAUUUUGUUACUAUUAAUUAUUUACCAUUUCUAAUACAAUCAGCUAAGUGGUUGAUAGUUGGUAUUCGAGGUUCAAAGUUCGAAUUGUCUAAUUACUUCAUAUUUCCAACUAUGUUCAUUUCUUUCUUUUUUUUGAGAAGCGGGUGGUAGUAUACUACCUUUCCCUAAAAAAAAAAACUGAGUUCAUUUCUAAGAAAAUGAACGAAGCGUAUCUUAAGUUAUUCUUGACUCUUUUGCAUGAUUAGCGCAAAUAAAGUUGGGAGCAAAACAGAAAUGUAGCGCCUGGAUUUUAAUAUUUUUGUGAUCAUAUUUAUGAUUAUUGUGUGACCUCAUCACUUUCUUAUGGAGAAAUAUUAGUUAUUUUGCUAGCUAUACUACUAACGUAUUUAAGAUUUGUUAUUCUGGGUACCUCAUAGAUAUUGAAUGCUUUAAGGCUCUAUUUGGACGUUAGAAUUAAUUAUUCAUGAUAACUUAUUUAGUAUAAAAAUUUCCUCACAUGAUUGUAAAAAGAAGUUUAAUUUUUACUCCUCAAAAUUUUUUUAUAUUUAUGAUUUGAAAGGAGAUCAUACUUCACCAAUAAAAUGAUUUAUUUUAUAAGAAAAAAAUAGGCUUGAAAACCGAAUAUAAGCUCCAAUCACUAUAAUAAAAAUCUUGUUAGGAAGAUGCUUUGUAGAAGACAUUUGGAGAAAGUGUCUCCAAGCAUUCCUACGUUAUAGCAAAUGUUGACACUUCAAAAAAAUCAUCAUAUAAAUAGGCUAUUAUAUCAAUCCAAUUUAUUGAAUGAUAAACUUAAUUAAUUUCUAAAUUUCAGGCCUUAAUUAAGAUAAGAUAUAGGAAUAUAGGAUUUCACCGGCGCACCGAUCCGUGGACCGGGUCCACGCGUAAUUUCGCGCGCGCGUGCGAAGGGCGGAGUGAGUAAGCUGUGGCGUUUAUUGUGGGUACCGUUUUGGAUAACAUGUACUUGAAUGAAUGAAACGGCCGUGGUAGUGGAGUGGAUUUUGGAAGUACUUUGUUGGACAUUGGCGUCACCUUCGAAGUUUGUGCCGGGAAAAUAAAAGAUCGGAUGUUCGGACCAAUAGAAAAGAAGCCCGCAGUGGGCCCCACCCGGUCCAGUUCCGGUCUAGGCUCUUACUAUGCGCCGGUUCGUUUGUUAUAGAUCUAUGGCUCCGGUCCGCUUUUUUACUCUCUUUUUUUUAAUACUCUUCGAAACUUCACAAAUAUUUUAUUUAUCUUUAUUUUUUUUUCUUUUUAAUAUACUUCUUAUAUGUUCCUUUGUUAUUCCAAAAUAUUUCUUUAGUUAUCAUCCGUUAAAUUAACUUGGGUUAACGUGAGUUAAAUAUCUAAUAGAGUUUAAAAAAAUUAAAAUACCUCUUUUGCCCUUAACUUAAGAGCAAAUAAAAAAUAUUGGUGAUGGUAGAAAGGUAUAUUUGAAAAGAUCAAAAAUUAAAAUACUUUUUGUACUCUAAUUUAAGGGUAAAUAAGAGAAAUCAGUAAUAGUAGAAGGGUAUAUUUGAAAAGACAAAAAAUUAAAAUACUUUUUGUGCCUCUAACUUAACGACAAAUAAGAAAAAUCAGUGAUGGUAGAAGAGUAUAUUUGAAAGGACAAAAUAUUAAUUUCAUAUAAAUAACAGCUAUUGCUAACAGUUCAUUAAUAGAGAUUAACUCUAAGAGUAUAUUUGAAAUAGGUUGGACGUAAAAAAGGUAUUUUCAAUAUUAACCUUCUAAGAGAGAUAAAUUAAAAAGUUGAAAACUUUUCAGGAGUAUAAAAGCAACUGCCCCUUAAUUUAUAUCAUCGCAAUUUAGCAUGUUUAUAAAAAAAAUUAUAUUUAACUACUCUAUUGUUGAAAAAAUUAUACUUAGACUAUCAUCUAACUUUAUUUUUGUUUACUAUAAGAACGUAUUGUUAAAUAAGAUACUAUUCUUUUCAAAAAUAUUUUAUUUUACUAUCCUAUUUGACAAUUUUUUUUCGGAAAUAAAAAUAAAAUCAUAGAUUAGUUAAACAUAACUUUUCAAUUUAUUGGUUAGAAAAGUGAAAAAGAGCUAGACAGCAGGGGUACAAAUUAAGGUUUUCGCAAUUUGAGUUUGCUAAUAAAUUCUGCUCUGAACCUUCUAAAUAUUAAACUCUAUACUAAAAGUGAAACCAAACGCGUUCCGUCAUUAAGCCAUGUUGUCUUUUAUUAAGCAUGGAGUUCUAGUUCUUGUCGGUAUAUUAUUUUCUUUCUCACUCUCCACCUCUCUUUCACAUGGGCACUCUCUCUCUUCACAUGGGGUAUAUGUAUGUCUCUCUCACAGAGGGGGAUAUACUUAGCUCCUUUACAUUUCUCUCACUCUCUCCAUUGAAACUUUCACCUCUUCCUCUCUCUUCCCUCUCUUUCUCUACAAUAUUUUCUAAACUCAUCUCCGAAGGUUGGUGGUAGUGGUUGCAAUCCAACGCACACACACACACACACAAAGGAGUUUCAAAAAAAUUUUUAAAAAAAUCACAAAGAGAGAGAAAGAGAAACAGCAAAAGAGUGGUAAAAAGAGAGAAAGUGAGAGAAUUGCUUUGCUUUCUAUCUUUUUUUCCUUUUUUUAAAUUAUUUUAAGUUGUUUUAGCACUUAGGGCGUGCUUAAAUUUUAUAUUUUUUUGGAUAAAAUCUUUCUCUAAAUUUAUUUUGAUUUUGUGAAAAAAAGAGUUUAUCAAAAUCCUGAGCGACGAUAAACCCAUUAUCGGUGGCGACAAGGGAGGUUCCAGAGGAAACGACUUGAUGAUGGCGCGUGGUGGAUGAUUUUUUUUUUUCUUUUCUUCGGGGUUAUAAUUCUAACUUUGAAAACUGAUAGGUAGAAAAUGAUAACUUGCACCGUUUUCUUUCCAAUUCAAACUAUUAAUUUGUAAAAAAAAUAUUGAGAAGCAAAAACUAUAAAAUGUAAGGUUUAACCCUAAAAAUCUGGUCACAAGCCUCAUUUGAUAAAAGCGCAUGUAGGGAUUGAAUCGGUGACCUUAUGAACAGCAACCUAGGUCAAAAAGCUAUGUUGUAUGUGUAACUGUUAUGGAGAGAAUUUACAUUCCAUGCAAUUUACAAUAUUUUGUUUUAUUUGAAAAGUGACACUUUGACAUAUUUUGUAAUUUUUCUUUUGUUUUGCCACAAGGACACGCCGCUGAAUAAAAUAGCAAAGUUCUAUAUUCUGCAAACUAGAAAUUGUAUAAUAUUUGCCACUUUAACAAACUAUUUCUAAUGCAAGUGACAAAAAGUUUAAUGGUUGGUAGAUAAGAUUCUAAGUUCGAAAUUUAGUUGCUUUAUAUUUCUAACUGAGUUCAUUGAAAAAUGGAAAAGAAUGAAAAUGGUAGCAUACUACUAUUCUCUCUCUACAAAAAAAAAAUUGCCACUCUGAUUUGCAUUUGAUCACUAUUUGAUUUGUAGGAUAUACAACUUUGCUAUCUUAUUUGAUGGCACAUUCUUUAGAUAAAACAAACAUAAUUUUAAAUUAACAAAAGGUGACUCCCCAGUAGUCUCAUAUUAGAUAAUGUGAGGGUUUUAUAUAUAACUAGCACACUAGAAUUAAUAAGUGGGUUCAAAUAUUUUGGACCAGUAAUUUGGUUCCUACGAGUUAUUAAUACUAGUAGGCUUGAUCCUUACAAAGCUAGACAGCCAGUUGGAAGUUUGAGAUGUAUCCCAUAUCAACUGAUCAUUUUGGACAAUGUAUGUAAUUGGAUUGAGUAGAAAGUUAGGAUCUGAAUAGAGAAAGUAUUUGACAUCCUAAUAGCCCUACAUCAGAUAAUGUAGCAGUGUAAGAGUACGUUCGAUAAUACGAGAGAGAGUGAGAGGCUUAUAUGUAACCGACAUAGCUAAAAUGUGGUUUGAACCUAUCGAGUUAUUAAUGCUAGUAAGAUGGACCAUUACACGAAAUUCCGAGUAUUUUAAACGCGAUCUCUAAAUUACAUCCCAUUCAAAAAAGGAUUUUAAUUUUAUGAUCACCUAACCUUUUGAUUUCAGUAUUUUUAGUAACAAAACUUGUUAUCUUUUUAACUUUGCCCAAUGUUUUUAACAUCCAUAUAUACUGACAAAUAGAUAUAUUAGAUUUAAUUCAGUCAUUCUCUACUAUGUGAAUUUGAUGAAGAAAUAGAUUUAUGCAUUAACCAAUACUGUCCUAUUGUCACAAACUUCGUGUAAAGUCCAUAUGACACCCGUGUAAAGUCCAUACGACGCCCAUCUUUUUCUGUGAAGAUGGGUAAGUCUUAUUCUCUAUUUGCUAGCCCAAAUCUACAUGCCACGAACCUACAUGCCCUACAACUAAAUGGAAAAGAGAGAAGCGAGAGAUGGAGAUUCUGCGAAAAAAAAAAAAAAAAAAAAAAAAAAAAAAACUAAGUACUUGUAUUGCUUAGAGAAUAGAGAAUACAAGUACAAUCUCUUGUAUAGGCCCAUUAAACUAUCUACAUUAAUAUAAAGAGAAUUUUUGAGUUGCUCAUGAACCUUGGGCUUCCAUAGGACCGUUUCUAAGACUAACUCUUGCUAAUUACGUGAUGUUUCGUCUCCCUCCAUAGAGACUUAGGGCCUGUUUGGUUCGUUGUAAAAUCACCUUGAAAGUUUUUUUUUUCAGUGGAGAAGUAAGAUUCCGAGCGUUUAUCUGCUCGUUAAAAUUUUUUUUCUAAAAACUUUUUUUACGAAUCUACAGAAAAGGGCGUUUUCAUUUAAGUGAGCAAAAAAAAUCUUCUACAGACGAUCAAACAACAGAAAAUAUUUUUUCAACGAAAAAACCUUUUUCAGAGCGGUUUUACGAUAAUCCAAACACGCCCUUAAGUUAAGAGCAAAAGAGGUAUUUUGAUGUUUUUUAAUUCUAGUAGAUAUUUAAUUCACGUUUAACUUAAGUUAACUUAACGGAUGGUAACUGCAGAGAUAUUUUGAAAUAAUGGAAGAACAUAUGAGAAUAUAUUAGAAAGAAAAAAAAAUAGAAAUAAAUGAGAUAUUUCUGAAAUUUUGAUGGGUUUAUAGGCAAUUAUCCCAAAAAUUGAAUGAUGUAAAAGAUGAAGUUCUCAAUUGUUAAUAUUUUAUUUUAUUUUCUCUUUUUUUUUUUCCAUAAUUAACUUAGGCUUGAGGUUGGUCGAAGUGAAUUACAAUAUAUUGAAAGUUUUGAGUUUCGACUGAAGGUGAAGUGGCUAUGAGCCAAACAACAAAAACUGACAUUUAUAGAAAAAAUCACUUUAUUUCUCUUCACUUUCAGUGAAACAAAUACAACCUAUGCCUUUUCGUCCUAAACGAAUUGAAUGUCGGCAAUCUCACCAUCUUUAAUAAGAAAAACAGAGCGCGUUUGGUCCAAAAUAGGAAUUGAUAUAGAAAAGGACCGAAAUGAAAACUAUAAAAUCUGCCAAUGGUUUAAAAUAUAAUCGUGCUCGGAAUAGUUAAUUCCUGCCUUCACUGUUUGGUUGAGAUAAAAAAAUAAUUAUCAUAAAAUAAUUAAAAUAAAUUAAAAUAUAAAUAUUAAAUUAAAUAUAAAAUUGAAUUUGCAAUUGAGGAAAUCAAAUUUAAUUUACAAUAUAAAUUCAAAGUAAAAAUUAAAUAUUAAAAAUUAACAUCAAAAUUGUAAAAUGAUAAAAAAAAAUAUAUUAAAAUGUAAAAUUUUCAAAAAAAAUUAAAAUCUAAAAUUGAAUUGACAAUUCAAAACAUAAAACUAAUUUACUGUUUGAUUCAAAUUCAAUCUUAAACAUUGCAAUUUAAUUCCAAUUUGAAUUCAUAAAUUAAAUUUAAAAUUAAAUAAAAUUUAAAAUUUAAAAAUAAAUAUAAAUUUAUAGAUUAUAUUCAAAUGCGUGAUUGAAUUUGAAUUUCAAUUUGAGUGAUUAGAAAUUUACCAUUCCACAUGGGAAUCAGAAUAAGAAAUGAACUCCUGCAUACCACAAACUCUCAAACUGAAUCGCCUAUUCUGAUUCCAAUUCUGAUUCCUCUAUGAAAAAAAGAGGAAUCAGGCACACCUUUAUAUACUAAAAGUGACAUUUUCAAACUUACCCAUCUAAAAUGUUAUCAACCCGUAAAAAGAUUAACAGGUAAAGGAGACGGCUAUACCUCUAUCUUCAAAAAAGAAAAAGAUAUUUUUACGGAGGCAAAGUAUCUUAUCCAGAAGAAUAUGAAUGGUGUUCUGCAGAAGUACGUAAUCAUUGUUUGAAAAAGAUUAACUAGAGAGCUAUCCACUUCGUUUAUUUUUUAAAAAAUAAAUUUAGCUGAAAAUGUAUAACAGUUAGAUUUCGGACCUCCGAUACCGGCCAUCAAAUCUUUUGCCACCUGUGCUAGGACGGUCGGUUAUACGACCUGUUACUGUUCACAAAAUUUCAGUCCUAUACAAAACCUAUAUAUGACAAAACAUGUGAUUUGCCUUUUUAAUUGCCUAGCACAGUCCAACUAAGUUCAACUUUUGGUGUGUGUACUCGAUUACUUUCUAAAUCAACAUCAACUUUUCUUAUUAGUUCUAUUUAAGAAUUCUUUCUCUUUUCUAUAAGUUUUUUAAAUUUACAAAUUAUAGUCAUGUUCUCACUUGAUGCAAUAAAAGAUCAUGUUUAUGUUUAUUAUGGUUUCCAGAAAAUUUAAAUGAUGUGGUAUUAUAUCACCUUUUGAUAUAAACUGUCUUAUUUAACCUUGUCUCACGAAUCAUCAGAGAAGGAAGCCUGAAGCCUCUCAAUUUUAUAGGAGUAACAGCAGUCAAUUAAAUUUGAAAUUUUCAAUAAAUUCAUCACUGAUUUUGUUAAAUUUAAUGGGCUUUCAGCAAAUAAAACUAAAACGAUUAAUGACUUACAAUAACUCAAAAGAGUCGUCAAAUUAAGUAAAACUUUUCACUUAAUAAACUAGAACAACACAAAUAAGGAAAAAUUGAAAUUCAAAGUAACGCCAAUCAAAUUAACAAAGUUAGAUUUAGAGGCCUAUUUCGAAACAGUCGACAGCGGAGGAGAGAUCUCUGUACAUUUUUACUGAUCUAAAUUACAGAGAUCCUUUCGACACUAAUUAAACUGGGUUUUAUGUCGAUGAAAAGGACAUCUUAAAUGAGCCGAGUUUAAGCUAGAUCAAUCACUUAACAACAAGUUAAACUGCAGCUGACUCUUAAUUAGCUGUUUCAGGCGGAAUCAAAACGAACUGAUCACCUCUACCUACUCAAGCAGAGCGUGCUUGCACCAGUAAUUAGAUAGACACAGCAUUCUCUAACUGUAAUGUAAUUUCCGAAAGCAACCUACGGCCUUAGCUUCGCUGCUAUAGAUAAUGAAUGAUGUGACAAAAUCGAAAUAAAAGCAUGCAGCUUCUGCAGAUGAUGAGAUGCAAGCACCAUGCAUUUCUGGUCCCAGUUCACAAUAACGAAAGCUGUGUACUUGUAGCUCGUCGAUCUCUUACCAAAAAAUAUAAGAAAUAAAUGAUCUUUUACGUUUAGAUACACUAAUCAAACUAGACACUAUACAGUAGCAGCAAUAUAGUAUCCAUGAAGAUACUACUGAGAAUUAAAAAGUCACAAUUAAACUUGCAAUGCCACGACGACUGAAAAUCAUAUAGAAAGGGGGAAAAAAUUUUGGUCUAUCCCUACCAGGCAUAUAGCCAUCAAAGAGUACAUGAUCAGAGAAGUAACUGAAAAUGAGAAAUUCAGUGAUAUUCCACCAAAACACUCACCAAGGAUAAGUUGUAGACCUCUGCAAGCAUACUGGUAACAGGAAGAAAUUGCAUUAUCAGGGAGAGUUGAAAGUUGCUCCACUAUACUACUUUUGGAUUAGGAACUCUCUUAGGGGCUGUUUGGUUGCAUGCAUUUUCAACUGCAUUGCAGUUGGAAAUGCAUGCAUCUAUUAAUUUUUUGUUUGAUUUGGUGUUGUUAGGCCCAACUGCUACAGUUGCAUCUGCAUGAGAAAGUCCAACUGCAGCAGUUGAGCCGGACUCGGCUCACCCAUUAAAAAAGUUAAACAAAAUGUGAUUUUUUUUUCAUGCGCUUCUUUUUUUAUUUUAUUUUUUCUAAAAAUACAUAUUAAUGAAAUGUGAUAGGAUUAAUAAUGUCUGUUAGGGUCAAUAAAUUUUUUUCAUACGCUUCUUAUUUUUAAGUUUGCUAGUUUAAUAAUAUCUUAAUUUUUAUUUUGACCAAAUUUAUAAUAUAUUUACAUUUAAAAUUUAUUAAAUUCAUACAUAAUUUUAUAAUAUAUAANUAGAUGUUCGUGAGUUUUGUCCUCGCUGCCCAGUUAGGGUAGGCGACUGGAUUAUGCCAGUGGAUCUUUUAACACUACACAAACUAGGUGAGUUUGAUGUAGUAUUGGGUAUGGAUUGGUUGACACGGUAUUAUGCCACCAUAGAUUGCACGAACAGGACGGUGACCUUUAGGGAACCAGGCCAGCAGGAGUUUGUUUUUAAAGGGUGUCAGAGUUCAUUGUUCGCAAUGACUAUUAGUUCUUCGCGAGCACGACAGUUGAUUCGAAGGGGCUGUGUAGCCUAUUUGGCUAGUAUUUCUGUGAGUGGUGGUGAAGCCAUCCAAAUUGAUGAUAUCCCAGUUGUGCGGGAGUUCGGGGAUGUGUUUCCAGCUGAGUUGCCGGGUAUGCCACCUGAUAGGGAAGUUGAGUUUGUGAUUGAUCUUGCCCCUGGGACAACUCCUAUCUCGAAAGCACCCUAUAGGAUGGCACCCGCUGAAUUGAAAGAGCUGAAGGCACAGUUACAAGAUCUUUUAGAUAAAGGCUUCAUUCGACCGAGUGUGUCACCUUGGGGAGCACCGGUGUUAUUUGUUAAGAAAAAGGAUGGAUCUCUUCGAUUGUGCGUGGAUUAUCGAGAAAUUAACAAAGUCACAAUCAAGAAUAAAUAUCCAUUACCCAGAAUCGACGAUUUAUUCCAUCAGUUGCAAGGAUUGAAGGUAUAUUCCAAGAUUGAUUUACAAUUGGGUUAUCAUCAGCUUAAGAUCAAACCUGAAGAUGUCUCUAAGACUGCUUUUAGGACACGGUAUGGGCAUUACGAAUUUACAGUUAUGCCAUUUGGGUUAACAAAUGCCCCAGCAGCCUUUAUGGAUUUAAUGAACCGUGUCUUUAAGCCCUAUCUGGACAGAUUUGUGGUCGUGUUCAUCGACGAUAUCUUGAUCUAUUCUCGAAGUGAUGAGGAGCAUGAAAGCCAUCUAAGAACGGUGUUGCAAGUACUUCGCGAAAAGAAAUUGUUUGCAAAGUUAAAGAAAUGUGAAUUUUGGCUUCGAGAAGUAGCAUUUCUGGGUCAUGUCAUUUCAGAAACUGGGAUAGCUGUAGAUCCAAAGAAGAUUGAAGCGAUUAAAGAUUGGCCCAGGCCGACCAGUGUGACAAAGAUUCGGAGUUUCCUUGGCUUGGCGGAAUACUACCGAAGAUUUGUUGAAGGGUUUGCGAAAUUGUCUACGCCUCUUACUCGGCUAACACACAAAGGAGCUAAGUUUUUGUGGAAUGAAGCCUGCGAAAGAAGCUUUCAAGAGCUAAAAGAACGUUUAACCACUACCCCGAUUUUAGCACUGCCUGUUACCGGAGUGGAUUAUGUGAUUUACAGCGAUGCGUCGUUAAAUGGAUUAGGAUGUGUUCUAAUGCAGAAUGGCAGAGUAAUUGCUCAUGCAUCUCGCCAAUUGAAAGAUUAUGAAAAGAACUACCCUACACAUGAUCUUGAGUUAGCCGCCGUGGUAUUUGCUCUAAAGCUUUGGCGCCACUAUCUCUACGGCGAGCGUUGCGAAGUGUAUACAGAUCAUAAAAGUUUAAAGUAUCUGUUUACUCAGAAGGAAUUAAACUUGAGACAACGUAGAUGGUUGGAGUUGCUCAAGGAUUAUGAUUUGACUAUUCUUUAUCAUCCAGGAAAGGCUAAUGUUGUAGCAGAUGCUUUAAGUCGAAAAUCGACGGAAAAUUUGGCAAUGUCAAUAACUAUGCAAUCACUAUUAGUAACGGAAAUGGAGCAGUUGAAUUUGGAAGUUGUAGAUCCUGACACGCCUUGGCGACUUAUGUCAUUAGUAGUGCAACCUACCCUGAUCGAUUGAAUUAAAGAAAAGCAAGCUCAAGAUGAGGCUCUGCAAAAGAUUCGAGCAAAGAUCACUGCUGAUCAUGAUGGUGGUGAUUUUCGAGUGGAUGAUCAGGGAUUGAUAAAAUUCGGCGAUAGGCUUUGUGUGCCAGCAGAUCUAGAUAUUAAAGAGGAGAUUCUAACUGAAGCACAUCGAGCCCCGUAUACUUUACACCCUGGGAGCACGAAAAUGUAUAAGGAUUUAAAGCUGACUUACUGGUGGCCUGGAAUGAAAAAGGAAGUUACAGAUUUUGUAACCAGAUGCUUAACCUGUCAGCAGGUUAAAGCUGAGUAUCGACUUCCUGCGGNUUUAUUUUGACCAAAUUUAUAAUAUAUUUACAUUUAAAAUUUAUUAAAUUCAUACAUAAUUUUAUAAUAUAUAAAUUAUAUAUAGAUAUAAAAGUUUUAAUUAAUAAUUAAAACAUGAUUACGUUAUGCUCAGAAGAGGUAAUCGCACCUUUCUAUCUAAAAAUUGACAGAAUUUACAAAUCCAAAUCUCAACUGCAGACUACCAAACAGAAAAAAUAUAACUGCAGCAGUUGCAACUGUAUAAAACCAAAUAAACUAGAUGUAGUUAUGACUGCAGCAUUUACAACUACAUGUACUUCCAACUACACUAAUUUUGUAACUACAUCCAACCAAACAACCCCUUCAAGUUAUAACCUGGUCAAGAGACUCCAACACUAUUAAUUUUAAGUUAUGUAAAAGUAAAUUUAAAAAUCUGAUGGAUGAAUGCUGUGUUGAGAUAAAAACAAAAAAAAAAUUGAAAUUCAAUCGAAAAUAUAGAAGGCAAUAAAAUAAAUAAGGAAGGAUUAGUAUUUGCCUUAGAUAACCAACCAUCAAAAAAAGAAAAGAAAUAAAAUUAUAUUAUUACUUUAUUUUUUUAAAAAAUUGAAUUAUUUUCCAAAAUGAAGAGGUCAUAGAAUCACUAUAAAUUAGACCAUGAGAAUCAGGAAAAAAAGAUUGGAAAAUUUGGAGAAAAAGAAAAAAAAAGGGUUUUAGAAAAAAAAAACAGAGAGAGAGAGAGGCGUCACUUGGAGGUAGGGCUGGCAAAUGANGGCUACUGACAGCUCAAAGUCGACAAAAGAGUUAUGCGGACAAACAUCGGCGAGAAUUGGAAUUUCAUGUUGGCGAUCAUGUAUUUCUGAAAGUUUCACCGACGAAAGGAGUUAAGAGAUUUGGUAUUCGAGGGAAGUUGAGUCCUCGAUUUAUUGGACCCUACGAGGUGUUGAAACGAAUAGGCCCCGUGGCAUACCAGCUUGCUUUGCCGCCGAAUCUAUCAGGAGUACAUAAUGUAUUUCAUAUAUCUACGCUCCGGAAAUAUAUUUUUGAUCCAACUCACAUAUUGGAGAGUACUCCAGUGGAUUUAUGGGAAGAUUUGAGCUUUGAGGAACAUCCAGUGAGAAUACUAGCUCGGGAAGUGAAAAGGCAUCGAAAUCGUGAGAUACCCUACAUGAAGAUCCUUUGGAGCAAUCACGAUGAACGGGAAGCCACUUGGGAAUUGGAGAGUGCAAUGCAAGACCACUACCCCUAUCUGUUCUCGAUAGAAUCUUGAGGUAAGUGAUUACAUGUUUCGCGGACGAAACUUCUUUGUAGGAAGGGUGAAUGUAGUAUCUUGAACUUUGCAAAAUUAUAGAAGUUGGAAGUGGGGUUGAGGAGUGGCAUGUAACCAUAGGUCCUAAUAUUUGUAAAGGUGUUGUGGGUCAAUUUUGAGAGCUAUUAGACUUCUGGAUGUAAGAAAGUGCGUCGUUGAAGCGACUCCUAACUUAUUGUAUUAUAGUAUACAGAACUUCAACAAAUUGCAAAAUUCGAGUGAGGAAUAACAUUUGGAACCUUUCCACAUGUUCUAAAGGGUUUAAAGAUGUUUACAAAUAAGUUUGAGAGUGAUCGGAAAGCUAGAAGUGAGAAAGUGCAUUGCAAUUGCGAAAUCUGCAAUUUCUGCAUUGGUGUACCGGUACAAGCCUAAUGCUGUACCGGUACAGCAAGCAGCAGAGUCAGCUGCUGCGGGACAGCAGGGUUUUUUUGGUCAUUUCACCUCCUGAUCCUUAUCUACCUGAUCCAGCUCGAGCACUGGAGCACCUUGGAAGGUAGUAGAGCUCAGAGAAGGGUUUCUUCACCUUCCUCACACUCUCUCUCUCUAGGGAUUUUCUCUCUCUACAAAGAAGUCACCGUUUUACACCGUCGUCGUCGCCGAGCUCGCUCUUCACUGUUUGGGAGUGUCGCUGAGCCUUGGUGGACGUGUGAGGGAGUGUUUUGAAGAGCUUUUCGCAGCCCUGGACCAGUAACUCACUGGUUGCAAGCUUGAGAAGGUAAUCGGCUCACUUUUUCAAUUUUCGGCAAUCUAUUGGACGAAUUAUGUAUAGUUUCGGGAUUGUUGCUUCUAGUUGCUUUAAUCUGAGAUUUCAGCAAUUAAAGUUGGAUUAAUUAGCUGUGAAUUAACCUCCUUAGACCAGGGUUAAGCUACUUUGAAGCUUAAUGGAAAUAUUUAGCUAAUUAUGAAGCUAGUUCGGAACUAUACGAAGUUACUCGGGUAUUUGAUGCAGUUUGGGAAUUGUAUCUUCGCAGCAGGUUUUCGAACCACGUGGAGCUUAUUUGGUGACCUGGGAGGCUGGUUUAGAAGGUGUUCUACCUCGAGGUAAGCAAGAAUUUCAGCUAGGAAGCUGAAAUUGCAAGAAUNNNNNNNNNNNNNNNNNNNNNNNNNNNNNNNNNNNNNNNNNNNNNNNNNNNNNNNNNNNNNNNNNNNNNNNNNNNNNNNNNNNNNNNNNNNNNNNNNNNNNNNNNNNNNNNNNNNNNNNNNNNNNNNNNNNNNNNNNNNNNNNNNNNNNNNNNNNNNNNNNNNNNNNNNNNNNNNNNNNNNNNNNNNNNNNNNNNNNNNNNNNNNNNNNNNNNNNNNNNNNNNNNNNNNNNNNNNNNNNNNNNNNNNNNNNNNNNNNNNNNNNNNNNNNNNNNNNNNNNNNNNNNNNNNNNNNNNNNNNNNNNNNNNNNNNNNNNNNNNNNNNNNNNNNNNNNNNNNNNNNNNNNNNNNNNNNNNNNNNNNNNNNNNNNNNNNNNNNNNNNNNNNNNNNNNNNNNNNNNNNNNNNNNNNNNNNNNNNNNNNNNNNNNNNNNNNNNNNNNNNNNNNNNNNNNNNNNNNNNNNNNNNNNNNNNNNNNNNNNNNNNNNNNNNNNNNNNNNNNNNNNNNNNNNNNNNNNNNNNNNNNNNNNNNNNNNNNNNNNNNNNNNNNNNNNNNNNNNNNNNNNNNNNNNNNNNNNNNNNNNNNNNNNNNNNNNNNNNNNNNNNNNNNNNNNNNNNNNNNNNNNNNNNNNNNNNNNNNNNNNNNNNNNNNNNNNNNNNNNNNNNNNNNNNNNNNNNNNNNNNNNNNNNNNNNNNNNNNNNNNNNNNNNNNNNNNNNNNNNNNNNNNNNNNNNNNNNNNNNNNNNNNNNNNNNNNNNNNNNNNNNNNNNNNNNNNNNNNNNNNNNNNNNNNNNNNNNNNNNNNNNNNNNNNNNNNNNNNNNNNNNNNNNNNNNNNNNNNNNNNNNNNNNNNGGCACCUAUUCAACAUAGGCACAAGCAUUCAUUGGUUGCACUUUAUCAAUCAAUAAGUCAACAAAUUCAUUGUUCAUUACAGUUUACUAGAGAUUCAUUUUCAAUCUAUAUAACAAACAUAUUAGUGACAUUUCGAAUUCAUUAGAACACCAUUCGCAUCCAAAUAUUCUAUAUCCGUAUUAAUAGCGAGAUCAUAUAACAUACUGAAAGAGUCUUCAACCUUGCUAUGUAUAGAGUCAACCCACCUAUACACUAAGCUCACAAGAAAGCUUCAAAAUAGAGAUUGCGCUCCCAAAAACGUAAACCAAUCAAAUGGUCACCUGAUCUGCCUGAAAAAUAAAACAUCAAACCCGUCGGAACGAUUGGACUAUAAUUCUAAUUUCGGCUUCAAUGCCAGCAUAAUACAAAGCAAUUAACUAAUUUCCCUGCUUUCGCUACGAUGUUGUAAUACUUCAAUCGAUCUUACCAGAGCUUCCACAGUAAGCCAUAAAUCACUGAUCAAGAGUCGAUUACCGACUCGCUGCGAACAAAUGUCAAAUACCGGAUUAAAUGCUAGAUGCUAAGCCUUCUAUUAUGUCGUUUACAUGUUGCUUACCUGCUCAUUACCUGUUAGCAUUGCCUAAUUAUAUAUCAUGCAAUUACUGCUUUCGCUUUCAUUUAGUACAUCAUAAGCCUAGUGGUGUAAUUCGCCGAGGCUGACGGCUUACCCACUGGGAACUAUUGUUUAUAGUUCUCACGCCCUUUUUGUGGUUGUUUUUACAAAGCCAUCUACAGGAGAGGCUAGGGACCGUGGCAAGGGAGUCGCGUCUAGCUAGACAUUGCUAGGAGCGUGCUAGUCGAUCACCUUGCUACUCGGGUUACAGCCGAGGGUGAUGUCCAGUUUAUAGAGAGACUACCAUUGUACAGACUUUUUGUAUACCAUGUGUUGUAUAUAUAUUUUGGAUUCAGAUGUGGCAGUUUUAGUACUUUCUUUUGUACCUAUAUUUUGGUUGGACACUCUCGUUCUUUUGUUGAUAGACUUUGUGACUUUUACUAUACUCUGAUAUCAGGAUAGGAUUAUGUUAUGUUUUUUUUCUCCUAUCGACUUGUUUCUUGUAGACGCCUUAUAUACUACAGGUGUAUGGCGGGUCUGUGCACGUACCGGGUAUGCUUCCGCUGGUACCCGGGCGUGACAGAGAGAGAGAGAGAGAGAGAGAGUCCGGCUACUAUACUCUUAUAAAUACGAUCGCAUUCGUACUCAUAAGUUGUUUCGAUGAUAGAGCUUCCGAAUCGACGAUCUAGACUGUUAAACAUUAUCUAGAGCAUUUAAAAUUUCUAGAAAUCAAAUUUUAUAAUUUUUCGAUAUCAUUUACCUUACGAUCAAUAGCUCACAAAAUUGACAAUUUUUAACAGCUGGUAUGUGAUACUUACUAGUUUAACGGUGUAAAAGAAUCGGAAUAGCUUGAAUUUUUGAUAGAAAAUUCUAUUCAUUACCUAAAUAAAGAUCAAUAACCCCGAUCUUAAAUUGAAGGAUCCGAUUAUCCAUUUUUAGGACGUCGUUCGAUUUUGACCGUUCAUUUUAUAUCCACUUGAUGGACUUUAUAAUGAUUUUGAAAAAUUACGAAAUUUAUUUUCUAAAAAUUUCAAAUACUCUAGAUCAUGUUUAACGGUGUGGAUCUUCGAUUCGGAAGCCCCAACAUUGAAAACAACUUAUAAGUACGAAGGGCUUUAUACUCAUAAGAGUAUAGUAGCCCUACUCUCUCUAUAUAUAUAGAGUAGGUCUUGUGUGCUAUUAGGAGCACGGAGGUGUAACACACUGGACCUUUGCAAAUUGCGAGGUUCGAGUGUUUGGACAGUGUCCUGAGCUUUUCCAGACUUUCUGGUGGGUCGUAGACAGUGUUCCGACCUAUGGUUCGAAUCCCGAGAAUUGUGGUUUAAAGCCUUGCACCAAAACCCGAAAAAUCGGAUUUUUGGUUAGCUCUCGGGUAGCCUUCAGAGGGCUGUGUACCGGUACGGGGUGAUGGCUGUACCAAUACAGCCAACAACAUUGGCAGCUUCUCAGCCAACUCGAGGCUCGGGUUUGGCUAUUUCGUGGGAUGUGUACCGGUACGUGGGCCCAUGUACCGGUACGCAGAGACAAAUUUUGAACAGUUUGAACUGCAGGGGGUUUUUCGCGAUUGUGGCACCCUUAUAUCAGCACCCACGCCCUUAGGACUCUCCCCUGAGCUGAGAAGAGUGGAAAACCAGGUAAGGGAGCUCCCCACACCAUCUCUUUGGAUUUGAUCUCCAUUUUUGCAUGAUUUUUUAUGGAUUUUCCCUCUCUUUUGCCCUUUGGUGCCAUUUCCACCAUGGAUGAAGCUUGGAACUAGGUCUUGGAGCUUUGUUGAGGAGAGAUCUCUGGAUUUGGAGGAUUUAGAGCUUAGAUUGAAGCUUCUAAGAGGUAAGCAACUUGUUCUCUCCCUCUAGAUUCGAGUUUUAUUGUCGGAUUUGAGAUGGAACCCUAGAAUGGAGAUUUAGGGCUUAUUUUGGGCAUUUUGAAUCUAGGGCUUUUGGAGCUAAAUUAGUUAGAUUUAGAAUCUCUCCCUUGGGGUUGGAUUGGAAGGACUCUAGCUCUUUUUUGGAGCUUGAGAGUUUUUCUAAACUUUAGGUAAGUUUUAGCCUCUUUGCCUUGUUUGUUAAUGUUUUGAUCUAAUGGUUGAUCCGUAAUGCCCUGUUAUCUCUUCGCUCACAUGCACUUUAGAGAUUUUGGAGAUUCGUGACAGACUUGCGUUCCAGCGAACCGAGGCACUUACGUGACGGUUGCGGUGGGCGUUUGAUCCUAAGCCACACAAUGAGAAAAUCUCCAUUUGUGUGUUUGAGUACGUUAAUCGAUAAAGCAUGCAUAAUCAGUUAAAUAUUUAUUAAUGAAUUUUAGAAUGCUUACAUGCAUAUAUGUACAAGUAAAUUCUUGACCUCUAGUGUUAGGGUGCAUGCAUGUGAGACAUCAUUCUAGUUGGGACUUGGACCCAUGAUUCCUAUUAUGAAAUGAUAUUGCUUUCAUGCAUUUUAACCAUAUGCCCAAUUGUGACAUAGGAAUCUUUGAAAGCCUAGAGGCUUGGGAACAUUAGACUAUUUGAGAAAGUUUGGGCAAAUGUCCUAAGAGGACAUUGCCCCGGGCANNNNNNNNNNNNNNNNNNNNNNNNNNNNNNNNNNNNNNNNNNNNNNNNNNNNNNNNNNNNNNNNNNNNNNNNNNNNNNNNNNNNNNNNNNNNNNNNNNNNNNNNNNNNNNNNNNNNNNNNNNNNNNNNNNNNNNNNNNNNNNNNNNNNNNNNNNNNNNNNNNNNNNNNNNNNNNNNNNNNNNNNNNNNNNNNNNNNNNNNNNNNNNNNNNNNNNNNNNNNNNNNNNNNNNNNNNNNNNNNNNNNNNNNNNNNNNNNNNNNNNNNNNNNNNNNNNNNNNNNNNNNNNNNNNNNNNNNNNNNNNNNNNNNNNNNNNNNNNNNNNNNNNNNNNNNNNNNNNNNNNNNNNNNNNNNNNNNNNNNNNNNNNNNNNNNNNNNNNNNNNNNNNNNNNNNNNNNNNNNNNNNNNNNNNNNNNNNNNNNNNNNNNNNNNNNNNNNNNNNNNNNNNNNNNNNNNNNNNNNNNNNNNNNNNNNNNNNNNNNNNNNNNNNNNNNNNNNNNNNNNNNNNNNNNNNNNNNNNNNNNNNNNNNNNNNNNNNNNNNNNNNNNNNNNNNNNNNNNNNNNNNNNNNNNNNNNNNNNNNNNNNNNNNNNNNNNNNNNNNNNNNNNNNNNNNNNNNNNNNNNNNNNNNNNNNNNNNNNNNNNNNNNNNNNNNNNNNNNNNNNNNNNNNNNNNNNNNNNNNNNNNNNNNNNNNNNNNNNNNNNNNNNNNNNNNNNNNNNNNNNNNNNNNNNNNNNNNNNNNNNNNNNNNNNNNNNNNNNNNNNNNNNNNNNNNNNNNNNNNNNNNNNNNNNNNNNNNNNNNNNNNNNNNNNNNNNNNNNNNNNNNNNNNNNNNNNNNNNNNNNNNNNNNNNNNNNNNNNNNNNNNNNNNNNNNNNNNNNNNNNNNNNNNNNNNNNNNNNNNNNNNNNNNNNNNNNNNNNNNNNNNNNNNNNNNNNNNNNNNNNNNNNNNNNNNNNNNNNNNNNNNNNNNNNNNNNNNNNNNNNNNNNNNNNNNNNNNNNNNNNNNNNNNNNNNNNNNNNNNNNNNNNNNNNNNNNNNNNNNNNNNNNNNNNNNNNNNNNNNNNNNNNNNNNNNNNNNNNNNNNNNNNNNNNNNNNNNNNNNNNNNNNNNNNNNNNNNNNNNNAGGUUGAGAGCUGUACCAGUGUACUAGAGACCACCCUUUUGUGUACUUUUUGGACAGAUAUUGUAUUACUUUAUAUUUCACUCUUAUUGUUAUAGUAUUACCCAUUUACCUUACUGUAGAUGAUAGAUCUUUUUAUGCUCUGAUAUCUCUAGAUAUAGAUUAUUUUAUACUUUUAUUUCCGCUGUUGAUGUAGACGCCUUAUAUGUGUUGACAUAUGGCGGGUCUGGGCACGCUACCGGGAGGGCCUCUGCCGGUCCGGGGGCGUGACAGGAGGCCUCCGUGCUCCUAAGCCGUUUUCGAUGAUGGAGCUUUCGAAUCGACGAUUGGCUCCAUUAAACUUGAUCUAGCGUAUUUAAAGUAUCUAGAAAACAAAUUUUGCGAUUUUUCGAGAUCAUUUACCUAGCGAACGAAAAUGUUCAAAAUCAACGACUGAAAAUAAAAAUCUCACAAAAAGUGGUGAUAUAGCACUAAAAUUUUCGAUCAGAGAUAUUAAUCUUGCUGUAAAUAGUAUAAAGAAUUUUCGAGCAAAAUUUCAUCUGAGUUGAAUAUUUUUACACCGUUAAACUUGCAAACUGUAUAUAUCAACCAUUAAAAAUUGUUGAUUUUAAACCCUUUCGAUCGCUAAGUAAAUGAUAUCGAAAAACAGCAAAAUUUAUUUUCUAGAUACUUCAAAUAUGCUAGAUAAAGUCUAACGGAGCCGAUCGUCGAUUCGAAAACUCCAGCAUCGAAAACGGCUUAUGAGCACGGAGACCUCCGUGCUCCUAAUAGCACACAAGGCCUACUAUAUCUAUAUAUAUAUANAGAGAGAGAGAGAGAGAGAGAGUCCAGCUAUGGUGCUUAUAAAAGCACCAUGCACUUGGUGCUUGUAAGUUUUUUACCGUUAGAUCUACUCCUCGAAUUAUUUUCAACCAUUAGAUUAUACCAUUCAACCAACCACCCACUCAACCCUAGGGGGCCCACAUCAUCCUAACUGCAUCUCUUAAUCCAAUGGCCAAAAACUUGGUAGCCACCGAUGCUUUGGUGCUAUUAAUCUGAGCAUUAAACGUAGCCUUAGUCUCUUCUCUCUCCUACUAUCCCAGAUAUCGGUCUCUCUCCGACCUCUCACUGCACGUAUCAGCCACAAGAAUCAAUCAUACUCCGGGUCAAUCAUCACCAUUAUAUACAGACCAUACCUCAGUUUCGCCAUAACAAUAGUAAUACUUUGGCUAACGGAGUGCUUUUCGUCAUUUUCUCGAAGAAAGCGCAAAACCUAGUUAUUAUUCAUUACGCCAGAGAGUGUAAAUUGGAACGAACGAUUCAUAACGCCCACAAGAACAAAAUACCGACACAACAUUAUAGACUACUUCAGUUGCGCCCUAACAGAUAUAUAUAACUUUGCAACGUAGUAACUUUUCUAAUUUUAUCGAGAAUAAGUGUAAAACCUAAUUAAACUUAUAAAGGCUUACGCCUUUCAUAUUACCCACGAAUCGAGGAUAGAUUCGAAAGCUUGGGAAUCAGUCGCUAUCCUCAUCCGGUCAUCCAGUAUCCAAUCACUUACACAUUUCGAAUCGAUUGAAUAGAAACCGAGCAUCCAGUUAGACUUAAUUCCAUUGAGCCUCUAACAGAUAUUAUGAAUAUCACUUACGUGCAACAGGAAACAAAUUUUCUCACUAUUUAUGAUUAAUAUCGCGAAAAAUCUUAAUUAUUAUGUGUCUGACCUUUAAGUUGAACCCAAUAGAGUAGAAAAGGUCUUCAACAACGAUCAUAACAGCCUGACUCAAUACAAAUCAUAUCAACAAAUAACGUAAUAAUAAUAUCGACAAUUUAUAAGACUACUUAUAAGAGCUUAGCGCACACUAAACAGGAUAUCAGUUUUAACAUAUGCAACGAGGGUAACUAUUUUAUUCCAUUAUAUAUCGAAAAAAAUGCGUAUACAUACAUUACAAAAAUUUAACGGUGAUUUGAAUAUUUUCUACACCGUUAAGCCUUGCACUAAUCGGUCACUACGCCAUGCCCAAGUAGAAGAUUGAUAGAAAUUUUUUGAUUACACAUUCUAUGUCCAACGCGCACUCACAAAACAGAAACCGCAUAACAACAUUAGUGCAAAUAAAUCAUACAAAAUUUAUUUCUUUGUACUUCAAACUUCAAGUAUUCGAAGUCUUAAAUACAGAUAAAGACCAAGAUCAGACAGCGAUUUGUCGAACGAGUACAGUCGCAACUCAUCAUCUGAUUACGAAACAGAACCAGUAUGAAACCGUAAAGUCUCAAAGAGCUCCGUGCUUUCCAACAUACACCUCACCACACCCAUAUAUUGGCAUAAUAUUACAUACAUUAUAUAUAUAAUAUAAUAUAAUAUAAUAUAAUAAUAUACUAUAAUUAUAUAAUAUAUAUAUAUAUAUAUAGCGAGAGAGAAGAGAGAAGAGAGAGAGAGAGAGAGAGAGUCCAGCUAUGGUGCUUAUAAAAGCACCAUGCACUUGGUGCUUGUAAGUUUUUUACCUUAGAUCUUACUCCCUCGAAUUAUUUUCAACAUUAGAUUUAUACAUUAACAACACCCACUCAACCCUAGGGGGCCCACAUCAUCCUAACUGCAUCUCUUAAUCCAAUGGCUAAAAAUCUACAAGCACCCAAUAACUUGGUACUUUUAAAGAAUAGAAGCUCAAUUCAUCUAUAUAUAUAGGAUAAGGGUUCCCAAUCCUAUUAACAGGAUAGUAGCCGGACCCUAUAUAGGCUAUGACUACUAUCCUAUUAAUUAGGAUAGGAGCACUUGUCCUAUCAAGUUGUUCUUGAUGAUCGAAAUUCCGAAUUGAUGAACGGAGCGUUGAAGUUGAUCUAGAGUAUUUGAAAUAUCUAGAAACUAAAUUUCAUAAUUUGAUAAUGGUUUACAUGGUGAUCAAAGUAUCGUAAAAUCGACAAUUUUUGACGGCCUAUAUGAGCCGUUUGCUUGUUUAACGGUGUAGAGCAAUCAAAUUGCUUGAAUUUUUUAUAGAAAAUGCUUUGUACUAUUUAGAUAAUGUUUAACAACUCUGAUUACGAACUGAGAAAGUCUAAACCUCUAUUUUAAGAAGGUAUUCAUUUAUGACCGUUCAUUUUUCAACUCUUAAGGAUGAACUUGAUAAUGAUUUUUAAAUAUUACAAAAUUGGUUUCUAAAACUUUUCUAAUUGUUGUAGAUCAACUUCAAGGUGUCGAUUUUCAAUUUGAAGUUCCGAUCAUUCAAAUUUGACUUGAUAGGACAAGGGUCCCGAUCCUAUUAACAGGAUAGUAGCCGGACCCUAUAUAGGCUAAUGCUACUAUCCUAUUAUAGGAUAGGAGCACUUGUCUAUCAAGUUGUGUCUGAUGAUCGAAAUCGAAUUGAUGAUCGGAGCGUUGAAGUUGAUCUAGAGUAUUGAAAUAUCUAGAAACUAAUUUAUAAUUUUGAUAAUGGUUUACAUGGUGAUCAAAGUGUCGUAAAAUCGACAAUUUUUGACGGCCUAUUAUGAGGUCCUUUGCUUGUUUAACGGUGUAAAGCAAUCCAAAUUGCCUUGAUUUUUGAUAGAAAUUCUUUAUACUAUUUAGAUAAUGUUUGACAACCUCUGAUUACGAACUGAGAAAGUCUAACUCUAUUUUUAAGAAGGUUAUUUCAUUAUGACGUUCAUUUUUUCAACUCUUAAGAUUAACUUGAUAAUGAUUUUUUAAUAUUACAAAAUUUGGUUUCUAAACAUUUCUAUUGUGUAGAUCAACUUCAACGGGUCGAUUUUCAAUUUGAAGUUCGAUCAUUCAAUUGCUUGAUAGGACAAGGGUCCCAAUCCUAUUAAUAGGAUAGUAGCGGACCCUACUAUCUAUAAUAGGAUAGGAGCACUUGUCCUAUCAAGUUGUUCUUGAUGAUCGAAAUUCGAAUUGAUGAUCGGAAGCGUUGAAGUUGAUCUAGAGUAUUUGAAAUAUCUAGAAACUAAAUUUCAUAAAUUUGAUAAUGGUUUACAUGGCUGAUCAAAGUGUCGUAAAUCGACAAUUUUUGCGGCCUAUAUGAGCCGUUUGCUUGUUUAACGGUGUAGAGCAAUCCAAAUUGCUGAAUUUUUGAUAGAAAAUGCUUUGUACUAUUUAGAUAAUGUUGACAACUCUGAUUACGAACUGAGAAGAUCUAACCUCUAUUUUAAGAAGGUUAUUCAUUUAUGACGUUUCAUUUUCAAUCUCUUAAGAUGAACUUAGAUAAUGAUUUUUAAAUAUUACAAAUUUGGUUUCUAAACAUUUCUAAUUGUGUAGAUCAACUUCACGGUGUCGAUUUUCAAUUUGAAGUUCCCGAUCAUUCAAAUUGACUUGAUAGGACAAGGUCCAAUCUAAUUAACAGGAUAGUAGCCGGAACCUAUAUAUAUAUAUAUGUAUAAUAUAGCUUAGAGAGAGAGAGAGAGAGAGAGAGAAGAGAGUUAGGGGAGCUGUGCUCCUCCGGCUCCUGAGCCGUUUUCGAUGAUGGAAUUUCGAAUCGACGAUCGGCUCGUUAGACUUGAUCUAGGUAUUUGAAGUUUUAGAAAAUAAUUUUUGCGAUUUUUUGAAUAUCAUUUACCUAGUGAUCGAAAGGAUUCAAAUCAAUAAUUUUAAUGGUUGAUAUCUGCCGUUUUCAAGUUUAACGGUGUAAAGUAUUCAAAUCAGAUGAAAUUUUGAUACAAAAUUCUUUAUACUACACUACAACAAGAUCAUAUUUCUGAAUCGAAAAUUUUAGUACUAUAUCACACUUUUUAUAGAAUUUUUAUUUCAGCCGUUAAAAAUUAUUGAUUUUGAAUCCUUUCGAUUGCUAGGUAAAUGAUAUCAAAAAAUCGCGAAAUUAUUUUCUAGAAACUUCAAAUACGUUAGAUCAAGUUAACGGUCGGAUCGUCGAUUCGGAAUUCCUAUCAUCGAAAACGCUCAGGAGCACGGAGGCCUCCGUGUCCUGAGAGCACAGCGCCUACUCUCUCUCUCUCUCUCUCUCUCUCUCCUCUCUCUCUCUCUCUCGUCUCUCUUCUCUCUAUAUAUAUAUAUAUAUAUAUAUAUAUAUAUAUAUAGAGUCCGGUACUAUACUAUCGAUAGUAUCAAUUCCUUGGGUACUAUUGAGUUUCUACCGUUAUAGAUCAACCUUUGAUCAUUUCCACCGUUAAUUAUACUAUUAAACAACCACCACUCAACCCUAGGGACCACUAUCAAUUUAAUCGGGGACCACUAUCAUUCUAACCGCACAUCUUUCAUCCAACGCCGAAAACUCAAUAGUACAAGGGCUUCGGUACUAUUGAUAGUAUAGUAGCAUAAUUCUAUGAUAUUAUAUAAUAAAUUUAAUAAAAAUUAACUAAUAUAAUCUAUAUAUGAUAUAUAUAUAUAGACUGGGUGAGUAAUUUGAGUUUAGUUAAAAUUAGGCCAAUAUUGCUGGGCCAUAAAAAUAAACCAAACAUGCCAAUAAAAAGACAAAAUCCAACUAAAUUUACACUCUCUUCCUCUCUUUUUUUUUUCACAGAGCCCUAAAUCUCUAAUAUCUCUCUCUUUUCUUUAUCUCUCACUUCAAGAGGCCAAAUCUGAAGCCCCCAAAGUUCUCUCUAUAUGGGUGUAUUUAAAUAUUUUGUAUUGUUGCUUUUAUGAUAUUUGUUAUUUGUUAUCGUUAUCGAUAUGAUCACUUAGUAUUUUUUUCUUAUUAUAUAUGUGUUGUUGUCUUAUUUUUAUAAAAUUUUGGCUUAGAUAUUGAUAUUAUUUCAUAAAUCUUGCACAUUUACUUUGAAAAUAUAUAUUGGAUCAAGUGAGUAAAAAAAUUCAAAAAUACGUUAUUUAUCUAAAUAUGCUUAGCUAAUUUUCUUAAAAAAUUAUAGUUUGAUAUGAUUUUGUUACAUUAUAGUAAAAAGGAAUGUCAUUAAUUGUGUGCUUGAGAAAAUAUACAAAAUAUUUUUAAAAUAAAAAAUUAUUAUUUAUACAAAAUUUUAAUUUUAGUUAUAUAUGAUUAGAUAGUUUAAUCCAAUAUUUGACUAUAUAAUUUAUUCAUUUUUUGACCUCAUAGAUGAAAAAAAUAAUAUGGAGAUUGAAAACAAAAGAGAAGACAUGCGAGGCUGAAAAGAUUAAAUAUUCAACUCAUAAGUUAUUUUUUUUAUAUUAUAAUAUCGUAUUUUAUAUAAUUAUUCUGUAUUUUGAAUUAUUAGACAUGCUUUUGCAUCAAAUUAUAAGUAAUGUUCUAUACAAAUUAAACUAUUGAUCGUACGAUAUUGAGAAUUUCAAGCGGCUCGUUUAGGGCUCGAGCUCGCUCAACUCGAAAUUAGGCUCACUCGAGCUCGGCUCGAAUUAAUUUCAAGCUGAGCUUGAGCCUAAAUUUAGGCUCGAAAUUAAUUUCAAGCCGAAUUUGAGCCGGGGUAAGCUCGCUCGAGCUCGGCUCGUUUCCACCCCUACUUGGAGGGUCCCCGCCUCACCCUCUCUCCCAGUUCAUACAGAGAGAGAGAGGGUUUGGUCCCUUCCCCUUUGAAAAGAAAAAAAAGAAAAGCAUAAAAAAAAAGGAAAAAAAAGGUGAAGGCAUGGCGACGAUGGUGGCGAUCGCGACGAAGAUAAUCACGGCGACCUCCCCGACAGCGAAGCAUGACGCAUGCAUAUAAACGGUGUAAAAAUGAUUCCUUUGUCAAUUUGAUCAACACGACAAUCUUCGUGAUAGGCUCGACCGAUCAAAUAUGACAUUAAAUCGUUAUUUUUAUCGUGCGUAUGUAGUGUUCCAGAGCUUUGGAUAGGAUUGACUUCAGUGUUAGUGACUAGUUGACACAUCUGGAUCGUGUCGGACUGAGUCGGAGUCGUUCAUGCGCGAAACGGAUGCAAAAAUGGACUCGGCGCACUCAAAUAAGCAAAACUGGAGUUUUGCUAGAUUCGGGCGCCCAGAACAGGUUUUGGGUCGCCCAGAAGUUGAGUGCAGAUUUGAUCAGAACUGGAAGCCAAUUCGGGUCCAUGUUUCGGGCGCCCGAAAAUGGGUCCGAAAAUUUCACAUCGUGAAUAUCGUUUGUGUUGACACGUGGCUGAUGGUAGGUGAUGUAGUGUUCCUGAGCUUUGGAUAGGAUUGGCUUCAGUAUUAGUGACUGGUCGACAUCUCUGGAGAGUGUCGGACUGAGUCGGAGUCAAUUCUGCACGAAUUGGAUGCAAAAUUGGACUCGGCGCACUCAAAUAAGCAAAACUGGAGUUUUGCCAGAUCCGGGCGCCCAGAACAUGGUUUAGAUCGCCCAGAACUGAGUGUUAAAAUUUAACUGAAACUGGAGCCAAUUCGGAUCCUAUGUUCCGAGCGCCCAUAAGUAGGUCCGGAAAUUCUACAUCGUGAAUAUCGUUUGCUUCGACGCGUGGCGGGUGGUAGGUGAGGUCCGCCGGAGCCGUUUACGGGCGCAGCACACCGCGAGCCGAGAAUCCGAGGAGGAUGAUUUAUGCAGCCUGGAUGUUUCGGUCGCCCAGAACAUGGUUCCGGGCGCCCAGAAAUCCCCAUUUCAACAGGGACACCGGAUUGCAGCUAUUUCUCUUGGGGCUUAUUUUAUCCCUCCAGCACCCUAUAAAUACCUGGUAUACGUCCCCUUUGAGCUCUUUUAACCUGUUCUUCACAGAGAACUUAGAUUUUGCUCCUUAAUCCCUCCAAUCUUUCCAAAUUGCAUCAAGAUCCACAUCUCCAAGAGUUGCAAAGUGCUGAUUCUGUAGUUUUCCCAGCCACGACCUUCAGUGUUUUGGCUCAUGCGCGACGUAGGGAUAUCGGAUUUCGACGAAACUUGGUUUGCUAGAUUCCAGACUUUCAGAGGAAUCCACGAAGCCCUGACUUGCAGAAUUUGGUGAAGGUUAGCUCAGUCGAACUCAGGUUUUCCUCUGCUGCUGUUGAUAUGGACAGAAUUGCAAGUUUUUGAGUUUUCUUGGGGUGAACUUUGGAAGCAGGGGCUUUGUGGAGUUGAGUCACAUCCCCUACCAACUAGUACUGGAAUUGGGACCAUCUUCACCUAAUUUGGAGAUUGUUAGGUGAGUUUUGACAUUGGAAUUGGAUAAAUCGUAAGCUUAAGUACUGAAAUUGACGAAUUGUAAUGGAUUUUGGGUGAAUUGUAAUGUCCAGGUUUUGAGGGGAUUGUUGCUGGUUUGGAGGUGUUUCCAGCUAUGCUACUUGUGAUCCGAGACCGUGUUGCUGCCAGAGGAAUCGCGCUUGAGGUGGGUUUGCAUCAGAUUACUCCUAAGUAAUGAGUAGAUGUUUAGUCGACAUGUAUGUUUUGUUGUUCGGUUUACAAUGUGAUUAGAUUAAAUUCAGUGAUAAGCUGUGGCUGUAACCUAAAUUUAAGCAUACUAAAUAAGUGACAUUUACACAUGUCGGACUUGAAAAAUUGACUUAGGAGAAAACCUGCGUUUUGACCCGUCAUAUGCUUAAACUACCAGAUUUAGCUCUAGGAGCCGUGGGUUGACUGUAUCGUUGCAAUAUCAAUGCGAUGGAUACCUGGGGUAGUUUAGAAGGCAUUUACGCUCGUGCUGGGGUGCCGAGCUUAUUUUUCAGCAGAGUCUAGGCUGUUUCGGAUCGUUGGGUGCCGUCCGGGUUGGCGGACCCAGAUUCUUGUUUUGGUUCCAGAUUGUGCCGAGGGCACGUGGGUUUGGUUUGUAGACCUGUUUUGACCCUGUUUACAUGACUUUGGCUAGUUGGAGUCUGAUUGAGCUCGACAGAGAUACGCUGCAUACUCGAUUGGGUAGCUCCCACGAGUGCCACUCCGGAGACGGGCGCUGUGCUUUCGCGUUGAUAUCGCUCAUACCGGUUGGACUUGCUCUCCACGGACUAGUAGUGUGGAGGUAGCUGGACAGUCACAACUGGGCAGGGACGGGGGUGUU